GGUAAAGUGUUUUUCUUGAUUAGAAUCCGCACUAUCUCUUGGAUGUUUGACAAGGGAGUCUUAUAGGUCAAGAGGACAGUGGGAGUCUUAAAGGUCUUGAAAGUCUCAAGAACUAAUCAAGAAUAAAACCUGAAGUUCUUCACUAGCACACAACUUGAGGUUCAUAACCUAUCGUGUUGACAUAUUCUGUGCCCAUUCCAGUUAAAGUUGGCUUUGCAUAUGAGUUCUUAGAGUUCUCAAUUUGUUGCACAACAACUUGGAAGCAAUGGCAGGCCCUUGAGCUGCCAGGUGGCAAGAAAUUAAGAUUGAGUUCAGUCCAUAUGAGUUUGGAUUUGUCAUUAUCCUUGUCUUGUGACUAUGGUUUUGACAAUUCACAUGGAUAAGAACACAUACACCAUUAAAUCUAAGUGUCAUAAGGUUUCUCUCCGAUUCAUGAAAAUGAUGGUGAGGAAACACUUUCACUAAGUAGAUUUUAGCUAGAUAGCAAUUGUGAUAUUUGCAUUCUCAAAGUCGUUAGUGGAGCGCGUGUGGUUAACCGGCACACUAAUUUGGACUUGUGAGAAGUGGCAAAAAGGUCUAAACAUUAUGAUUACGGCAUCCCUCUUCAUAAUUGUUUAGAUACACAAGUGUGCUAUCUAAGGGAAGGUGUAUGAUUUUGAUACAGUUUUAUCAAAACAAUCUAGUAUCAGAAAUCUGAACUUUGGUAAGAAAGUCAAUGAAGUAUUGAUUUCUAGAAGUCCAGCUGAUUUCUGAGUACAUGUCAAAGCUAGUGGGAGCAUAAGUGUUAUGCUAAUAAUCAUCAUGUUAGUGGGAGCAUGAUAAUUAUGAUAAGUAUUGCAAGUUAGCAAUGUUAAUUAUAGAAAACAAAAGUUUCAAUUGGGAAAAAGUUGUUUUGCUAUAAUUAAGGGAGAGGAAAUUAUACUUCAUCUCAAAUCUAUAAGCUUAGAUCGUGAGGUUUUAAUCAUUUAGUCAAGGAUAUAUAUGAAUUUCAUGUUGGAAUGGCUCAACAUAAGGAAAUUCUGUAUAUGGGUCCAUUAUUUGCGUUCUAAAAUUCGAUUAUGAUUACGGCAUCCCUUUUCAUAAUCUGAAUUAUGAGAACUUGGCAAAUUGAAAUGGAAAUAUUAUAGCAAAAGACUGGUUUAGUCUUUAUGUGAGACAUCAUGAAUCGUGUCCCAUAUGCUUCGGAUAUAGGAUCGAUUACAUGUGCUAUAUUCAUCCGUUCUAAAAUUUUCCAAAUGCCUGGGGCAUUAAGAAGGGAAAAGGUUUAGAACUGGAUAUGACUAAAAGGAUUAAACAAUUGUCGAGGACAAUCUAAGGUUUACCAAAGAUUGGUUGCUCAAGGACAGUUGGAAGUAUAGUGAUAAUUCUGGAAGGACCAUAUUGACAUAAUCUGUAAGGAGGCAACUCUUGUUCAGAAGUGAUAGUCAAAAUGGAAUCUGGAAAUGUUUCAAAGUUAGAAUUUUCAAUCUGUUUAAGAUUAGGAAACUUAAUGCAAGAAGGAUGUUUCCAAGGAGCUGAUCUCCUUUGGAAUACUCUGUAAUGAUUGUUGUCAAGUCUUUCUGACUUUGUGCAUAAUCAUUACAAGAGGAUCAAUGCAUAUAAGUUUAGAAUCUAACAGAUUUCAGUAAAUGGCAUGAAUUUGGAAUUCUUGCAUUUGCAGUAAGGAUUUGGGAGUGUGAAAAGAGAAUCAUUGAAGUUAUGUUCAAUUGAUCUAGUUCACAAAGUAAAGAUCAUAGACAAACAUAGUAUGCAUACUUGGUGUGUGGCAUGACUAGUGUUUAAGAAAACAUAGUGUACAUGCUUGGAGCAUGGGACAACUAUUGUUUUAAAUUCAAGAAUAAAGUUGAUAGCUGAAACAGUAUACAAUGAAUAAUGUGUAAUCAUAUGGUGAUAAAUAAAAGGUGUUUUAUUUAUGUUCAUAAGUUUUGAUACCAUAUUGGAUUCAAUUAUUAUUGUGUUUCACUUUGCAUGUUUUGACUUCCCGAAUAAACUAGGUUAUUCUUCCGGAAUGACUAAGUUAUUCAAACCAUCCACAGUCGGUCAUAUGUUGGAAGUAGAUAUGAAUUAAGACUGUCAUGGGUUGGCUUGUAGAGGUCUAAGGUGUUGGACAAAGGGCUACAACACUCAUGAGUGCUCAUAAGUUCUGAGUAUUGGAUUCAACCCGCGCUCAUUGGAAUCACUUCAUGGAUUUUAUCACGAGUGAUCAUGAGACGAUAAUAUCUUAUAUUCUUCAAACCUAGAGAUAUGAGUUGUUACUAUGAGUUGAUAGUACAUUGAUUGCACGAAAACGCAUUUGGUAACUCGGUGCUAUAAAACGUGCCUUUGUGUAUGAUUCAACAAGUAGUAGAACAAGCCAUAUGAGUCGAAGUUUAUCCAUUCCUUUUACCUUCGGGAUAAAAGCGAUAUCUGUGGGCCCCUCGAUGAUUUGAUGAUGACAAAUGGAAGUGCUCGGCCGGGCCAGGACUGAUUUGAUUUGUUCAAUUAGUCAGUCGUCAUAAAUCGGAAAUCGGGAAACAACAAAUGGACAGAGAGAAUGAUUAUAAUCCAUGUCUCAGUCCAUAUGAUAUCUAGAAUGGAGGAAUAUAUGAUCCCUUAUCUAAUGGACAAGUCAUUGACAAAGGUCAGAGUUCAUCUACAAGGUCAGAGUUCGACAGAAGCUUUUGAGAGCUACGAUUGCCAGUUGGUUCCUGAAGUCAUACGCAAUAAUAGUUUUAGACUUAUCCAAGUGGGAGACUGUUGGAUUAAUGUCUAAGUCCAUAACUAUAAUUGGUAAGACUUGACCCGACCCGGCAUGGUCCAUUUGGGUUGCAUGGCAUCAUGCACUUGGAUAGACUAUAAUGAGAGAAAUAAGACACUUAUGGUUAUUAAUAUAUUAUAAGUUCUAGUAUAUUAAUAAUAAGAAUAAUAAGAUUAUUUAAUUAGUAUUGAUCAAGAAUUAAUCUAGGAUUAAUUAAGUGAUCAAAAGAAGACUAAUUAAAUAUAUGGGUUGAUUGUGUAAAUCAUCCAUACUUGUAUAGUGGGCUAAUGCUCCAUGGAUAAUCAAGUUGGGCUAAAACCCAUAGGAUGGUCCAUGGAUGCUCCAUGGUGUAUUUGUACCCAUGGAUCAUGGAAAUGAAAGGCCAUGUCAAUUAGGGUUUACAUGGUGUAACCCUAACUAUAUAAGCAUCUUAUUCUUGACCAAAAUCGGCCACUAGUGUGUGAAGAAAAAGGGCUAGCCGAUUUUCAUGAGUGUGGUUUUCUCUCAAGUCAUUCCAUGUGUAUUUGGUGUUGUGUGAACCAUUUGAGGUGUCACACUUGGGGCACUAGGCACUCAAGCUUCAUGAAGACUUUCUACAUCAAAGAGGUAUGUAUUCUAUCUUGCUAUAGUUAUUGUUUUGUAUGCUAGAUUAGGAUAAUACCUUGGAUGUUCUUAUUUGCAUGUAUAAUAGAGAAAACAUAGAUCCAAGGUAUUUAGGGUUGCAUGUACACUUAGGAAGUGUUAGAAUGCUCAAAACCCAACAAUACUAACUUGAAAGAGCUAGAAACACUCACUAGAUUGAAGAUCUCGAAGAAAACCGGGAUGAUACUUGAGAGAGUUUGGGAGUUUACUCUUGGAAAGGUGGAAAAUGCUAAAAAUGGCUAAGUGCCACUUUUAUACCCCUCCCCUUUAGGGUUUACGGCCGUAAACACCAAGUUUAGGCCAUAAACUCUAGACUUUUGAUGUGUCGGGACUUUAUUGUUGCACAAUAAAGCCCAGGGCAUCCUCUCUCCUGAUAUCUCCUAAAGUGUUAAUCCUAGAAUACUCAAACUUAUUCCAAAAAGUCUGAAAUUUAACAGUAACUGUUCUGACUUCUAUUGACUUGAUAUGUUAUACAGAAUGGAAAUUUUGAGUUGUCACAGAUGCUGUUUGAGUGAAACCCUAAAUUUGAGGGCUUGCACCCUAUUUAAACAACUUAUCUCUCCCCAUCUCAGCCUCCAUCAUCCCUUAUACUUCUAGAAAACAUUAGCCUGAAACCCUAGUGUUGUUUGAGUUUUCUAAGGCCAUUUUUGUGCAUUUUGGGGGAUUAUGAAGCUUAAGAAGAGGAAAGGAUCUUGGGAGUUCAAUUUGAAGCUAGAAGAUGCAGAGAUUGUGUUUCAUUUCCAGCUCAUUUUAGGUAAAAGGCUUCUAUCUUGAUCUUCCAUGUGUUUAAUCAUCUUUAGGGCUUGGAUUUUGGUAUAUUUAGGGCAUUCUAAGCCAUUUUCGGGUUGUGGAGGGUAAUAUGGAGUUAUGGCUUCAGAUCUUGGUCUUUGGAGGUGUCUCAUGGCAUAAAGGUGCCAACUCUAUGGCCAUGAGAGCCCAAUGCAUCUUAUAGGUCUCAUUUUUGGUCCUUUUGAGCUUAAAGACCCAUGCAUGGACGUAAAGUUCAUGACUUUACGUGUUAUAUCGACCCUAGGAGGUCAGAUCUACCCUUUAGAUGAGAUGAGCUUAGCAGAAAUCGAGUUUAUGGACAUGGACUUUAGUGGACUCGACGAGUUGUUCUUGGGACUCGGCGAGUCGGGUAGUGGUUCCAACCUUUGUUGUAUUGGGGGUAUGGUUGAGUCUAGAAAAUGACUCAACAAAUUUGGACGAGAUUAUAGACCUGGAAAUCAUGGGACUUGAUGAGUGUAUGAAUAAACUCGAUGACUCCAAGGCAAUCUCCCAACCCAUGAAGAUGGACUCGACAAGUUAUUCAUACAACUCGGCGCGUCAUCGAUUGAACACAUUCUUUUGAGGGAGAUGAACUCGACGAGUUCAAGUGGAACUCGACGAGUCGGUUGAAGAUGGUCCCUAUGGUAAGAUUGAAGGAGAACCCAUCGGGUUCUUGCUAGACUCAACAAGUAGAGUUGGGAGUUGUAUUGAGUUGGAGGAGUAUGGACUCGACGAGUUGGUAGAACAACUCGGCGAGUCAAGUCAACUAGAUGUUGACAAAAGUUGACUUUGACCGGAUUUGAGUUGAACCUCGCUAAGGGUUACUAGUACAAAUUGAUAACUUAGAAGGGUUGUCGUGUACGGAUUGAGGAGUCGAGGAGAGUCUAUUUUCACGUCGAGGACAGUUCAGACACUAAGCGAUAUUGAGGUGAGUUACCUUCCUGGAGAAGUGGGUCUAAGGCACCAAGGCUGACCCACUAGUAUUUGAUUAUAGUUGAGAUGACUGUCUUUGUGAUAAUUGGUUGGUUUGCUAUUACUUGAUAUGUUCUAUGUGCCAGUAUGCCAUGUUCUAUGUGGUAGUGUAGUAUGAGGGAAUAGUCCCCCGAUCGGUUGUUAGGACCGAAGGGUAGGUCGGCACCCCAGAUAUGUCUGACUGCAUGUUUAUGAUAUGUUAUUAUGUGAUAUUAGUAGGGGUGAAAUAGUCCCUGUGACAAGGUCUAGGAGUUGUUAGACAUGGGAUUCAUUAGGCCGAGCAGUUCGCCCUGGGGAGCCCUGAUUUUAUUUGUGAAAAAGAAGGACGGGUCGCAUAGGAUGUGUAUAGAUUACCGGGAGCUAAAUAAGGUAACGGUGAAGAACCGUUUCCCACUCCUGAGGAUUGAUGAUCUCUUUGACUAGCUUCAGGGAGCAUCUUGGUUUUCCAAGAUUAAUUUGCAUUCGGGUUAUCAUCAGAUGAGGGUCAGAGAGGAGGUUGUGCAGAAGACUGCUUUUCGGACACGAUAUGGUCACUAUGAGUUCGUAGUCAUGCCUUUUGGGCUCACCAAUGCUCCUGUCGUGUUCAUUGAUCUCAUGAACCAUGCGUGUAGGUUGAUGUUGGAUAGGUCUGUGAUUGUUUUCAUUGACGAUAUCUUGGUUUAUUCCAAGACGCAGGAGUAGGAUGAGGAGCACUUGCGGGAGGUUUUGGAUACUUUGAGGAGGGAGAGCUUGUAUGAUAAGUUCUCCAAGUGCGAGUUCUGGUUGUGCAAGAUGCAGUUUCUUGGGCACCAGGUGGGAGGUUCCGAGGUCUCCAUAUGAGAUUCGAAGCUUUCUAGGACUGCCAAGCUAUUAUCGGAGAUUCAUUCAGGACUUCUCCAAGAUAGUCGUGCCCCUGACCCGGUUGACGAGGAAAAUCGUGGUCUUACAAUGGGGGCCUGAGUAGCAUGCCGCAUUUGAGACAUUGAGACAGAGAUUGUGCGAGGUGCCAUUCUUAGCCCUAUCGGAGGGCAUGGAUGAUUUUGUAGUGUAUUGUGAUGCGUCCAUCUCGUGUUUGGGUGUGAUAUUGAUGCAGAGAGGACAUGUUAUCGCUUACGCUUCGAGGCAGUUGAAGCCUCACGAUGAGAACUAUAUGACGCAUGAUUUGGAGUUGGGGGCUGUCAUUUUCACCCUCAAGAUUUAACAUCAUUACCUCUACAGGGUUCAUUGUACCAUUUACACGGACCACAAGAAUCUGAGGUAUCUCAUGGAUCAGCCAAAUCUGAAUAUGAGGCAGCGUCGGUGGCCUGAUGUGGUAAAGGAUUAUGAUUGCGAGAUCCUCUACCACCCGGGGAAGGCCAAUGUCAUGGACGGCGUGCUUAGCCGCAAGGCAGCGCUGAUCAGGGAUACCUGUAUGAGGAUGACAGUUGUGACCCCGCUGUUGGAGCAGAUUCGGGAGGCUCAACUGGAGGCCAUGAAGGAGGAAUGCCAAAAGAGUGAGUGUAUUGUGGGUCAGGUUUCCUCCUUUGAUUAUGACAGUCGUGGAUUGUUGACACUACACCGUAGAGUGUGGGACCCAUAUCAUGGGGGUGUACGCCAGGUAUUGAUGGAGGAGGCGCACAGAUCCAGGUUUUCUAUUCAUCCCGUGGCGAUGAAGAUGUACAAGGAUCUUCGUCCUAAUUAUUGGUGGCCCUGCAUGAAGAGGGAUGUAGCUUGGUUUGUAUAGAGACGCAUGACCUGCAAGAAGGUCAAGGCCAAGCAACAGAGGCCACACGGAAAGAAGCAGCCGUUGGACAUUCCGUUGUGGAAAUGGGAGGACAUCACUAUGGAUUUCAUCACAAAGCUUGUCAGGACUGCACGGGGAGUGGAUCCGAUUUGGUUCAUCAUGGAUCGGUUGUCCAAGAGUGCCCAUUUCAUACUGAUCCAGGAGAGCAUCACGGUCGAGAAGUUGGCCGAUAUCUACAUUCAAGAGGUAAUAGCUCGACAGGGAGUGCCAGUAUUAGUGAUUUCGGAUCGAGACGUGUGGUUUACUUCCAGAUUAUGGAAGAAGUUUCAUGACAAGUUGGGUACUCGUUUGCACUUCAGCACUGCUUUUCAUCCACAUACUGAUGGUUAGAGUGAGCGGACCAUCCAGACUCUAGAGAACAUGUUGCAGGCGUGUGUUUUAAACUUCGGAGGUAGCUGGGAUACUUACCUUCCUCUGGCGGAGUUCUCCUAUAAUAACAGCUAUCAUGCGAGUAUUGAUUGUCCUCCUUACAAGAUGUUGUAUGGGAGGAAGUGCAGGACCCCGAUAUGCUGGGGUAAGUUUGGUCAGAGGGUCAUGAGGAGUAUCGAAGUGGUACUCAAGACUACAGAGCGGACCGUCCAGACUCUGGAGGACAUGUUGCAGGUGUGUGUUUUAGACUUCGGAGGUAGCUAGGAUACUUACCUUCCUCUGGCGGAGUUCUCCUAUAAUAACAGCUAUCAUGCGAGUAUUGAUUGUCCUCUUACAAGAUUUUGUAUGGGAGGAAGUGCAGGACCCUAUAUGCUAGGGUGAGGUUGGUCAGAGGGUCAUGAGGAGAACCGAAGUGGUACUCAAGACUACAGAGAGGAUCCAGUAGGUUCGGAGCAGGCUUCAGAUUGCUCAGAGUCGGUAGAAAAGUUAUGCCGACAAGCGUCGAUCGGACCUGGAAUUCCAGGUCGGGGAUAUGGUACUUCUGAAAGUGUCGUGUUGGAAGGGCGUCAUUCGAUUCAGGAAGCGGGGAAAGUUGGGCCCUAGGUAUAUUGGACCUUUCAGGGUUGUAGCUCGGGUAGGUAAGGUGGCCUAAAGGUUGGACCUACCAGCCGAAGUCAUUCAAAUUCACAGUAAGUUCCACGUCUCCCAGUUGCGGAAGUGUCUGGUGGACGACUCGACCGUGCUGUGACGAUCCUUGACCGGAAGUCGAAGGAUUCGAGGAACAAGAGGGUGGAGCUAGUGAAGUUGCAAUGGCAGCACCGCAAGGGCUCGGAGUGGACCUGGGAGCCGGAGGAUGAGAUGAGGGAGCCUUACCCUGAACUUUUUCAGGAACCAGCAAUAGUCUUCGAGGACGAAGUCUAAAAUAAGUGGGGGAGAUUGGUAACACCUGCUUCCUAGUAUGUAUUUAAUUCAAGUAAUUCUUAUAUUUUCCUCUGGGACUCGACGAGUUGGGGGCCCAACUCGUCGAGUAGACUCGUGAUCCGCGUGAAGUUUAAUUGAUCUACUCCACGGGUCGGGAGACCGACUCGGCGAGUAGAUGUUGUUUGAGUGAAACCCUAAAUUUGAGGGUUUGCACCAUAUUUAAACAACUUAUCUCUCCCCAUCUCAACCUCUAUCAUCCCUUAUACUUCAAGAAGACAUUAGCCUGAAACCUUAGCCUUGUUUGAGUGUUCUAAGGUCAUUUUUGUGCAUUCUGGUGGAUUGUAAAGCUUGAGAAGAGGAAAGGAGCUUGGGAGUUCAGGUUGAAGCUAGAAGAUCUAGAGAUUGUGUUCCAUUUCCAUUUCAUUUAAGGUAAAAAGCAUCUAUCUUGAUCUUCCAUGUGUUUAAUCAUCUUUAGGGCUUGGAUUUUGGUAUAUUUAGGGCAUUCUAAGCCAUUUUCGAGUUAUGGAGGGUAAUAUGGAGUUAUGGCUUCAGAUCUUGGUCUUUGGAUGGGUCUCAUGGCAUAAAGGUGCCAACUCUAUGGCCAUGAGAGCCCAAUGCAUCUUGUAGGUCUCAUUUUUGGUCAUUUUGAGCUUAUAGACGCAUGCAUGGACAUAAAGUUCGUAACUUUACGUGGUAUAUCGACCCUAGGAGGUCAGAUCUACCCUUUGGAGUUUAGAUGAGAUGAGCUUAGAAAAAAUCGAGUUUAUGGACAUGGACUUUAGUGGACUCAGCAAGUUGUUCUUGGGACUCGGCGAGUAGAGUAGUGGUUCCCCAACCUUUCGUGUAUUGGGGGUCUGGUUGAGUCUAGAAAAUGACUCAACAAAGUUGGAUGAGAUUAUCGACCUAGAAAUCAUGGGAAUCGACGAGUGCAUGAAUAAACUCGGCGAGUCCAAGGCAAUCUCCUAAACCAUGAAGAUGGACUCGACGAGUUAUUCAUACAACUCGGCGAGUCAUACACUCAACACAUUCUUUUGAGGGAGAUGAACUCGAUGAGUUCAAGGGGAACUCGGCGAGUUGGUUGAAGAUGGUCCAUAUGGUAUGAUUGAAGGAGAACCCGACGGGUUCUUGCUAGACUCGACAAGUAGAGUUGGGAGUUGUAUUGAGUUGGAGGAGUAUGGACUCGACGAGGUGGUAGACCAACUCGGCGAGUCAAGUCAACUGGAUGUUGACCAAAGUUGACUUUGACCAGAUUUGAGUUGACCCUGGCUAAGGGUUACAAGUACAAAUUGAUAACUUAGAAGGGUUGUUGUGUAUGGAUUAAGGAGUUGAGGAGAGUCGAUUUUCACACCGAGGACAGUUCAAACACUAAGCGACAUUGAGCUAAGUUACCUUCCAGGAGAAGUGGGUCUAAGGCACUAAGGCUGAGCCACUAGUAGUUGAUUAUAGUUGAGAUGAUUGUCUUUGUGAUAAUUGUCUAGUUUGCUAUUACUUGAUAUCUUCUAUGUUCCAGUAUGUUAUGUUCUAUGUGAUAGUGGUAGUAUGAGGGAAUAGUCCCCCGAUCGGUUGUUAGGACCGAAGGGUAGGUCGGACACCCCAGAUAUGUCUGACAGCAUGCUUAUGAUAUGUUAUUAUAUGAUAUUAUUAGGGGUGAAAUAGUUCCUUUGACCGGGUGAGAUAGACCAGAGGGUAGGCAGGCACCCUAAAAUGGCGUGACAUGGGUAGUUCGUUUCAUCUCCAGAUUCCGAAGGAAGUUUCAUGAGGAGUUAGGUACUCAAUUGCUUUUCAGCACUGCUUACAACCCCCAGACCAUUGGUCAGAGCAAGCGGACAAUCCAAACACUCGAGGAUAUACUUCGGGCAUGUGUAUUGGAUUUUGGGGGGAGUUGGGAUACUUACCUCCCUGUAGCAGAGUUCUCAAAUGACAAUAGUUAUCAUGCUAGUAUCGAUCGACCCCCGUUUGAUAUGAUGUAUGGUCGGAGGUGUAUGGCUCCAGUUUUUUGGGGGGAGGUUGGACAUCGAGUUAUAAGAAGCACUGAGGUGGUGCUUAAGACCACUAGGUUGACUCAGGAAACAAAGCCUUCUUGCAUUGCAAGACAUCCUCUUCUUCUUUGUUUCUCUUUUCCUGCUCCUUUGCUUCAUUAACCACUUUCAUUGUUUCAUCAAGCUCUCUGUUUCUUUUCUUUCGUUUUAGAGCAUCAGCUAUAGUUUCUUCAACAUCAUUUUCACUGUCAUCAUUAACCCCUUUCUGCUUUGAUUGAGAACCAGAACCCGAAGCUAAAUUAACCUUCGGUUCUGUUGUGACUUUCGGUUGUUCAUCUUCUGUCUUCACAAUCGGUCUCAGUUUAACAAAAUAAUGAGUACUACUCUUUCCCCCUUGUUUUGGAGGUACAACCCCCUCCGAAACACCUUUCAUUUCACUUAAAAUUGCAAUGGCUGGAAGAAGUUUGGAUUGAAGAUGAUUCUGAAUAGUCAGAGUUAAGAUCGGAUCAUGCGCUUCAAGUAAAUUUGUCAGCAUAUCUUUUACAUCACCUGCACAACUUUUAUAAACGGCCCUCUGAACUUUCAACAAAGAAUUUUCUUUCUCUGCCUGGGCCAGCUGCACUUUCUGAAUAUCAAUUGUUGUUUGCUUUUAAGCCAAAUCCUCCUUCAAGGCACCUUCUGUUGCAAGAUUAGCAGCAAAAGCAUCAAAACGAGAAUCCACUGAUUUUAAGAAGGAAGUGGUUUAUGUUUUAACCUCAGAGCGUACAGCCUCAAACUUAGUAGUUUCAUCGUGAAGGAACUUAGAAAAGGAGUCCACAGAGGAUUGAUAGUGUGCUGCAUGGGUGUCAGCAUGAGAUUUUAACGACUCAAGAAAAAUCUGAGUUGUAUGAUUAAUCUCUGAAACGUCUUUGGUGGCCUGCUUAUAGUUGGAAGUAGACUCAUUAACUGCCUUCGUAGAAUUGUCAAUUUCCUGAGUGUACUGUUCAAUGGCUAUCUCCAGAAAUUCUUUAAGAACAACACCACCAUAGGCUUUGCUGUCGGCAAGCAAACGAUCCAACUUCUCAUGAAUGCCCUGUAUUUGUUGACUGGUGACAGGAGCAUCAGUCUCAUCAUCAGUUUGAAGUCGGUAAGGACUGUAGUAAAUUGAGUCAAAUUCUUCAUCGUCUCCCCCAAGAGUAGUACCAGAAUCAGAUGAUGGGGUUGGUGAAGGUGGUUUGGUAUCAAUUGGAGUUGUAGUCACAGUAGUAGCCCCUGUAUCAGAUACAUUGACUUCUACGGUGGAUUUGGGAAUGGUAGUGGUUGUGGAUUCAGUUAUAAGUGGAGAAGAUAAGGAUAUAGUUGAAAUAGGAACUGAAGUAACUGGUGGUGAGGUUGGCAAAGUUGUUGCUUGAGAGGUAAGAGGUGUAGUAACAGGGGGAACAGAAAGUGGAACAGUCUGUUUCGGCGAUUGGGUUGGAGUUGGAACUCUGUUGUGAUUAGGAGAUUCUAGUGGAGUAGGAGAUCAUGGAGGAGUGGGCUCUUGGGUUGAGACAAGAUGAACUUCUUCUUCCUCACUUUGCUCAUCUGCAUGAUCUGUGCCUGGAGGAGUGUUCCCUCUAGAUCUGCGAGCCAUCUUCUUUAUCUUCUUUGGUUUUGGUUGAGAAGUAUCUCCUUCACCAGACUUGCAUUUAGAGCUCUUGGACUUACGUUCCUUAGGAUCCUCUUUCUUUGAAACCCUCUUUCCUCUGUUGGUAGGCUUCUCUAGUGCAUCCAAAGCUACUUGUUGCUCUGGAGACAGAACUUUGGGUCCGAUAGGAGGAAGUUUCCUAUAGUCAGCCAAAACAUUGCUCUUUUCUGUAACACCACGAUACAUGGUUUCAGGAACAUUCCAUAAUGAGGAAACUUGAGCGGAUCAGAGAGAAUUAUCUUCUUUGUAUGGAAUGUGGCAACAGAAGCAAGUAGAGCAUCCUGCAUGAUCGGAAUCUCCAGAGAAUUAAUUGCCUUCCUUGUAAUCAGGGUCCAAAAACGCCACAUGAAACUUCAGAAUGCCGUGUCGAUGUAUUGAGACUCUGCACCACCUGAGACCAGAUUAUAGAGCCAUAAUCAAGAUUGAUCCCGUUGUAGAGGCCGUAAAGAAUGGCGAGAAAACCCUUCCUAGUAGUAUCGGAACCACCACAUCGUUCUGCCAAACCCUUAAUUAGUAGAGUGAGCAAGCCAUUCCAUUGAGAGCGUAAACAAGAUUUCUUCACUUUGGUGAUGGUUGUUAGCAUAUCGGUAUACCCCAUCUCGUACAUCAUGGAAAACAGUUGAGAUGUAGUGAUGAAGUCUGGCAAGAUGACAGAAGAAUCGACUGCAAGAUUCAAAAUCUAACAGAACUUCACCUUUGAAACCGAAGCCUUCUUGUCGUGAAUGAGAAAAUAGAUACGAUCUUUGUUUUUGUCAUAAGUCGCCGUGGAAUAAACCUGUGAUAGCAGUGACAUUGGGACUGCUUCAACCUGGGUUAGGGCUAAAACCAGGGGGAAUGUUUUAAACAUUCCACAACCUGCAGCAUAUACGAGUCAUAUAAGAACGGAUUAAGUUCAAUGAUCAUAUUUUGGUUAGGUUUAAUGGUAAGCAAGGAUGAUGAUGUUGUGUGUUCAUGUACUGAAGAGGAAGUCGCCAUUGGUGGAUGAAGAAGAUGAUGAACAUUGUUUACUCGUCGUUUGAGAGACUUGAAUGCUGGUAAGUUUGAGAGAAUUGAAUGCUGGUAAAAGACAAAUAAGAUGUUCAACCCUUUAUAUACCAUUGCCUGGAGAGAGAAAACCAUGAUGAUUAUGAUGAGAUCACUAAACGUCGCCUGAAAAAACGUGAUGUGACAGUUUGGUUACUCCCAAUUAUACGUCAGCACGCAUGGCUUUAGAAACCAUUCAAAUUCACACGCCUAAAUCUUAUCUUCAAUCGACGUUUAACAUUGCACAUUAGCCCCUCGUUUGGUUACAAUAAAUAAUCCAAAACUUAAACCAAACAGUAACCAGAAUUUUGGAAAAUAAAAAAUUUCGUGCAUCAAUGUGAAAAAGAUAAAGAAACAAAUCAAAUGUGUAUGGGAUGUGAGUGAUGUCUUAUAAUUAGACAGAAAGCAGAGGAUUCCGGGCAAGAAUCACUUCCUUCAAAGUCAAGAGAGACUUGAAGUGCUUGUGUGGUUUGCCGAAAAAUAUGAUCAACUGUUAGUUAAUAAACAUUGAAAGGCUUCUUUUAAUCAUAGGCUUAGGGUAGCUUAUAUUCAACCGAACUUCGAGUUUCAACAUAAAACCGAACGUUGGAAGAAGUACCUGUGAGACCAAUGCGGUCUCUAGAACACGUAGGUGGGUUUUAUUGUUUUAGUGACUAUAGAGAAAUCAGAAAUCUCAUAAAAAAUAAACCGGAUCUCUUUGAGAAGAAAUGCCUUGGUAGUAGACAAUUUCAUAAAAGAUCACACAAAAAUAAAAAGAGAUUUUCUCAGGUAACCAGUAAGUUCUUGAAUAUAUAAUUCACCGUCAAUUCAUUUUUAGUGUUGGAUAUUGGGUUUCACUCAGCACGUGGUAUACGUAUCUAAGAUCACAAACACAGAUGUUUUGUAACCAUAAACCUCAGUGGUAAAGACCGAGAGUCUCAAGGGUUACGUUGGUGAACCGAAAGUAGAUGGAGAAUAUAAGGAGGUGGCUAAAGAACCGAAUGUACCUUCUGCUAGAUAGUCCUGACAAAGUAGAGAAACUCUUUACUCAUAUGAGAAGAGUAAGGUAGCUCUAGACCGAGUGAUAUAAAUUAGCCUGAUUUGGAAGAAACGAUGGGUGUCAACCGAAUCAUUAAGGCCUGCUCAAGAUCGUAGAGGCUUAAGACAACAUGCAGCAGCAUGCUUCUAGGAACCCUUAACUAGUUCAUUUUGAAAUUGAAUCUUACCUUCCUUAGAUCCACAGUCGAUUAUAUGGGUAUUCAUAUCACCUAUGAAAAGUAAAGAAUCACACCAAACAAGCCAAACAGACAAACAUACGAGACAAACAAAAAUAAAAUAAAACAAAAUUAAAACAAAAAGAUAAAAUAUUUUUGAAAUUUUCUGAAAAAGAAUAAAAACAGAAAGAUAAAAUAUUUUUGGAAUUUUUGAAAUUUUUUGAAAAAGAAUAAAAACAGAAAGAAAAAAUAUUUUUGGAAUUUUUGAAAUUUCCUGAAAAAGAAUAAAAACAGAAAGAUAAAAUAUUUAAGUUCAAAUUAAAAGAGAGAUUUGCACAGAAUUUACAACCGAAACCUUAUUUCAAAUGAGUGAACCGAAAUAGACCGAGCGUUCGGUUCAUUUCGGUUCCAGAAAAUUACGGAGCCGAGAUAGACCGAGCGGUCUGUCCAUUUCGGUUGUCUAAUUUUAGUGAGAGUUUUGAGGAUUCGGUACCGACUCUCCUUCCAUCAUGCCCAAGCCUUGUAAGAUUUUGUUAAAGGUUGCUUCUGCAAGGCUUUAGUAAAUAUGUCAGCCAGUUGAUCAGCAGAUUGUACAAAGUGUACUUCCACGUUCCCAUCUUCUACAUGAUCCUUGAUGAAAUGAUACAGAAGUGCAAUAUGCUUGGUUUUUGAGUGUUGCACUAGAUUAUGACAAAUCCUAAUUGUGCUUUCAGAGUCGCAAUAGAGAGGAAUCUUAUUCAUACUUAGCCCAUAAUCUCUCAGUUGACUUUUAAUCCAAUCCACUUGAGAGGUGUAGGAUGUUGCAUCAAUAUAUUCAGCUUCAGCUGUGGAUAAAGAAACACAGGUUUGUUUCUUGGACUGCCAACUAACAAGUUUCCCGUCAAGAAAUUGGCAUCCACCUGUAGUACUCUUUCUGUCCAGUCCACAUCCUCCUAGAUCAGCAUCAGAGAAGGCUUGGAUGAAGAAUCCAGAUCUUGCAGGAUACCAGAGACCGAGAGAUGAAUUUUUCUUCACAUAUCGAAAAAUAUUCUUCACAUCAAGCAUGUGAGGUUCUCUUGGAUUGGCUUGAAACCUGGCACAGUAACAAACAGAAAACAUAAUGUCUUGUGUACUCGCUGUUAGAUACAUAAGGGACCCGAUCAUUUGACGAUAAAGUGUUAUAUACACAGCAGGUUUCUCCAAAGAUGGGGUUAGUUUAGUGCCAAAUGCCAUAGGAACCUUCACUUUUGGGUCACCCUUCAUUACAAAUUUUGUUAGCAAGUUCUUGGUGUAUGCUUCCUGGUUUAUAAAGAUACCUUCUGGUCCUGUCUAAUAUNUUCAAACCAAGGAAAAAGUUAAUUGGACCCAUUGUGCUCAUUUCAAAUUUAGUCUCCAUCAACUUCCUGAAUUUAGCUGUUAAGCUAGGAUUCGUGGAGCCGAAGACGAUAUCAUCAACAUAAAUCUGAACAAUCAUCAAAUGUUCGCCUUCCUUCUUACAAAAGAAGGUUGUGUCAACCGAACCUUGUUUAAAUUUUAACAUUUUCAAGAAGCGAGUUAGCGUUUCAUACCUGGCUCUCGGUGCUUGUUUUAGCCCAUAGACAGCUUUAUCCAGCACACAGCAGUGAUCAGGGUAUUUUUCAUUCACAAAACCAGGUGGUUGCUCAACAUAAAUGGUUUCUUCUAAUUCUCCAUUCAAGAAAGUGCAUUUGACAUCCAUUUGGAAAACUUCAAAGUUCUUGUGAGCAGCAUAUGCAAGAAAGAUUCUGAUAGAUUCUAACCUUGCUACUGGAGCAAAGGUUUCUUCAUAAUCUAUCCCUUCUUCUUGACAAUAACCUUUUACAACCAACCGAGCCUUGUUACGAAUGACAUUCCCUUCUUUGUCCAGCUUAUUUCUAAACACCCAUUUCAGGCCGACAACAGAAGCAUCUUUCGGUGUAGCAAUCAACCUCCAAACUCUAUUGCGUUUGAAUUCAUGGAGCUCAUCCUGUAUCGCUUGAACCCAAUAUGAAUGAUCAAGUGCAGCAUUUACAGUUUUCGGCUCAAUUUUGGAAAUAAACGAAUUGAGCAUACAAAAUUCCACUUUAGAGAAUAAUGCAGUCUGUUUCGCCUUCAGUUGAGAUCGAGUAAGAACACUUUCUGAUGUUUCACCAAUAAUUUGUUCUUUGGGAUGGUCUUUUGUCCAUUUCACUAAUGCAAGAUAGCUUGGAUCAUAUUUUGGAUUCAAUUCAGCUUCUACUUCUAUUUCAACAUCUGACAGAUCACCCUCACCUUCGUCAGUAGAACUAUCACUUUCUUUUUCCUUCUGCCCCUCGACUGGCGAAGUGAAAUCUCUGUCAGCAUCAGAGUCUGCAUUUCUUGUGGAAGUUGGUUUCUCCCCCCUCGAUUUGACUAACACUUGGUUGUUUUGGAUUAGUAUUUGCCCUAUCAUCUGAACCUUUAGAUGUAGGAUCUGAAUUUGGAUUCUCCCCCUCAACAGAAGCUCCGCUUUUCUGUGAGGAUGUAGAGCUCUCCCCCUAGAACGUUGAAUCGUUGUUUGGAGAGCCUGUUGAUGAUUUAGUACUUGGUGGUUCGCUUUCCAUCUCUUUAGUAGCUUCGUCUAUGAUCUUCUUGAGAUUAUAGAGUUUGUUAUCGGCUGUCGUUGCCUCUGAAUGAAUUGCUUUUUCUGGUUCAUCGAAUAGCCGAAUGUAUUCCUCAAACAGGUUGGAUAUUGGAAUCGAGACCUGUCCAAAUUCUGGGAAUAUGUCUCCUAAGGCACUUUCAGUCCUUUGAACCUUCUGCGUAUAAUUGUCAUCAAAGGUGACAUAAUAAGUCUCUUCAAUUGUUUUGGAACACUUAUUCAACACCCUGUAUGCUUUUGAUGACAGAGAGUAACCCAGAAAUAUGCCCUCAUCGGCUUUAACAUCAAACUUAUUUCGGUUCUCUUUAGAAUUAAAAAUAAAGCACCUUGAACCGAAGAUAUGGAAAAAUUUGACAUUCGGCUUCCUAUUGUUGAUGAUCUCAUAAGGAGUUAUGGAGAAUCUCUUGUUGAGCAAGGACCGAUUCUGAGUAUAGCAUGCAGCGGCAAUUGCAUCAGCCCAGAAGUAUAAAGGUAGGGAAGCGAAACUCAACAUGGUUCUGGCUGCUUCACAUAACGAGCGGUUUCGUCUUUCAACAAUCCCAUUCUGCUGUGGUGUAUAAGGGGCCGAAAAAUUGUGAGUUAUCCCCUUAUCAGCCAGAAAGUCCUCAAAAUCCUUGUUCUUGAAUUCCAGACCAUUGUCACUUCUGAUGUUUCUGACCGUUUUCUUUAGUUGUACUUCUAUUUGCUUGAUGAAUGCCUUCAGCUUGGGAGUAGUAUCUGAUUUCUGCUUAAGAAAGAAAACCCAAGUGAAGCGUGAAAAAUCAUCUAUAAUAACAAGAAUGUACUUACUUCUACCGAUACUCUCUAUAGCAGAAGGUCCACAUAAAUCAAUGUGUAACAGUUCAAGUGCUUCCACUAUCUUAGUAUUGAGGCAUGUAGGAUGGCUUCUUCUGCUCUAUUUACCCAUCUCACAUGGUGCACAUAAAUGCUCCUUUUCGAACUUCAGAAGAGGAAGGCCUCGAACAUGAUCACCAAUCACUAAUUUUUUGAUUUCCUUGAAAUUCAGGUGUGAUAGACGUCGAUGCCAUAACCAGCUUUCAUCGGUGUUUUCCUUUGACAGCAGACAGAUAGCUGGUGUCCCUCGAAUUGGGAUAAUAUUCAGAGGGUACAUCUCUCCCUUUCGUGUAGAUUUCAGUAGUACCUUCUUGGAUUGUUUUCAACUAUCUCAGACCCCUCAUCAUCGAAUGGUACCUUCAAACCCGUGCCAACAACUAAUUGUGACACGCUUAUGAGAUUGUGUUGCAAUCCUUCUACAUAAGCCACCUUUCUAAUCGAGAAGUCUCCAUUUGUUAUCAUGUCGUAUCCUUUGAUUGUUCCAUAGGAAUUGUUUCCAAACUUCACAGACCCACCAUCUUUCAGAGACCGAAACUCUCUUAGCUCCUCCUUCCUUCCUAUCAUGUGACGCGAGCAACCACUGUCUAUAUACCAUUCGUCGUCAAACUGCUCGUCACUGAUUACCUACAAAUUCAAGCAGAUUUAGGAACCCAAACUUUCUUGGGUCCUGGUAAGUUUUUCACAGAGAAAGGAAUAACUGCAGAAACAUUAACUAAAAAGGUUCGUUUAAUGAGAGUUGUUUGAUCUUUUCUUUUAAUGGUAUACACCUUGAUUUUUUUUUUUAUCUUCUUUAAAUUUUAGUGUAUCAGUUGAGGUAGUUUUUGAUGGUUUAGGAUUUUUCGUUUGAUUUCUAGCUUUAGUAGAGGAUUUCUUAUUUUCCUUCACAGAGUCUGAUACCAGCUUUCCUUUUCCUUUUCUGUUCUUUAAAGAGUUUGUUUCAGCUUGGGACUUGGAGGAUCCAUUACUAGGAUUGGGACCGAAUCUGGGUUGUGAACCGAAUCUAGGUCGAGGACCGAAAGUGGGUUCAGGACCGAGACAUGACUUUCGGUUCUGGGAUUUGGAAUAGUAGGAAUUUGGACUGAAAUUUUCCUUCAACUUUUCCUUUCCCUUGUCCAUGGAUCCUUUCCUGAGAGGCUCAUAAUUGGAUUUUGAGAAUUCCAAUGCUUUUUCCUUUCAUUCAGAUUCGUGGCAUAUCUCUGAUUUCUCAAGCGUUUCUGUUCAGCUAGCUCUUUCUGAGAUUUGUGAAUAUUGAAGUUGGCCUUUGGUUUCUUCUUCUGAAUUGCAGUUGUCUUACCUUUCAUUUUAGAUUAUGUGCUCUUCUUAGUUUGAACUUUCGGUUCUUCCUUUAUGAUUGGAACAUCAGGUUCAACUAUUGGUUCCCCAGGAACAUCUUUGGUUCCACUUGAGCUUGGAAUAUCGAAACUGGAGGGUUUGUUGAUAGGCUCUGGUAUGUAUCUACCUUUGACUCUCCAUGUGGUUUUCUCAGAUAGUCCCACAGUUUCAUCUGCGCUGUCAAUAGGAGCAGACCAGAAAUAGUCUUCACAUCCUUCAGCGUUAUCUUCGUCAACUAUGAUUCUUAAUUAUGUCGUUUGCCUUUGAGUGACCCCAGUUAUAGCAUAAACCUGAUUUGGCACGGUCUGAACCUUUAGAUAGACCAAGGCCUUUUCCUUGAGUUUUGGUUUCCAUUCUUUUGACAGACGAGCAAACUCAACGGGGUUUUCUGAUAUAAGAGGUUUUUCAUUCUCGGAUUCAUGUUUCAUAAACUUCAAGCAAUCAACCUCAUCCUCUACUGAGAUUUCACUCAUCUCGCUUUUCGCAUCAAAUUCAGACGAAUUAUCUAAGUUUAUUUUAUUAUCUUGAACAAUCUUGGCAUUUGACAGAUCGAAUGUUUGUAUAGUUUCAGUUUUAAUCUUUUGCCUAUCAUUUUCAUCUAAGAUAUUUUGAACAUACUCUUAUGUUCCUUAGAAUCGAUGAAGGUUUCUAUCUUAUCUAAACCUAGCCUAUAUGAACUUGAUGUUUCUUCAGAGGACACCUCUGAUUCACAUUCUGCUAUAACUUCAUCUUCCUUAAAUUCAAGAAAGGGCAAAAUCAUUUUAUGAAUUUUCUUGCCAAUUUCACAGCUUAAAUGUAAUUGAGUAAUGUUAGUAUAAAGACGCUUCGCAAUUAAACAUAAAACAUUUCGUUGUUUUAAUAACUUUAAAUUGUCCCUUUGCAAAUAAAUACAUUCAUCCCUAACUCUAACUAACUCCGCUUCCUUCAGUUCCAUCCACAUUCUCCUUUCCUCACUUUUUGAAGACACCCCGCCGAGUUGGUCAGUUAGGUUAGAAUUUGCUAAGCGGGUUUGCAUGAGGCUACUACUUAGGUUAGAAAAUUUAAAGUUUAAUUCAUUUAAUUCUUCUUGAUAAUCAGAUUUUGAGAUUUUAAGAGACUCAAGAAUAGAAUGUACCUUUUUGAUCAAUCGAUCGCAGUCGUUGAUCUUCUCACUUACUGGCUUGGCCGCAAAGCACUUGUUUUCUGUUUAGUUCGGUUCCGUAUCUGCACUUUCGGUUGAUGGACCAGCAGUGACGAUAAAGCACUUUCCACCCGAACCUUCAUUCUUUGCCACAUAUGCCUGUCCAUGAGUGGGCCUUCUUACCUCCUCGUCUUCAGAGUCGGUUGACCAGACUUCUAUGCUACCGAACUCAUCUUACCUUGCAUUCUCCUGUACGAUUAACGCAUUCAUCGAGCUGUUGGAUGCCUUUUUCUUCUUUACUUCUUCUAAUUUUCGCAUGUAAUACGCCUCAUCAUCUUCACCCUCUCUUUUCUAAGCCAUCUUUCUCAACAUGCAAUCUUUGGCAAAAUGGUUCUUGCCGUGACAAAAGUUGCAGUCGUAUCCAGAGUCUCCUGCAAGCUUGCUCUCCUUUUUCUCUUCAUCCUUUUGAGAGGAGACUUUUGGUUCAUCCUUCAUCUUUUCAGAACUAUAACUUCCCUGCCAGUUUCGGUUCUUGCUGACAGGAAAUUUUCUUCUUGCAAAUUUCUUUGGAUUUGUGACCAUCAUAGCAUACUCCUCACUUGUAAGGUCGCAUUCUGACAUGUCUGUCUCUUCUUCUUCUUCUGCAGUACUUUUUCCUUUAGAAACAAGAGCUAGCGAUCCCACACCAGAGAUCACUUUCGCUUCGUUGGUUACAACACUUUCAUGAGACUUUAGUAUACCUACUAGUUUCGCCAGCGAGUACGAUUUGAACUGUUUAUGCGCCUUCACAGUGGAAACCACAGCCAUCCAUUCUGGUCUCAGCCCGUUCAUAAACGUUACUUUCUGCUCGAUCAUCUUUCUUUCUAUUCCAUGCUUGAUCAUCUUACUGAGGAUAUGAUUGAACCGAUCAAAGGUCUGUACAAGCUUCUCUUCUGGUUUCUGUUCGAAAACUCCAAAUUCUGACAGCAACAGAGUUUGAAUGGAGUGUUCUAGGUCUUCAUCAGUUGAGUAAAGUUCCUUCAACCUAUCCCAGAUCUCUUUAGCAGUUGUGCAUGAACCUACUAGCCGAAAGGUGUCAGACUACAGGGUGAAUCUUAUCAUUCUCAUGGCUUUAACGUUACACAAGAGCUUGUCCUUCUCAUCCUGUGGCAUCUUCUCAACAUCCGUCACCAGCUUUUUGUAAUCCGUUUGCGACUUUACAGUCAUGUUUGUUCCCGAAUGUACAAACGGUCCACGAGUGAUAGCUUCCAGAUGAGAUAGCCAUUGUCUUCAGAUCCAACCACGUAAUCUUCAAAGUGAUGAGCCCAUACUUUGUAGUCUUGAGUAUAGAGUAUGGGUACUCUAGUUGUUGAUCUGAUGCUGUUUGAGAUGUUUAUGGGGUUUGUAUGCGAAUUGUCGUGAGACAUGGUGAGCUGCUAGAAUCAAACCUGUAAACUUGAGAUUAGGGUUUUAUCAAAAACAGAGUUGUCGUCGAUAUGAAGAUGAUGGCUUCUAUCUAUACGAUAAAAGCGGAAACACUAAAGUAUUAUGAAUACAGAAGUAAUGUGUAUUGAUCACACAAUCUCCUGCUCUGAUACCAAUUGUUAGAACAAGGUUCUUUUAGGAUCAUAUGAUUCUAAGCAGGAUAUUAAAUAAGAACGUAAUAAGAACACAAGUAUGGCACUAAAUAUGUCGUAUGAUUAACGUGAUAACACCUCAGAAGAGCUCGAUAAAGAACUUCAAUCUGUAGAGGUGUUUAGGGUUACAAGAAUCUACGUAAUUAAUCACCAUUUUUUUAAUAUACGCAUACAUGCAUGCAUAUAUAUACUAUAACCCUAACAGCUAAUCUAGAUAACAACGAAACUAAUCUAGAUAGACACGGAUGGACAGGCCCAAUCCAGAUACAAAAUCUAUAAGGCCCAAGACGCAACACAAGUGGACUCAACAAGGUGCAAUGGAAGCACUAGAAAGGCUCAAAAUGGACAUGGGAGCCCGAGGAGGAGAUGAGGGAGCAUUAUCCAAGGUUGUUCGAGGCAUCGGUGUAAAACCCUGUUUAUUUAUUAAAUAAAUUAAUUAAUUAAUUAAUUAAUAGAAGCCCUAAAAUAAAUGACUAUAUAUCGAAUGAUGGUCUCGUAGAGCUAAUUGUCACACUUUAAGAGAUUGGGGGUUAAAAGUGUUAAAUCCGGACAUAAUUUGUACGUAUUAUGGAAGGCGGGGACUAAAGGGCAAUUAUUGGGACUUCAUUAAAGAGAUUUUGGAGGCCUAGGGGCGGUUUGGUAAAUCAGGUAUCAAAUUUGAAGGGAAUUUCCGAAGUUGGGGUAUAAAAGGUAAAAUUUGGGCUUAGUUUGCAAAAGAUAUGGUAAGGAGGGGCUGGUUGUGACAAAUCUGUAGAAAGUUUAUAUGGGGUGCGGGUAUUUAACCCAUCGUCAUGCACCGGCCUCCUAAAACCCUAAACCUAAUAUCAUAUGCAUCCGCCACUCAAGUUCAUCAGCCGCCACCACCGGUUUCUCUUUUGUGUUCCGACCAGAUGAAGCUCCGACGACGCCACUUGCUGCCUCGACAUCGAGAUGCCGUCACACCUUGCUACCGGACUCCAUGCACGAAAGAAGAAACCACCAAGAGCGACUUCCGGGUGGCGUGAUGACGCUCUCGGAUGCUCCUCCUCUUUCUUCUCCUGCUUCACCUUCANCUUUCUUCUCCUGCUUCGCCUUCAGCCAACGCCGCCGAUGUCGCUAGGGUUGUCAAACGCCACCACCUGUUGUGCAUCCGUCGUGGGGAAACUAGAAGGCCGACGACUUUAUGGAGCUGUGGUGGUUCGGGGUUGGACUGCUACCUCCCUUCUCCAUGUAUUGCUGCGAACGCGCCGUUCCGAGAUGAUGAAGUCGCUCCUAUCGCCGCUGAUGCCUAUCCAACCGCUGUUAUUGCCGGUUGUUGCGCCACUGCCGCCGCCGCUUACCUUAGGUGGGUGGCUGGGUUCGUUUUGCUACUAGAAGACGAGUGUGUAUGCGUGUGUAUUACAGUCAAGUGAUGUUUGGGUGUUGCUUGGUCGGAUUUUUUUCAAAAAGGAAUCACCGCCACCACCGUGAGGUGGUGGCUGCCACCAUUUACAACCACCGGCCACCAUAAGGUGGUUGUGUUUGUGUGAUUAGUUUGUUUAGUGUUUUUAUUUUGGGUUUAGAGUGUGUAAAAUGUAAUCGUAAAUUGGAAUAAUGAAAAAGGAACCCUAACCACCACCAUNAUCCUGCCGCCACCGGCCGCCGUGUCGGGUGGCGGUGUGCUUGCCUUGUGAGAUUGAUUCGUGUGGGGUGCUAGAAACCCUAAUGGGCUCAAAGGAGCUCUAAUGGGCCCAAUGAAGCUUAAUGGACUCUAAUGGACCCAAUAAAACCCUAAUGGGCUUAAUAAUAUUUUAGCGGGCUAGAUAGGCCCAAUAAAGCCCUAAUUGUCAUAAAAGGCCAACAAAUUGAUAAAUGGGCUAAUAUUUGGAUUUGAACACCCUAAUGCCAAUGAAAACCUAACUUUAAGAAUUAAUCGUGUCAUGCACACGAGAAUUAUUUAAUAACUUGAGAUAUUAAAUAAUAAUCAUUGGUAAAGAUUAAUGUAUGCAAUAUUGGACUUAAUGGGUUAAGUCCUUAAUGGAUUAAGUCCUUAAUGGGUUAAGUAGGAAACUUAACCCUAAGUCUUGCCAUUGCUUUCUCCCCAAGUCUUGCCAUUAGAUGGUGACAUGUGGCACCAAGUUCAGCCAUUUUACAGCUUAUAAAUAGAACCUCUUCUACCCUCAUUUUCUUCACACAUUUCCUAUUUUUUCUUCUCUUUACUCUCUCUCUAGAACCUCUCUCUAUCCCCGAAACCCCCCGAAAAGCCUAGGGAACCUCCCUAGCACGAGGCUGAAGCCCCGGAGUGCUCGACGGCUACGAGAAGAAGAGCUUUUCGGCUCGGGAACACUACUCCAAGCAAAGCCCGGUUUUCUAUAAAACCCGUUGUAAGUGAGCUACGCCUAUGCUAUUUUUAAUAUAGCUUUUAUUUAAUAUAGUAACGGUAUUAGGAACUUAUAAUAAGUACUUGGGAUAUUAUUAUGGGUUAUAUAAGUAUUGUUUAACGCUUAUAUAAUAGUAAUCGGCGAAUAAUAGACUAAACUCUAGUGGUAAUAAUACUAGGUUUCGUCGAAGGAAAUUAUUUUUUUUAUGUAGCGAAGCGCUGUCUGAUUCGGAAUCACCACCUUUUCAAGUGAGUGCAUGGCCCCUUUCAUCUUACACAUAAAUAUGAAGUACUUAAUAUAAAUUACGUGCUAUGUGUCUGAAUACUUGCUGUCUAUGCUGGGUGAAAUAAUUUUAUACACGUUUUAAAUGAUUUAAACUGUAUAUGUAUUUUAUAUCUACAAAAUGUGUUGGGUAAAACAUGGGUAGAUGUAAUAGUUGCUGUGUGACCAAAUAAAAUAAUGAGAGGCCUCGAUAUAGAUGUUAUUGAAGAUCCAGUCAUCUAGCGGAGUAUAGAUGACAACCACAGACUAUUCUAGACAGUCCAGUGGAACGCUAGCAGACUCACAACCUGUAGGUGUUUAUUUGAACUAUGUGCUCACCAAAAAUACUCCAUCCCCCACAUGGUUGCCUUAUUUGACAUGAAUUGUUGAGGAACCCCAGAAGCAUGCGUUGUCACCCCGAUGAAAGUCAUUAGACUAGGUCCCUUGUGUUAGAUGUUUUAGGGACGUAAAGUGAGGAUAACGGGAAUGGGUAAUUCGGUUUGUUUGGUUUGACAAAAUUAAUAAACUAUGACAACCCAAAAAUUUCUGUUAGUUUUAACGUCGAAAUUAAUUACGUCAAAAAUUAGCCAAAUUUAUCCCGAAAAUAUUUUUGACCGGAUUUAAACCCGUUGGAAUAUUUUAAUUAAUAUUCGUCAAACGAAAAUAAAAACACGAAAAUUAUCUUUCCGUUUAUUUGGAAAAAGUUUAUUUUUAUUUGCGGCCAUUUAACCGGUUGAAAUUUUAUACCUCGUUAAACAUAAGUAUCGGGUAGUCGUAUACCGGGUACAACACCCAAGCCCUAUAUAAGGAAGGGUGGACACUCCUUAGAAGCCUUUUCCCACCUUAGACUCUCUCUCUCUCUCUACUUUCUCUCUCUACAAACGGGUUUUGGUCAAAAAUCGCCCCUUCGAGCCUCAAAUCGGUAAGUAAACCUUCCAAGCUUGUUAUCUAACUUAUCUAGCUUGCAAAUUCGUGAGUUAAUCAUCCAAAAACCCCAAUAACAUGAGUUUACGGUCUUGGGAGCCUCCUAAAACCGUAAACCCCUUUGGAAGUGGGUUUGAUGCCCAAAACCCCUCCCAAACACUUCUCAUGCUUAGCAAUGGCUUAGAGGCUUACCCGAAAGGACUUAGAACACCAAAAACGGACCAAAUGGGGAGUAAACAUGAGUUUACGGUAUAAGAACAUCCGUAGACCGUAAACCGAUAUUCAUGGACCAUAAACACCUUUUAAGGUAUUAAACAACCCCUCAAACACCUCCAAAAGCUUCCAUGGGUGCCUAAAACCUUGUAAUCCUUCGUUUGAGGCACCAAAACAUAGGAUUCAUGGACAAAAUGAGUUUACUACCGUAAACUCAUGUGUUUAAGGUAGUAAACUCCCCAAGAACAUCUUCUUAGACCGUAAACACCUUUCCAAGGUGUUUAAGUGCCCUAAACACCUUCCUAUGCUCCUAAAAGUGACUAGAACCUUACAUGCAUGAGUUAGAACCACCAAACAACAAAAGAAAUGGACCAAUAUGAGUUUACUACCGUAAACUCAUGUGUUUAUGGUCGUAAACUCCUCAAGGAGUAGUCAUAGGCCGUAAACUCCUUAAAUGGGCCAUUUUGAAGCCUUAAACCCUUCAUAAGCCCUAGAAUUGAACCUAGCCUAGUUCCACAGGUGUUAUAAGACCUUAAUGUAUCAAAGAACACACCAUCCAUGAGUUUACGGCCGUAAACUCACGGGGAUAAGGUAUUAGGGCCGUAAACUCUAUAAAGAGUUUACUCUUGAAGAGUAAACUCCCUAUCUAGGCCAGACACACCCUUAGAUGUUACCCAGGACACUCCUAGCACUUGACCAAAGUGUUUUUCGCAUUUUAGGAUGCGUAUACAUGUUUAAUUAGUAUUAUAUUUACUAAUUGUGUGUAAACAUAUGUCAUCAUAUGUUAAUAGGUCACUAAGUGUGUUCAAGUCUUUACUUGACACCGAGCACCCAACGGGCACUUUCGUUGGAUCCGCUUACAACAGGUGAGUUCAUACCCCUGAAUUAACGUUUUAAAUGUUUUUACAUGCUUUUAUGGGGGGAUACAAGUUAAAACAUGCCAGUUAUCAUAUCAAUCACAUGUGAUUGAUAACCCGCAUGCACAAGGAUUUAUUACACUGUUAACUAUUUUACCAAGUAUGAUACUGUAAAUGGUUUUCUAAAACGUCUUUACUUGUUCAAAGCUUUUCUCAAAUUGACUCUCGCGCUGUAUGUUUUACUUAAGAUUCAUUUACAGCAGUAUUUUAAACAAAGGAUUUCUUUACUUAUAAUGUUUUAUCAAAGUUUCAUUUAAAACUUGUUUAUGAAAGGUUUUCAAAGGAUUUCUAAAGGUUUUCAAACUUAUUUUACAAAAUAAUACCAAGUCGUGAUUUUCUUAAGUGUAAUGGUUUUCCAAAGUUUUCAUCAAAGUUUUCUUCCAUGUGUUUAUACUCCUACUUCGUUAGAUACUACUACUUCAUUAUACUUCUACUUAGUUAAUGCUCCUACUUAGUUAAAUGCUACUACUUUGUUAACGCUUCUACUUAGUGAUACGCUUCUACUUCUUAACGCUUCUACUUAGUGAUACGCUUCUACUUGUUAACGCUUCUACUUAGUGAUACGCUUCUACUUGUUAACGCUUCUACUUUGUGAAAUGCUCCUACUUUGUUAAUGCUACUACUUCGUAAACGCUUCUACUUUAUUAACGCUUCUACUUUAUUAACGCUUCUACUUCGAGAAAUGCUUCUACUUUGUUAACACUUCUACUUAGUUAAAUGCUUCUACAUCGUUAAAUGCAUGCCUGUACUUGUAUAGUUAUAUAAAUAAUGCUUAGAGGACUUAGGAAGGCUACCUCUCCCUAUUUCCUUUUCCUCGUUUGGAUGUGGUCUGGUGGGAUCAGAUAUCCGUCCGAAAGUUGUUUAAUCAUUAAUUAUAUAUCAUGUAUACAUGUAUAGACAUGAAGGUUUACAUCGGUCAGUUUAUUUGUGAGUCUUUAUCGUUAGCCCAAUAUUUACAUCAGAACUCACUAUACGAGAUGCAUCUUCAGGACACGGCCUUCUCUGUUGUCAAGUUGGUAACCAGAGUCUCUUGUAGGGAGAGCGGGCAUUGUGUGUAUAGAUCUAUACGGGAUUGACACCCCUACACCCUGACUCCUAGCUACAGUCCACGGCCUACCAAGCCAAGGGGUGACAAAUGUCACAUUCUUUCCGAUGCUUGCAGGGCGUCAAGUUCUCUAGUGUCUAUCAGUAUAGUUACGAGUAUCUCAGGGUUACCUUAUAAUUCAUGGCCUUAAGGUAACGGGAAUUAACACUGUAUUCACUGUUUUUAGACCUUGCUAGACGUAUCAUUCAUUUGAUACUGUCUGGGGUCUGUAUUCACUGUUUUUAGACCUUGCUAGACAUAUCAUUCAUUUGAUACUGUCUGGGGUCUGUAUUCACUGUUUUUAGACCUUGCUAGACGUAUCAUUCAUUUGAUACUGUUUGGGGUCUAUAUUCAUUGUUUUUUGACCUUGCUAGACGUAUCAUUCAUUUGAGACUGUCUGGGGUCUGUGUCUCCUUUCGUUAGACUGAGCCAGGCGUGUUGUUCAUUCGAUAUUCCCCUGGAGUCUAUGAUUUCUUUUGCCUUAGUCAGCAGUAUUUCCUGCUGNUUUGCCUUAGUCAGCAGUAUUUCUUGCUGAGGCCUAUGUUAUUUUCCCUAAUGCUUUUACUUGUGAUAUCCUUCUACUUUCAUUAAAGUCAAAUACCGUAUUUUGGUUAUGAUAAUAUUUUAGGGAAAUUCUCUUUAAAACAUAACACUGUCGGGUCUUGGUAGAAGACUACUUUUAUUUAGAAAAUAUAGGAUUUUCUGGAAAGGGACUCUAAUACACCGUUGAUUCAAAACUACUACUUUUUAUAAAGUUAUUUGAAUAAAAUGACACUAAAUACUUAUGAACUCACCAGCAUUUAUAAAAAUGCUGAUACUCGCUUUCAAAUAACUUGUAUUCUCAGGUCAACAAUAGACAGGUACAUUCCAGGAGCUUCUGGUGAAGACAGUUUAGUACCAAGCUGCACCUAUAUUAUUACUUGUAUUACUUUGAUGUUUCUAUGUAAUGUACACUAUGUGUAACAACGCAAAUUUUCAAGCAAUUUUUUUCUUUUUAUAAAUAGAGUAAUUUCAUUCAAACCAAGGCAUAAAUAAUUUAAGUGUCAUGUCAAAUACAAACUGUCUAAAUCCCAAGAUCAUAAAAAAACAUUCUUCAGUGUGUAUCGAUCACGCCGGCGCCUUCCCACGGUCCUCGCUAGUACCUGAAACACAUACAUAACCACUGUAAGCAUAAAUGCUUAGUGAGUCCCCCAAUAUACACUUACGCACAUACGCCUUUCCAGGCCCUGACCUUCCGGUCCUCAACACAACGCCUUCCGGCCCAUAACAUAAUCGCCUUCCGGCCCAUAACAUAUUGCCUUACGGCCCACAUAACAUACAUAGCACACAUAUAACAAAUAACUUACCACAUAUAGCAUACAUAUCACAUAUCAUAUCCGACCUUCCGGUCACACAGUCAAACCCUUCCGGGUACAGUAUAGUGAGAAGACUCACCUCGUAAGUGCUGAAAGCUAGCAACUCCUGAAAUCACUCGCGCACAAACCAACGAGCUACAACCCUCCUAUAACAUUACAUAACUCAUUAACACUCAUAUCAUCUAAGUGUGACUAUCCCUAAGAAGUCAGACUUAGGUCAACCCUGGUCAGCGGUCAACGGUCAACUCGACCGGACUCGGCGAGUGCCAUGGCGACUCGGCGAGUCUAGAUGUUCUCCAACUCUCUGAGAGUCCCUAUCUACUCGUCGAGUAUCCUCCUUGACCCGACGAGUUACUCCUGGAAGAAUCGCGGGGCCACCCCGACUCCACUCGCCGAGUCUGAAGAACAACUCGACGAGUCCCAGUAAAUCUUCAAGCUACUCGCCGAGUCUGAAGAACAACUCGGCGAGUCCAUGCCAUGCAGACGAGUAACUGCUUCCUGGGAUAGGUCUCGUCCCGAAGUACACAUGCAUGGGACCUUCUGGACCUCUAAAGGUCCUAAUACAAGACUAUAAUCGUGGGGUAACAAGGCAUUACUUCAUCAAAUCACUAAAUGGGUUCUAUAAACCCUAAUUUCAUAAAUACAUCAAAAUAACAGAUUUGGUCCGAGUAUUACCUGAAAACGCACUCUCUGUGUCCCCCAAAUCUCAGGACUCAAUCCUCCUUGAUAUUCCUUUAGCCAAAUCCCUCUUCUUCUUGCCUAACCAAUUCUUCCAAGUUCCAAAGCUUUCUCCCUUGCUCUAGGCGUCCACAGCGAUUAGGGUUUCUCUCAAUUGACCAAAAGACUGAAAAUGACGGCCUAAGAGGCGUUAAAUACGAUCCAAACUGAACGGUUAGGGUUUCUGCUGAACAGCGUCGACUCGCCGAGUCCAUAUCUGGACUCGUCGAGUCCAGUCGCGGACCCGCGACCAAGUCCGCGAUCCUACUCGGCGAGUCUAGGCUCCAACUCGCCGAGUCCCCUCUUAAAUCACCCCAAAAACAUAAUUUUAAUAAUACCUGAGAUUCCGGGCUGUUACAACUCUCCCCCACUUGGAUUAGACUUCGCCCUCGAAGUCUCACUCUGCAAAUAGUUCCGGAUGCUGCUCCCGCAUUUCGCGCUCCGGUUCCCAAGUCAUUUCUGAUCCCUUACGGUGUUGCCAUUGAACCAACACCAGAGGUACCUCCUUGUUCCUCAGAACCUUGAUCUUCCGAUCCCUGAUAGCCACUGGUCUCUCCGCGUAAUUCAGGCUCGCAUCCACCUGAAUAUCCUCCAAUGGAACCACUGCCGACUCAUCGGCUAUGCACUUCCUCAACUGCGACACAUGAAAAGUGUCAUGGAUCUGACCCAACUCCGCUGGCAACUCCAACCGAUAGGCUACCCGACCUAUCCUUGCAAUCACACGAAAUGGCCCAAUAUACCGGGGCCCCAACUUGCCCCUCUUCCUGAAUCGAAUCACUCCUUUCCAAGGAGAGACCUUCAGGAGAACGAAGUCGCCGACCUGAAAUUCAAGCUCGGAUCGGCGCCUGUCUGCAUAACUCUUCUGUCGGCUCUGGGCAGUCAAUAACCUUUGUCUCACUCGCUGAAUCUGCUCUGUCGUCUGGAGCACGAUCUCCGUGCUGCCCAUCACUCUCUGUCCCACCUCUCCCCAGCAAAUGGGGGUCCGACACCUCCUACCAUACAACAGCUCGAAAGGUGGCAUACCAAUGCUCGAAUGAUGGCUGUUGUUGUAGGAGAACUCUGCCAAUGGUAAAUACGCAUCCCAACUACCCCCGAAGUCUAACACACACGCUCGGAGCAUGUCCUCCAGCGUCUGAAUCGUCCGCUCGCUCUGACCGUCUGUCUGGGGAUGGUAUGCGGUACUAAAAUGCAAUUUAGUACCCAGCUCCUCAUGGAAUUUCUUCCAGAAUCUGGAAGUAAAGCGCACAUCACGGUCUGACACAAUCGAGAUCGGCACCCCGUGCCGAGAUACCACCUCUCUCACGUAUAUCUCCGCCAACUUCUCCGCUGAAGAACUCUCACUGAUGGCAAGGAAGUGUGCACUCUUCGUCAACCUAUCCACGAUCACCCAAAUUGCGUCAACUCCCCUAGCAGUCCUUGGCAAUUUGGUGAUAAAAUCCAUAGUGAUCUGUUCCCACUUCCACUCGGGGAUCUCCAAUGGCUGUAACUUGCCAUGCGGUCUCUGGUGCUCAGCCUUAACCCUACGGCAGGUCAAGCACCUCUCAACGAACCAUGCCACGUCCCUCUUCAUACAGGGCCACCAAUAUUCCUUCCUUAAAUCCAAAUACAUCUUUGUAGCACCGGGAUGGAUCGAGAAUUUCGAUCUAUGAGCCUCUUCCAUCAACGUAAUACGCGUACCGCCCACGAACGGUACCCAAAUCCGACCCUGAAACGUCAUAAGGCCUCGACUAUCCUUGACAAACUCUGAGAUUAACCCCACAACCCGCUCUUUCUUCCGCAUUUCUGGUCGCACAGCCUCUGCCUGGGCCCCACGAAUAGCGUCCAAUACUGGAGUCAUCACAGUCAGUCUCAAGCAUACAUCUCGCAAUGGAGUGCUCUCCGCCCUGCGGCUCAAUGCAUCGGCUACCACAUUAGCCUUGCCUGGGUGGUACAGGAUCUCACAAUCAUAAUCCUUGACCACAUCCAACCACCUCCUCUGACGCAUAUUUAGGUUGGGUUGAUCCAUCAAAUACUUCAAACUCUUAUGGUCCGUGUAUAUCGUACAUCGAACCCCAUACAAGUAGUGACGCCAAAUCUUGAGAGCGAACACUACUGCCCCCAACUCUAAAUCAUGCGUGGGAUAUCUCGCCUCAUGAGGCUUCAGCUGCCUCGACGCAUAAGCUAUCACAUGACCCCUCUGCAUCAACACUGCACCCAAUCCCGAAAUCGAUGCGUCGCAAUAUACCACGAAAUCUUCCAUCCCUUCUGGGAGAGCUAAUACCGGGGCUUCGCACAAUCUCUGGCGAAGUGUCUCAAAGGAGGUCUGCUGCUCGGGCCCCCAUGAGAACGUAACACCCUUCCGGGUCAAUCUGGUGAGUGGCACUGCGAUCUUGGAGAAAUCCUUGAUAAAUCUCCGAUAAUACCCUGCCAACCCAAGGAAACUUCUGAUCUCAGAGGGUGACUUCGGCACCUCCCAACUCAUCACCGCCUCAACCUUGGCCGGAUCGACUAAUAUCCCUUUCUGAUUAACCACAUGUCCUAGAAACUGGACCUCCCGCAACCAGAAGUCACAUUUGGAGAACUUUGCAUAAAGCUUCUCCGACCUCAAUACCUCAAGGACCUCCCUCAAAUGCUCCUCAUGCUGCUCUCUAGAUCUCGAAUACACCAGAAUGUCGUCGAUAAAUACAAUCACUGACCGAUCCAACAUCGGCCUGCAUACCCUGUUCAUGAGAUCCAUGAACACAGCCGGGGCAUUGGUGAGUCCAAAAGGCAUCACCACAAACUCAUAAUGUCCAUAUCGCGUCCUAAACGCUGUCUUCUGGACGUCUUCAUCCCGUACUCUCACCUGAUGGUAUCCUGACCUCAGAUCGAUCUUGGAAAACCAAGAUGCUCCCUGCAACUGAUCGAAUAAAUCAUCGAUCCUCGGCAACGGGUAACGGUUCUUGACCGUUAGCUUGUUCAACUCCCGGUAAUCAAUGCACAUCCGGUGUGAACCAUCCUUCUUUUUGACGAACAGAAUAGGUGCUCCCCAUGGCGAGCUGCUCGGCCGAAUGAAUCCCUUCCCCAGCAACUCCUGGAGUUGCGAGGACAACUCUUGCAUCUCUGGAGGUGCAAGACGAUAGGGCACUUUAGCAAUAGGCGCGGCCCCCGGAACCAGAUCGAUACCAAACUCUACUUGCCUCACAGGAGGUACUCCCGGCAGUUCCUCGGGAAAAACAUCUGAAAACUCACGCACCACAGGGACCUCCUCAACUGACUUCGGUCUCUCGGAAACCUCCCGCGUAUCCAUCACAUACGCCACAAAACCCUUACAGCCCUGCCGUAGACACUGCCUCGCCCUAGCGGCCGAACAAAAAGCUGAUCCCGAACGGGUACCCUCGCCGUACACCGAAAGAACUCCCCCUCUAGGGUCUCGUAUAGUCACCAACUGACGCUCACAGUCGAUGACAGCGCCGAAUCGGCUCAACCAGUCCAUGCCCACGAUGACACAGACAUCACCCAUCGCAAUAGGAAUCAGGUCAAUCGGGAAUUCAACCCCGAAAAUCUCUAGUACACAUCCCCGAAGAACCUCCGUAGCACAAAUCACUUUCUCGUCAGCUAUAGAAACUCUCAAAGGUCGACUCAACGACUCACGACUAACGCCGAUAUGCUGACUAAAGGCUAAGGACACAAAGGACCUACUCGCACCCGAGUCAAAUAACACUAAGGCAGGCACAGAGUUCACAAGGAAAGUACCUACGCGCAUAAUAACAUAAGCAUAACAUAUCGACAUUAAAAUAAUUACAUGAAUUACAACAUACCUGCCACAACAUCGGGCGCAGCGCGGACCUCUUCCGCAGUCAGCUGAAAGGCUCUUCCCCGAGCCCUCGGGGCCUCGGCCUUCACCGGUCGAGUCGCAGUAACUCCGGCAGCAGGUGCAGAUCCCUGAAGAAGCUGAGGGCACUCGGCCUUCCUAUGGCCAGUCUGGUUGCAAUGAAAGCAAACCGUAAAUCCCUUGGGACACUCCCUAGCAAUGUGCCCCUCCUUGCCACACUUGUAGCAAGCACCAGAUCGACAUACUCCAUCAUGACUCUUGCCGCACUUCCCGCAAGUGCGACCCUUCGAACCUCCUGUCCUCGAAUCAGCGGACUUGGUCCGCUUGGCUGCCGGCUGGAACUGAGCCGGUCGCCGGUCCACCCGCUGAGACUCGGCCUCCUCCCUGGCCUGGGUCUCCAACUCGAUCUCGCGCUUCCUGGCAUUCGCCUGAAGCUCAGCAAAAGUAUGGUAAGUGGAGUUUGACACAAACUCCCGGAUAUCCCUCCUCAACACUCCCAAGUACCGGCUCAUCCGAGCCUGAUCAGUGGACACCAGCUCGGGGCAGAACAUCGCCCUCUCAUGAAACUUCCGCGUGAUCACCGCAACCGAAUCAGUACCCUGCUUGAGGGUUAAGAACUCCUGAACCAAUCGUUCCCUCUCCACCGGGGGAACGUACUCAUCCCUGAACAUGGCAGUAAACCCCUCCCAUGUCACUGCUGUAGUCUCUGCCAAAGUGAAGUUCGCCGUCACGAACUUCCACCAGUCCUUCGCUCCCAGACGGAGCUGGUUCAAAGCGAACCGUACCCUCAGGUGCUCCGGGCAUGAACAAGUGUAGAAGCACCCCUCUAUAUCCGCGAUCCACCUCAUCGCAGCAAUCGGAUCCUGCGUCCCAUCGAACUCCGGUGGCUUCGUGUUGCUGAACUCUCGGAACAGCAACGAGUCACCCCCCUGUGGCCUAGCAGCGGCCACAGCUGCGGUAGCUGCAGCGGUUGCAGCCUCAGUCAAUGCGGCGUACCGCUCAUCAAACGUCUCCAUCAGGGUGGUCUUAAUAGACCCAAACAUCUCCGGGAUCUCAGCCCGGAUCGCCGCAGCUACCUCCUCGUGAAUCAUCUGACGAAUCUCCUCGUCACUCACACCGCUCGAACUCGCUCCGUGGCGUGGUCUAACCAUGAUGUCUCUGAAAUACAACAUAAAACUAUCAGAGACUCCAUCGAGUAUAAUCGCACUCGAUAACGCAACCCUACUCAGUCUCCGAUAUCCAGGGAUUCUUACUUGGGUCUCCCACUGACCCGGUGUCUUCGGUAGUACGGGCCCAAUACUACCGACCACACCGCAUCAGCAUUCAUCCCAAGUCUUCCUCCCCAAACCCCGGAUAGUGAGUACUCUACUUCUGAUAUGCACUAUCUACCCGCACACUAGCAAAGCAUCUCAUAUCGGCAAACUUCCCUAGACUAAGGCAUCACAAAUCAGGCCACUCUAGUCCUAUCAUGAAUACCUAGUCUUCUAGCAUGCAUAACAAUUCAUAUCAUAUAAUAUUGUAAGGUAUUUUGGGGAUCUUUACCGUUCGGGCGCUGACUGAUCGUACACACUGCUUCUUUCUUGCUUACCACAAAACCAUUUACAAAAGUUUAUGCCUUUAUUUAAAAAGUUUUCCUCAAAUCCUCGGUUUGAGUUCAGUUACUCCCGAAGGUGCACCCGAAUCCCUCAAACCAAGGCUCUGAUACCAAUUGUAACAACGCAAAUUUUCAAACAAAUUUUUCAUUUUAAAAAUAAAGUAUUUCCAUUCAAAACAAGGCAUAAAUAAUUUAAGUGUCAUGUCAAAUACAAAUUGUCUAAAUCCCAAGAUCAUAAAAACAUCCUUCAGUGUGUAUCGAUCACGCCGGCGCCUUCCCACGGUCCUCGCUAGUACCUGAAACACAUACAUAACAACUGUAAGCAUAAAUGCUUAGUGAGUUCCCCAAUAUACAACUUACGCACAUACGCCUUUCCAGGCCCUGACCUUCCGGUCCAUGUGUCUCAGGGGACUUCCGUCCCUGCUGGGUAAACCUUCCGGUCCUACCCACGCCGACCUUCCGGUCCAUCACACAACAUAUUGCCUUCCGGCCCAUAACAUAUUGCCUUCCGGCCCAUAAUAUAAUCGCCUUCCGGCCCAUAACAUACAUAGCACAUAUAACAAACAGCUUACCACAUAUAGCAUACAUAUCACAUAUCAUAUCUGACCUUCCGGUCACACAGUCAAACCCUUCCGGGUACAGUAUAGUGAGAAGACUCACCUCGUGAAUGCUGAAAGCUAGCAAAUCCUGAAAUCACUCGUGCACAAUCCGACGAGCUACAACCUCCCUAUAACAUCACAUAUCUCUCAUUAACACUUAUAUCUUCUAAGUGUGACUAUCCCUAAGAAGUCAGACUUAGGUCAACUCUGGUCAACGGUCAACGGUCAACUCGACCGGACUCGGCGAGUGCCAUGGCGACUCGGCGAGUCUAGACGUCCUCCAACUCUCUGAGAUUCCCUAUCUACUCGUCGAGUAUCCUCCUUGACCCGACGAGUUACUCCUGGAAGAAUCGCGGGGCCACCCCGACUCAACUCGCCGAGUCUGAAGAACAACUCGACGAGUCCCAGUUAAUCUUCAAGCUACUCGCCGAGUCUGUUCAUCGAACUCGGCGAGUCCAUGCCAUGCAACCGCUCAAACUGCAUCCUAAGGUCAGAACUGCUUCGACCAUUCCUAGGUCUGGCCUUCCUAGGCUGAUCCAUCACGUAAAGUCCUCAUUUCAGUGCUCAUGAUACACCAUAUGAUUCAUAAUUUACAUUUUGACCUAAGGCAUAAGGAUUCCAAUCCAAAACCUUCAUCAAUUCCCGAAAUGCACAGACAUGGGACAUUCUGGACCUCCAAAGGUCCCAAUACAGGGUUACAAUCGAUUAGGGGACUAGGGUAACAUUCAAUCUAUUCACAAAAGGGUUCCAUAAACCCUAAUUCCAUAAUCACAUCAACAUAGCAGAGUAUACUCGAAUUCUUACCUGGAUGAUGUAUUCUCUGUGUCCCCAAUCCUCAGAAUGUGACUCCCUUGCUGUUCCUUUAGCCAAUCCCUUCUCUUCCUUGCACAACAACUCUUCUAUAAUCAACAAUGGCCUAUAAUCCUUGCUCCAGAUGCACACAAUCGAUUUAGGGUUCUUCUCAGAAGGCUAAAAUGAACAAUGACGGCCAAUAAGUCCCUUUUAUACGUCCCAAACCUGAACGGUUAGGGUUUUCGCUAAACAGCGUAGACUCGCCGAGUCCAUAUCUGGACUCGUCGAGUCCAGUCGCGAACCCGCGACCAAGUCUGCGAUCCUACUCGGCGAGUCUAGGCUCCAACUCGCCGAGUCCCCUCUUAAAUCACCCCAAAAACAUAAUUUAACAAUACCUGAGAUUCCGGGCUGUUACAACUCUCCCCCACUAGGAUUAGACUUCGCCCUCGAAGUCUCACUCUGAAAAUAGUUCCGGAUGCUGCUCCCGCAUCUCACGUUCCGGCUCCCAAGUCAUUUCCGAUCCCUUACGGUGUUGCCACUGAACCAACACCAGAGGUACCUCCUUGUUCCUCAGAACCUUGAUCUUCCGAUCCCUGAUGGCCACUGGUCUCUCAGCAUAAUUCAGGCUCGCAUCCACCUGAAUAUCCUCUAAUGGAACCACUGCCGACUCAUCGGCUAUGCACUUCCUCAAUUGCGACACAUGAAAAGUGUCGUGGAUCUGUCCCAACUCCGCUGGCAACUCCAACCGAUAGGCUACCCGGCCUAUCCUUGCAAUCACACGAAAUGGCCCAAUAUACCGGGGCCCCAACUUGCCCCUCUUCCUGAAUCGAAUCACUCCUUUCCAAGGAGAGACCUUCAGGAGAACGAAGUCGCCGACUUGAAACUCAAGCUCGGAUCGGCGCCUGUCUGCAUAACUCUUCUGUCGGCUCUGGGCGGUCAAUAACCUCUGUCUAACUUGCUGAAUCUGCUCUGUCGUCUGAAGCACGAUCUCCGUGCUGCCCAUCACUCUCUGUCCCACCUCUCCCCAGCAAAUGGGGGUCCGACACCUCCUACCAUACAACAGCUCAAAAGGUGGCAUACCAAUGCUCGAAUGAUGGCUGUUGUUGUAGGAAAACUCUGCUAAGGGUAAAUACGCAUCCCAGCUACCCCCGAAGUCUAACACACACGCUCGAAGCAUGUCCUCCAGCGUCUGAAUCGUCCGCUCGCUCUGACCGUCUGUCUGGGGAUGGUAUGCGGUACUAAAAUGCAAUUUAGUACCCAGCUCCUCAUGGAAUUUCUUCCAGAACCUGGAAGUGAAGCGCACAUCACGGUCUGAAACAAUCGAGAUCGGCACUCCAUGCCGAGAUACCACUUCUCUCACAUAUAUCUCCGCCAACUUCUCCGCUGAAGAACUCUCGCUGAUGGCAAGGAAGUGUGCACUCUUCGUCAACCUAUCCACAAUCACCCAAAUUGCAUCAACUCCCCUGGCAGUCCUCGGCAAUUUGGUGAUGAAAUCCAUAGUGAUCUGUUCCCACUUCCACUCGGGGAUCUCCAAUGGCUGUAACUUGCCAUGCGGUCUCUGGUGCUCGGCCUUAACCCUACGACAGGUCAAGCACCUCUCAACGAACCAUGCAACGUCCCUCUUCAUACAGGGCCACCAAUACUCUUUCCUCAAGUCCAAAUACAUCUUCGUAGCACCGGGAUGGAUCGAGAAUUUCGAUCUAUGAGCCUCUUCCAUCAAAGUAAUACGCGUACCGCCCACAAACGGUACCCAAAUCCGACCCUGAAACGUCAUAAGCCCUCGCCCAUCCUUAACGAACUCUGAAAUUAACCCCACAACCCGCUCUUUCUUCUGCAUUUCUGGUCGCACAGCUUCGGCCUGCGCCCCACGAAUAGCAUCCAAUACUGGAGUCAUCACAGUCAGUCUCAAGCAUACAUCUCGCAAUGGAGUGCUCUCCGCCCUGCGGCUCAACGCGUCGGCUACCACAUUAGCCUUACCUGGGUGGUACAGGAUCUCACAAUCAUAAUCCUUGACCACAUCCAACCACCUCCUCUGACGCAUAUUUAGGUUGGGCUGAUCCAUCAAAUACUUCAAGCUCUUAUGGUCCGUAUAUAUCGUACAUCGAACCCCAUACAGGUAGUGACGCCAAAUCUUGAGAGCGAACACUACUGUCCCCAACUCUAAAUCAUGCGUGGGAUAUCUCGCCUCAUGAGGCUUCAGCUGCCUCGACGCAUACGCUAUCACAUGACCCCUCUGCAUCAACACUGCACCCAGUCCCGAAAUCGAUGUGUCGCAAUAUACCACAAAAUCCUCCAUCCCUUCUGGGAGAGCUAAUACUGGGGCUUCGCACAACCUCUGGCGAAGUGUCUCAAAGGAGGUCUGCUGCUCGGGCCCCCAUGAGAAUGCAACACCCUUCCGAGUCAAUCUGGUGAGUGGCACUGCAAUCUUGGAGAAAUCCUUAAUGAACUUAUUUAUUGUGGGUUGAAAACCCUAUGUACUCACCAUGUUUCCCAACCUGACCCACUCAGUUCAUUUAUAUCAUAGGUGUUGAUAUGAAGUCACAUUACACUGAGAGAUUAAGGAGAUAUAAAUCACUAGUGAUAAUGAAUGUAAGUUCUCUUUAUGCUUAUGUUUCUGUAUUGACGAUGACAUCCCAAAUGUUUUAAAAUGAAAAAAAAAAUACUUUUCUUCGAAAAUGCUUUGAUAAUGUAUUUAUCAUGUUUUAUUGGGAACAAAUUCCGCAACAUUUUUAUUAAAAGAGGUACUUUGAUUUUUAUAAAGCAUAAACAAAAUCGGUCUUUUCUGGCCGUGAAAAUGGGAAUGUCACAUAUUAUGUUACUUGCUAAUGAAAAAUAUUACUUCCCAGAAAAAAAAAUUCAACUAGUUAAAAGAGUUUAUUGAACACAUAUUAAAAUCAAUUUCUAAUAAAUAAUUAGUUGUAUGAAGUUGUUGUUAGUGUGACCCACCGAAUCAUAUGUUAAUUGGUAAUAUCACUUUAAUAUGACUAUUGAGCAUACAAUAUCUUUCAAUAUUCGAUGAUGUUUAUUUGUGGAAACCUUCUUUGAAUGAGAUUCAAAAACUAUAUGUGGCAUACGAAUAUAGAAGUGCUUUUCCUAGUGUGCUGGGAAGUAUUGAUUACACAUACUGAGAUUAGAGAACUUGUCCCUAAGGGUGGAGAGGGGAAUUUUUGCGCGUUAUGAUGAAGGAAGACCCUUGUUGAUAUUAGAGGUUGUUGCUUCUCAAGAUUUGUGGUUUUGGCAUGCUUAUUUCGGGGGUUACUGGUUCACACAACAACGUCAACUUUCUUGAUUAUUCAUCAAUAUUCAAUGAUAUUUUGUCAAAAAAAUACACUGAAGGCUCCUUAUACAAUGAAUGGAAAUGAAUAUUNNNNNNNNNNNNNNNNNNNNNNNNNNNNNNNNNNNNNNNNNNNNNNNNNNNNNNNNNNNNNNNNNNNNNNNNNNNNNNNNNNNNNNNNNNNNNNNNNNNNNNNNNNNNNNNNNNNNNNNNNNNNNNNNNNNNNNNNNNNNNNNNNNNNNNNNNNNNNNNNNNNNNNNNNNNNNNNNNNNNNNNNNNNNNNNNNNNNNNNNNNNNNNNNNNNNNNNNNNNNNNNNNNNNNNNNNNNNNNNNNNNNNNNNNNNNNNNNNNNNNNNNNNNNNNNNNNNNNNNNNNNNNNNNNNNNNNNNNNNNNNNNNNNNNNNNNNNNNNNNNNNNNNNNNNNNNNNNNNNNNNNNNNNNNNNNNNNNNNNNNNNNNNNNNNNNNNNNNNNNNNNNNNNNNNNNNNNNNNNNNNNNNNNNNNNNNNNNNNNNNNNNNNNNNNNNNNNNNNNNNNNNNNNNNNNNNNNNNNNNNNNNNNNNNNNNNNNNNNNNNNNNNNNNNNNNNNNNNNNNNNNNNNNNNNNNNNNNNNNNNNNNNNNNNNNNNNNNNNNNNNNNNNNNNNNNNNNNNNNNNNNNNNNNNNNNNNNNNNNNNNNNNNNNNNNNNNNNNNNNNNNNNNNNNNNNNNNNNNNNNNNNNNNNNNNNNNNNNNNNNNNNNNNNNNNNNNNNNNNNNNNNNNNNNNNNNNNNNNNNNNNNNNNNNNNNNNNNNNNNNNNNNNNNNNNNNNNNNNNNNNNNNNNNNNNNNNNNNNNNNNNNNNNNNNNNNNNNNNNNNNNNNNNNNNNNNNNUAUAUAUAUAUAUAUAUAACUUUACCACUCUAUAAAUACCAACACUCGACAUUUCUCACACAAAUUUCUAUAUUUGCUCUCAAAAACUCAUUGAACCACAAUAUCAUCAUCGUCAUCUAGUUCAUCGAAUUCGAUGAAGUUAGAAGAUUUAACAUUUAUCGAUUCCGUCAUUGCAAAACCAAUCGCGUAUUUACAAAACAAGGACGCUCAAAGUUCAAGUUUUUGAACGAAAAUAACACCUUUGAAGAGAAAUUGCAAAGCCAGGCACAAUUCAUCUUAUAUAAGACUAUUUUGUGGAUGACGCCGUGUAUACUAAAAAGUUUCGAGGAUGGUUCCAAAUGAUGAAAGAGUUAUUUCUAAGCAUUGUUGGUGACUAGAAGGGUCAAUUUCCAUAUUUUUAGUUGAAACGGGAUGAGAGAGUUAGAAAAGGUUUUUCUCGAAAAAUACACAGUUGCAACUUUUCAGUUAGCAUGUGACAACCCGAAAUUUCUAUUCUGUACAAACAUAUCAAGUCAAAAGAAGUCAGAUCAGUUGCUGUCAAUUUUCAGACUUUUUAGAGUAAGUUUGAGUAUUUCAGGAUUUCACACUUUAGUAAUAACAAGAGAGAGGAUGCACUAGGGUUAUUGUGCAAUGCAGUUAUUCCAAAACUCUAAGAAAUUAGAGUUUACUGCUUGAAUAAAAUAUUUUCUGACAAAAACCCUAAAUCGGAGAGUAUAUAUAGAAGAUCUAGUCGUUAUUUUCACUUUUUCCAAAACUUCUCAAGAUCCAAAACCAUUCUCUCUCAAGUAUCAUCCAAAAAGAUUUUCAAGAUCUUCAAUCUAGUAAGUUUUUCUAGCUUCCUUAAGUGAUUAUAUGCUUAGAUCUAGUGUUUUAAAACACUUCUAACCAUGAAAUCAUUCAAAAAAGGUUGAUUCUUCCUUUUCACCAAGAACACCAAGAACACAUACUAGUGUUCUUGGACUUUUAGCUAUUUUCAAGCUUCCACAAUGUAAGUACUUCUAUCCUAAAGUCUUUUAAAGCUUUGUAUACAUCUUUACAUCAAGGAAAUCACCCAAGAACAUCAAGAACUAAGUGUUCACAGUUCAAGAAGUUCUUGAACCGUAAACACCAAGUUAAGGUGCCUUAGGGUGCUUUAGUCCAUCACAAGCCUUUGUAACAAGUCUAGAUCCUUCCUUGAUGUAUUUAUCACAUAAAAAGCACAAGAAAACACCCAUUUUUAUGUGUUUACGGUUUGGGGAUCUCCCAACACCGUAAACACCUCAAAAGGUGUAUAAAUGUCCCAUGUUUACUCCUUAUGCCUAGAACCUAACCUAGGCUAUUACCUUGAAGUGUUUAGGACUUGAAAACAUCAAAAUACCUAAGUCCGUGAGAGUUUACAGUAGUAAACUCAUGGAGAAAUGGUCCAUAGACCGUAAACUCCAUUUAGGAGUGUUUUGAUGCCACACAACACUUCCUAAGGCUUAAACAUGAAGUAGGAAUGCUUGGAUUGGCUUGGAAAGCUUCAAACAACAAAUGGUCACAAAGGGGGUGAGCUUACGACCGUAAACCCAAGGGUUUACGAGCGUAAACCCUUUUGCUAGUGACCACAAAACUGUAAACUCUCUAAUGGAGUGUUCCUUGAACCCCAAACACACUAGCCUUUCCUAACAACACUUAGAUGCACUCCUUGGGACCUAUAACACUUAUAUAAGGUGUUUUUCAUAUCCUAGGAUGUCGCGAAUUUGUUUAUUAGUUGUUUAAAGACUAAUUGGAUACAUAUACGUGAUAUUAUAUGUUAACUAGGAUCAUAUAGUGUGUUCAAGACUUCACUUGACACCUAGCAGUCCUACAUCUUCAGUUCAUCCGUACCACUCACUACAGGUGAGUUCAUACCCCUUAAUCAAUGUUUUAAAUGUUUUUAUGGGGGGGGAUACAAGUAGAAUCUUGCUAGUUAUUAUAUCAAUGACAUGUGAUUAAUAAGCAGCAUUCAAAUGAUUUACUACUCAUUAGCUGUUUUACCAAACAGUUUUCUUCAAAUAAUUUUCAUAAACGUUUUAUGUGUUUAAAACUCCUUAUUAAACUGUUCCUUAUACACUAUCUGUUUCAUUUCAAACUCAUUUACAACUGUGUUUCAAACAAAUGUUUCUUUAUACUUAAGCUGUUUUAUCAAACAAAUACUUCGAACCAUUUUAUAGGCUGACAUCAAGUCGACCUUUUCUUAGAUAGUAAUCAUGUUCAAAGGUUUUACAAAACUUAUUUUUAUGCUUUUAUAUUGUCAAUUGCAUGCCUAUGUGUGUAUAGUUAUAUAAGAAAUGUUUAAAGGACUUAGGAAGGCUACCCGCUCUAUUUCCUUUUCACCGUUGGGAUGUGGUCUGGUGGGUAGCAGCUAUCCGUCCGAAGGUUGUUUAAAUAUUAGUUAUGUAUCAUGUGUACAUAUAUAGUCAUAAAGGUUCUUCCAGUCAGUUCAAUACCCUUGGGUAGCAAUGGUAUACUUGCAUGUUCAUACGUACCAGUUAUAUAACUAGUAAGCUACCAUAUGGGUAGUUUAGGAAGAUACUAAUACGUUUACUAGAAUGCAGAAAUCAUACCACGAGACAGUUCAUUCAUGAGUCUAUACAUGCUAGAUUGAGAGAGAACACACAUUACAGCUAGUACACACAAUACAUUACUAUACGUUCUAGAUAGAGAGAGAACAGACAUUACAGCUAGUACACACAGUACAUUACUAUACAUGCUAGAUAGAGAGAGAACACACAUUACAGCUAGCACACGCAGAACGUUACAGUACACCACUAUACUAUUACAUGAUUACGUCUAAAUGAUUACAUUUAGAUGAUUACGCUUACAUGAGUACGUUUACAUAGAUACGUUUACAUGAGUGCGUUUCCAUAUACGAUAAUAGGACAGACAUCACUAGGUGCUAUAGCAUGGAACGAUUAUAGGAUCUAACUAUACCAAUGAAUCACAACGCAUUGUGAUAGUUAUAUUGGGUAUACAUGAUCAUAGUAAUUGGAUGUUCAUGGCUUGCAAACAUGUAGGGGUCGUGUAUGGGUCCCAAAAUCUCUUUGACAGGGGAGCGUCUAGCCUGGGAUCUAGCCAUCACAUUAUGCCUUAUCCCUCAAAUAAGGAAAAAUAGUAUAGAAGUAGUCACUUAUUACAAAUACUACAGUACUUAUGAAAUUACCAUAGAAUUAAGGUAGUUAGUACGGUUGUAGUUAUUUGUUACUACACCAUAGUACUAUUUCACUUUCCCAUUACAUUCACUUCGUGAACAUUCACAUGAUGCACGGAAAUGUAGAACCUAUAUUUUUUAUUAAUGAUAGUCAGAUUUGGGAAAAUACACACUCUUACAGGAGACACACACAGAUACUAGAUGCCUUGGUAGAAGGCUACUCUCAGUAGGAAGCAUAGGGCUUUCUAGGAUGUUCAAAACGUUUUCAUACAAAUACUUACAGUUCAUAUACAUACAAAUAAUUACAUACAAAUUAAGACACUAAAAUACUUAUGAUCUCACCAGCUUUAAAGCUGAUACUCCCUUUCAAAAUAACUUGUAUCCUCAGGUCAACAGUAGACAGGUACCGAUGCAAGGUUUAGAGAAGAUGGUGCUCGUUCAAGACGCAUCUUUUAUUUUGAUUUAUACUUUAGUGUUUAUCAUAAUUUGACAGAACACACUUGUAUUAAAAUUAUAUUAUUAAUUCAGUGGAUGAUGUUGUUGCAUGUUUACUACUUUUCAUUUUUGUGAUACUAUACAUUACGUCCUCCUCCCCAGAACGUUUCCGCCGUUCAUGGUUUUGGGGUGUGACAGAUUGGUAUCAGAGCAUUGUUUAUAGUGAAUUAAGUAUAUCGAACCAUAAAAGAUAUACAGACUAUAAAUACAAUGGGAUUAAUACACUCUGACCAAGAGUUAUACUUUAAAUAAUAAAAUAUUUAAUUAAGUAUACGUGCCUGCAUUCAUACUAAAAUCAGUGUCACUAAGACAGUACAAAAGAAUUAUGAUUGUUGGGCAACACAGGUGGACUUAGAGACAUAUAGUCAAAACUGGGAAGAUAUAGCCUGAUCAACUAUAUUAUCCGAGGUUUGACUAGCAUGUGCCUAAGUGUAGUUGUGAGGUUGCAACAAGUCUAAAAUCUUACCAACAACACCACAAUGAGAACAACAGAACAUAAACCUAAAAUACUAUAGGGGUAUUUGGUGUUACUAUAGGUACUUUAUACUUGAGAAUUAAAAAGGAUCUUCAUUACUAAGUUGAUAAUUGCUAAGUGGAUACACUAAGGCUAUAUGUAACUAGGAUGUUAUAGACUUAGAAUCUAUGAAAAAUUUUGCUUUACCCCUAUUCUUCGUGAAUUUGGAGUUAAGGUCACUUAUUCGAAGGCCUAUCCUGUUUCGAUUACAUAUAACUGGUAUGCACUUCACAAAUAGUGAUGUAACUAAUGAAGAUUUUCUAAAUAAAUUAUCUAGAUAGUUCGUCUAAUAAUUUUUUCUUACCCCAAUUCUCGCAUAGAUAACAUGGCUAGACUCCAUCCCCACAUCAAUCCGUACCUUCCGAACGAAGUCAUUGCUGGAUGGUUUGGAGAAGAACCAGAGAAUGAUCAUCCUAUCCCUCUAAAUGAUCGCCAUGAUGAAGACCUUUUGGAUGGUGCUAACUCCGAGCCCGAGGUUGAGAACCUACCCCCGGCAGCUCCCUUUCCAAAUCCUAACCCUCGUCUGGCUUUUCAUAGCCCGGCGCCUCCAUGGGUGGAAUGCUUGGAAACAUGGAGCCAAGGUCAAGAUCAACCCAUGCCACUUAAUGGUGACUGAAGCUUUUAUGACCUGAGCAAUGGGGGCUCAGCAAACAGAAUCUUGCCAAUCCUCCUCCGCAGAGUGGCCCGAAAUGAGAUUCAAGGCAGGACAGCCCUACAUCAGAUCACAAAAGUUGUCACCAAUGCGAGAAUGCAUACCCUCCGCACCAUUCGCCUAGAAGAUGCUCGUGAGAGAUCUGAGAGAGACCAUGAAACCCUACUGUAAGCACUGGCUGAAUCACGAGUCGAAGUCAUAGAACUCCGAGUACGCCAGAGGGUGUACGAAAGACACCUGCUUGAUGUGGAACGCCAACUGGCUGAACUGAGAGUUCACCAUAGGGAUGACCGUCGCCAAUAGUAGAUGCCUUACUUUAAUUUCCUUGUUAAAAGGAAUCGUUUUCUAUCUAUGCCCGAUGUGGCAUUUUCUAUGAAACUAUCUUGUACUGUAAGUACUUUAGUUAGGCCUUUAUGCUGUCAAGGACUAUCUACUCUAGAUAUGAUGUAAGACCUGUUACAAUGUCAUUUUCCCGAACUUGUACAUCAUGAAUAUCAAAGAUAUUGACAGUCGGCUAACUUAUGUGUCAUUCUUUAUUCAAUUACUCUCAUCAUGCCAUCAUGGGAGUCUAUUUGAAACCCACUCUAGUUGAGUUAUUAAACUAGGGUAUUCUAGGUCAGGGAUAAUUCCCAAUUCUUCUUCAAGGGUUGGAUCAUGUUAUUUACCAGUUGAUGGUACCCUGUUUAGAUGUCAAGCGUCAUAAGAUCAUACUACGAACUUACUUCCACUCAUUACUAGGACUGCAUCAUAGGGAUGUAGGUCAAACAUUCGCGAACAUACUUCCAAUCCGUACUAGGACUGCAUCAUAGGGAUGUAGGUCAAACUUUCGAGAACAUACUCUUACUCUUUACUUGAAUAAUCGAAGUACAUCUAGGGUCAACCAAAAUCGCUCACAAAAUCCUUAUCUUUCGUAUUACAGAAUCAUGUCUUCAUCCGGAAACAGCUAGCCGAACAACGAAACAUCUGUUUUUCCUAUGGACACCGCUACUUUCCAAGCCGCAGUUACAGCUUCCGUGAUGGCUGUCGUGACAGCAGUCCUUGCAAACCGUAACGCUAUCAACGCAAGCAAUACCGACGAUAGGGUUAAAAAUCCCGAUCGUAGUAUCAAUCCAGGAAGCCAACAAACGAUAAUAGUUGCAGGCUCGCAAAGCCAUAACUCAGAAUUCAAGAAACGGAAGCGUCAAGCCCAAAAGGGACGCAAGCAAUAUAAGGGAACGCUUCCAAAGUGUAGCAAGUGUAGCUAUCAUCAUAAUGGAGCCUGUCGGGUAUUGCAAUGUAUCAAUUGCAACAGACUGGGGCACAUUGCCCGUUUCUGUGGAACCACCGCCACUAGAGCUAGACAGGGUUGCUAUUAUUGUGGUGAGAUUCGGCACUACAAAAGAAAUUGCCCGAAAAGGGAGAUCAAGGAAAGAACCCGCAUCCCCUUAACUCCUACUCGACACUUCACUUCCACUACCAAUGUUGGUGCUGUCCAGAUAUGUCACCAAUACGGGGAAAUUGGGCACCUCAAUAAGGAUUGUCCAAUAGCAAAGAACUCAGGCGCUGAUGGGAAGAUUCUCAGGAUCACAGCUGCAGGAGAAACUACGUCGGACCCUCGUUAGAGUAUCUAAGGCGUUCAUUAUAACAGACUUAUAAACCGUUUUAAUUUAGUGCGACUCGAGUGUUACCUUUUGAGGGAUCCCGUCAGUUAAGGGACCCAUGUGCUGCGUAUACUUGUCUUUUGUAGUAUACCUUGUUCACAGCAAUAGUCUUAUAGUAAGUCUAAGGUACUGUAACUCUGUUGAUGGUUGCACGGUUGUGUUUUGUCUGUAACGCCUUAUGUUCAAAUCUAAUGUCUUUAAUUUUCCUUAUGAUUCCGACAUUAUCAUACAACUAGAUUCAAUUUGAUCCACACAAAACCAGCUUCAUACGUACAUAUCUUUCUUCGAAAUCGCCUUCCAGCGAAGCCGUCAUAUCAGAACACCGAAGUACUCAUGCAUGGAGUACCCCAUAGUUCUUUUCCCUCCGAAGAAAUCCCGAAGUACCACUCGUACAAUACGUCAAGUUCAAUCUAAAGAUCCAUACGGUUGAUCUGUCGCUGAGGAAUGUAUACAUAGGGGUGAUAUAUAAUCAAGGUUCUAUAGGUUUAGAAUUGAUGAUUCCACAUUAACUUCUUUCCUCGUUGGGAAGUGAGCUUAAAGAAGAAUCAGUUAUUCAACUACCUUUUCAAUCUUAAUUAUAUACGACUCGUAUACACGGGACUGCAAUUGAUGAACCAUGUAUGACGUCUAAUAUGAACUUAAGGACGGAAACUGCCUAAGACUACGAGUAAUCGCAUCGUCAUGUGAACAAACUUAGAACCCAGUAUGACUUCCGUAAAUAGAUUUCCAUAUGGUCUAACACCCAUGGAGAUACAAGAACAAUCCAGACAACUUAGUGAACUACUCAGAAAUAGAAUUGGAAGAGUAGGCUUCUCACCCUGGAGAGCUCCGGUCUUAUUCUUCCAGAGGUAGACAAAUUGCAUCAUAUGUACCUCAGCUAUCGGGGACUCGUCAAUAUUUCAAUUAGAAAUCAUUAUCACUGCCUCACAUGAAUGUGUGGGCUAAGCAAACGCAAGGAACGAUUUACCUUUCAGGAAUGGACCGAGAUCCGAAUAUCAGAAGUUUCGAGUGUUAGGGAAGGAUGUCCCAAAGACUACCUUCCGAACUCGAUGCGGACACUUCGAGUUCGUAGUGAUACCCCUCGGAUAGGACCAAUAUGCCCAUAGCAUUCAUGAGCUUAUUGGGUAGGGUAUCCCAUUAUUACUUGGAUCAGUUCGGCAUUCUCCUUGUAAUGACUUACUUAUCUACCCUCGUAGUAAGAAGGAUCUCAUGGAAACAUUGACCUCGGAGGAACUUUUCGCAAAGUUCUCUGAACACGAGUUUAGAAUUGAAGAGUCAUAUUCCUAAGACACACUAUUAGUGAUGUGGGAAUUCUUGAGCACUCUUUCAAUUUCUCAAAACCGUUGAGAAUUUUUCGACACUGAAGACGCCGACAGAAAUUCGCCAAAUCCUAGGUCUUGCAGACCUACUAUCGUAGUCCAUCCAGAACUCCUCACCAAUUACCGAAAACCUCUUAUGAAUUUGACUCGGAAGGGAGUGGCCCUCGACUGAGAAGACAAGCAAGAGGAAGAAGACCUUGGAAUUUCAAGUGAGAUGCCAAAUCCUUUUGGAAAUCUCACUCUGGGAAUGGCUUAAUACACUUCGAAACACGUGGAAAGCUAAAUCCAAGAUAGUCGGGACCUCCGAGAUUCUUACCGGAAUUAGUUCUGUACCUCAUAGACUAGACCUACUCUGCGAGCUUAGUAACGUACAUUUUACCCUUCGCGUCUCGAUCUUGAAACCGUACCUUUCCGUUAGGACUUUCGUAAUUCCACUCGACAAGAUCGAGAUUAACGAGAUCCUCGCUUACUUAGAAGAACUAUAGUAACCAAGGACCGAGAAGUCGUGCAAACGAUUCAUAGUCGUUUCCCUUGUAGUGAAGGUUCACUGAAAUGCCAACCAGGGACCCGAAUUCACUUGGGAGCAUGAAAAUCGAUCGAUUAGGAAGUAUCCCCACUUCUUGGCUUGAUAAUUCAUGCCCACUUCCUUACCUAAAUUCUAAUUUCGGGACGAAAUUCCUUCUAACGGGGGGAUGAUGUGACAACCCGAAAUUUCUAUUAUGUACAAACAUAUCAAGUCAAUAGAAUUCAGAUCAGUUGCUGUCAAUUUUCAGACUUUUUAGAGUAAGUUUGAGUAUUUCAGGAUUUCACACUUUAGUGAUAACAGGAGAGAGGAUGCACUAGGGUUAUUGUGCAAUGCAGUUAUUCCAAAACUCUAAGAAAUUAGAGUUUACUGCUUGAAUAAAAUAUUUUCUGCCAAAAACCCUAAAUCUGAGAGUAUAUAUAGAAGAUCUAGUCAUUAUUUUCACUUUUUCCAAAACUUCUCAAGAUCCAAAACCAUUCUCUCUCAAGUAUCAUCCAAAAAGAUUUUCAAGAUCUUCAAUCUAGUAAGUGUUUUUAGCUUCCUUAAGUGAUUAUAUGCUUAGAUCUAGUGUUUUAAAACACUUCCAACCGUGAAAUCAUUCCAAAAAGGUUGAUUCUUCCUUUUCACCAAGAACACCAAGAACACACACUAGCGUUCUUGGACUUUUAGCUCAUUUCAAGGUUCCACAAAGUAAGUACUUCUAUCCUAGAGUCUUUUAAAGCUUGCUAUACAUCUUUACAUCAAGUAAAUCACCCAAGAACAUCAAGAACUAAGUGUUCACGGUUCAAGAAGUUCUUGAAUCGUAAACACCAAGUUAAGGUGCCUUAGGGUGCUUUAGUCCAUCACAAGCCUUUGUAACAAGUCUAGAUCCUUCCUUGAUGUAUUUGUCACAUAAAAAUCACAAGAAAACACCCAUUUUUAUGUGUUUACGGUUUGGGGAUCUCCCAAAAUCGUAAACACCUCAAAAGGUGUAUAAAUGUCCCAUAUUUACUCCUUAUGCCUAGAACCUAACCUAGGCUAUUACCUUGAAGUGUUUAGGACUUGAAAACAUCAAAAUACCUAAUUCCAUGAGACUUUACGGUAGUAAACUCAUGGAUAAAUGGUCCAUAGACCGUAAACUCCAUUUAGGAGUGUUUUGAUGCCACACAACACUUCCUAAGGCUUAAACAUGAAGUAGGAAUGCUUGGAUUGGCUUGGAAAGCUUCAAACAACAAAUGGUCACAAAGCAGGUGAGCUUACGACCGUAAACCCUUUUGCUAGUGACCACAAAACCGUAAACUCCCUAAUGGAGUGUUCCUUGAACCCCAAACACACUAGCCUUUCCCUACAGCACUUAGAUGCACUCCUUGGGACCUAUAACACUUAUAUAAGGUUUAGGAAUGCUUGGAUUGGCUUGGAAAGCUUCAAACAACAAAUGGUCACAAAGCAGGUGAGCUUACGACCGUAAACCCUUUUGCUAGUGACCACAAAACCGUAAACUCCCUAAUGGAGUGUUCCUUGAACCCCAAACACACUAGCCUUUCCCUACAGCACUUAGAUGCACUCCUUGGGACCUAUAACACUUAUAUAAGGUUUUUAUCAUGUCCUAGGGUGUCUUGACUUUGUUUAUUAGUUGUUUAAAGACUAAUUGGAUACAUAUACAUGAUAUUAUAUGUUAACUAGGAUCAUAGAGUGUGUUCAAGACUUCACUUGACACCUAGCAGUCCUACAUCUUCAGUUCAUCCGUACCACUCACUACAGGUGAGCUCAUACCCCUUAAUCAAUGUUUUAAAUGUUUUUAAAUGCUUUUAUGGGGUGGGGGAUACAAGUAGAAUCAUGCUAGUUAUUAUAUCAAUCACAUGUGAUUAAUAAGCAGCAUUCAAAUGAUUUACUACUCAUUAGCUGUUUUACCAAACACUUUUCUUCAAAUAAUUUUCAUAAACGUUUUAUAUGUUUAAAACUCCUUAUUAAACUGUUCCUUAUCCAUUGUAUGUUUCAUUUCAAACUCAUUUACAAUUGUGUUUCAAACAAAUGUUUCUUUAUACUUAAGCUGUUUUAUCAAACCAAUAUUUCGACCCGUUUUAUAGGCUGACAUCAAGUCGACCUUUUCUUAGGUAGUAAUCAUGUUCAAAGGUUUUACAAAACUUAUUUUUAUGCUUUUAUAUUGUCAAUUGCAUGCCUAUGUGUGUAUAGUUAUAUAAGAAAUGUUUAAAGGACUUAGGAAGGCUACCCGCUCUAUUUCCUUUUCACCAUUGGGAUGUGGGCUGGUGGGUAUCAGAUUUCCGUCCGAAGGUCGUUUAAAUAUUAGUUAUGUAUCAUGUGUACAUAUAUAGUCAUAAAGGUUCUUCCAGUCAGUUCAAUACCCUUAGGUAGCAAUGGUAUACUUCUAUGUUCAUACGUACCAGUUAUAUUACUAGUAAGCUACCAUAUGGGUAGUUUAGGAAGAUACUAAUACGUUUACUAGAAUGCAGAAAUCAUACCACGAGUCAGUUCAUUCAUGAGUCUAUACAUGCUAGAUAGAGAGAGAACACACAUUACAGCUAGUACACACAGUACAUUACUAUACAUGCUAAAUAGAGAGAGAACACACAUUACAGCUAGUACACACAAUACAUUACUAUACAUGCUAAAUAGAGAGUGAACACACGUUACAGCUAGCACACGCAGAACCUUACAGUACACCACUAUACUAUUACAUGAUUACGUUUAGAUGAUUACGAUGAGUACGUNAUGAUUACGCUUACAUGAGUACGUUUACAUAGAUACGUUUACAUGAGUGCGUUUACAUAUACGAUAAUAGGACAGACAUCACUAGGUGCUAUAGCAUGGAACGAUUUCAGGAUCUAACUAUACCAAUGAAUCACAACGCAUUGUGAUAGUUAUAUUGGGUAUACAUGAUCAUAGUAAUGUGGAUGUUCAUGGCUUGCAAACAUGUAGUGGUGAUGUAUGGGUCCCAAAAUCUCUUUGACAGGGGAGCGUCUAGCCUGGGAUCUAGCCAUCACAUUAUGCCUUAUCCCUCAAAUAAGGCAAAAUAGUAUAGAAGUAGUCACUUAUUACAAAUACUACAGUACUUACGAAAUUACCAUAGAAUUAAGGUAGUUAGUACGGUUGUAGUUAUUUGUUACUACACCAUAGUACUAUUUCACUUUCCCAUUACAUUCACUUCGUGAACAUUCACGCGAUGCACGGAAAUGUAGAAGCUAUAUUUUUUGUUAAUGAUAGUCAGAUUUGGGAAAAUACACACUCUUACAGGAGACACACACAGAUACUAGAUGCCUUGGUAGAAGGCUACUCUCAGUAGGAAGCAUAGGGCUUUCUAGGAUGUUCAAAACGUUUUCAUACAAAUACUUACAGUUCAUAUACAUACAAAUUAAGACACUAAAAUACUUAUGAUCUCACCAGCUUUAAAGCUGAUACUCCCUUUCAAAAUAACGUGUAUCCUCAGGUCAACAGUAGACAGGUACCGAUGCAAGGUUUAGAGAAGAUGGUGCUCGUUCAAGACGCAUCUUUUAUUUUGAUUUAUACUUUAGUGUUUAUCAUAAUUUGACAGAACACACUUGUAUUAAAAUUAUAUUAUUAAUGCAAUGGAUGAUGUUGUUGCUUGUUUACUACUUUUCAUUGUUGUGAUACUGUACAUGACAUCCUCCACCCCAGAACGUUUCCGCCGUUUAUGGUUUUGGGGUGUGACAUAGCAUAUGACACGGGAAUAGAGAAAUGAGAUGAGUAUUUAAGAAUGUCUGAACGUACCAUACAAGAAAAUGUGUAAAAGUUCGCUAAAGCUAUUAUUUUGGUUAUGGCAAAUGAUAUUUUGCGCAAAUAAGUAUUUGUUCCUAAGAAUUCCAGGUAGUAUCUAUUGCAUGCAUUAGUCUUGGACAUUGUGCCCUAACACAUGGUGUGGUCAACACAAGUGGGGUGAUCAUAAAGAGUUGUCGAUUAUUCUAGAAACAAUCACGUCUCAUGAUUUGUUUGCAUGCCAUGCAUUCUUUAGUGUACUUAAGAGACAUUCGCAAGUAUUGCAAGACGGGGCACGAUCAUAUAAAGUUACAAGGUUGCAAAAACAUACUGUGCUGCGUCAUAUUACAUAAUAUGAUUUUAGAAGAUGAUGGAAAAAAGAUACGUCUGUACGAUGAAAACCAAAUUUUGCCAACCGUCGAAGGAGUGGUUGUUGAUAUGCAAGAUUAUAGGGUAAACAGAAGAAAAGUAAAUGAUCACAACAUCAAUCACUCAUUUCGCGUGGAUUUGGUGGAAUAUAUUUACCUGGCUAAUAGACAACAAGUGGUCGAUGAUUAACAUAAUGAUUUGUUUGAUGAAUCAAUUGAAUAUUCGGAUAUGUUCAUUGAGGGUUGGGACGGCCAAUCAAUGUGAUAUAUUAUGUAAUUUUUAAUUAUGUUUUCAUGGUUUUAUUAUGUAAUUUCUUUUAACUAAUGAAAUAUUUUUAUCUUAUUAACUCUUGUGUUUAUUAAUCAAUUUUUUAAUUAAUUAUAUUUAUUUUUUAAAUUAUAGGUUUUAAAAUUAUUAUUUUUUUGUGAAAAAAUAGUGAAAAAGAGAAAUGGAUUAUUUUCUUAGUUUUAAAAAGUAUAAAAUAAAUAAAUAAAUUGCCAGUAAAAUGACAUGUCAUAGUAAAAUGUAAAAAAAUAGUGCAUUAAGUGUAAGACCCAUAUAUUAUAUUGAUUUAUUUAAAAUAAAAAACAAAUAAGAAGUUCUAUAUAUUUGAGAGAGACUUUAAUUUUAAAGAAAAAUAAAAAAAAUAUUGAAUUUUUAAACUUAAUGUGUUUUUUUUCUCUUAUAAAUUUAUAUAUAUAAUUUAGAUAAAUAAACAAAAUAAACAAGCCUUUAAUUUAAAAUUUUAAAAUUAAAAAGAAAAUUUAUUAAUAAAAUAGAUAUGCAUUUAUUAUUACAUUUAUUAUAAUUAUUAUAUUUAAAUAUUAUAUGAGAUUUAAUAAAAUCGAAAAAAAUCAUAAAAUAAUAUAUAAAAUAAAAAUUAAUUUUAAAUAACUGUAAAAUGAUAUAUAACAAAAUAGAUAAAAAUAAUUGAUGGAACCUAUUUUUUAUAUUGUUUUGUAAUCUACGGUGGUUAGCCUUUUUUCUUUAUUAUUAUUAUUAUUCAAAUCUCAUUGCUGUUGACAAAAAAGGCCAGAUUAAGCAUGUGCUGAUCAAAUAAUACUAUUUACCAGCUUUUUAGAACUCAAAGUCCACCCUGUUUCAGGUUUUUUGUCCAUUAGGAAAACAACAAAUAGUUAAAAAAGAAAGUCCGGAAAUGCGACAUAGAAUCAAGACUUUGUGAAAUCUUUGUGGGCUUUUAACAAAAUCUCUUCGGAAUGCAUUUCCCUGCAACAGCUUUCUCUCUCUUCACUUCCUCUUCAUCCUCCACCAUUGACACUGUUGUCUUGGAUAUCCUGACACCAAAUUACAGAUCUGAUAAUUAACGUGAUUAUCCCUAAACAUAUCGAAGAUUUUUCACAAAACAUGCGUCACAAACCUUUCCUCUUUGUAAGAUGAUGAUUUGCUCAACAUGGGUUCCACUUGAACUCUGUCUUCUGUCGUCAUCGUCUCCACAAUGCUCCCACUGAAAUACUCCCUCUCCUCCGCCUGCAAAUUCCCAAACCGUGGAUUCUCCGACAUGCAGCAUAUCUCGUCUUCCUCACCUACACCCACUGCCACCGCCACCGCCGCCUUACACAGAACAUCUUUAUGUAAACUGCUAGAGCUACAGCUGCUCUUUCUAGCCGCUGUGUUGGGUGGUGGUGGUUGUUGAUGAUGAUGAUGAUGAUGAUGAUCAGCUGUUUUUCCUUUAAACCCCAUCGAGCCACCGCAUGCCAUUAAGUGAAGAAGCACCGAGUUACGACUCAGUGGUGGGUAAGGAUCGCCGUCCUCAAACCGCUUGGAUGGAGAUGGAGGUGAUGGUGUGGUGACGAUGGUGGGUUUUGGAAGGAUAUCCCUUGAACAUCUUGAAGGAGUGGUUGUGUAGUUUAUUCUCUUUUCUUCAAAAUCUAAUUCCUCUUCGUUGAAUUCGGUGUGUCGUUUCGGUGUUAUCUGGCUGCGUUUUGGGGCUGCCAUUUGCGAUUCGUGUUUAUCUAAGAAAAAACAUCGAAAGAUUUCAAUAGAAUUGAGUUUUAGUACAAAAAAGUAUGGAAUUUAACUAUCUUCAACACAAUAUAUUAUUUUUUUUUAUAAGAAAACAAGAUAUAUUGAUUACACAAAAUUUAAAUAAGUACCUAAAAUUUGGGAGCAUUUAGAAAUUAUAACGACACAUUAUACAAAGAUGUAAUAAGUUAGAAUUAAAGAAUGUAAUAACUAUUUCUAAUAUACUCAUAUUAGGAGUACAAACUAGUCAAGUUACUCAGCAUCAGCUCCUUAAAAACUCGUUUCGAAUCGAUUUUUAACGAGUUCGAGCCGACCUGAAGCUUAAUAUUAAGCUCAUUNNNNNNNNNNNNNNNNNNNNNNNNNNNNNNNNNNNNNNNNNNNNNNNNNNNNNNNNNNNNNNNNNNNNNNNNNNNNNNNNNNNNNNNNNNNNNNNNNNNNNNNNNNNNNNNNNNNNNNNNNNNNNNNNNNNNNNNNNNNNNNNNNNNNNNNNNNNNNNNNNNNNNNNNNNNNNNNNNNNNNNNNNNNNNNNNNNNNNNNNNNNNNNNNNNNNNNNNNNNNUAUAUAUAUAUAGGGAAUUAGGGAUUUAAGGUUAUAAACAAGCUUCUUAACGAUCUCAAAUCGAACUUAAGCUUAUUCAGGCACGUUAGACAAAACCGGUCGAGCUCGAGCCCAAACCGAGCUUGUAUAUUUCCUUACGAGUUCGAGCCGAACUCAGUACAAGAAAACUGGAAUCGAGCCGAGCUCGAGCCUCAUAUUAGUUAAACAUGCCCGAUCAGAGCUUGACCAGGUCUAGGCUCGGCUCGUAUGUAGCCCUAACUCAUAUCAAUGCAUCAGUUCAUAACUAAUUUCAUUUAAAUUAUGUUUUUAUUCCAAAUUAAAAAAAAAAAAAAAAAAAAUACACAAGUAUUAGAGCAUUGGAGUUUUUAUGUUUAAAUAUUUGAUGUAAUACAUAUAAAUUUGUUAGAUUCGUAAAAUCUAAUUUUAUCUGUUGUAUAAGUAAAUAAAACAAAAAUUUACAAAUCUUAAAAUUAACGGAUGAAUUUGUAAAUAUUUAUAUAUGCAUUACCUUAAAAAAAGAUACCGUUUCAUUGACGUUUACAUUUUACUAUUUACAACACUGAAAUAAUGUAUUUAAUAAGGAAAAUUUGUCAUGAAGACAAGUAUAAUACAGAAUUUAAUACAUGCAUGAAGAUGGUGUUAAUCCGAGACGUACAUAAAAAAAGCCUGUAUGUCUUUUAAGAAGCAAUACAGUGAAAAGCAAAAGUGAAUUUAAUUAGAAAAAGGACUAAGGAGUUGAAUGUCAUUCUCUUGCAUUUAUUUUCAUAUCUUUUUUUAUUAUUCUUUUAACCUGUAAAUCUCAUUUUGUCCUCGCUGCUUUUUUUUAACAAUUUUUUGAUGAACAAAAUAUUGAAAAGCCCUAACAAAUUUUCAACAAAUUAUCUAAAAACCCACUUUUAUUUUUUAAAAUGUUAAAUUGUAUUAUCUAAGACUUUAAUAACAGUAAAUCCUAGAUAGCCACAAAUAUUAGGUUAUCGCCUCUCUCGGUUUGAUGGAUAUUAUCUAUUUUACUACAAAACUUUUGAAAAUAUAGAGAUUUUAAUGGAUGCAUUAAAAAAAAUAAUACAGUGGUUCUUCUAUUGGUUCAAUGAAAAAAUAAGCUGUGUUUAUUUAAGGUCAAAAAACCUAAAAUCAGACUUACAUAAAAUAUAUAAAAUUUUAAUAUAUUAAAAAUAUAGUGGUUUUUCAAAAAGUAUAUUAAAAUCUAUACGAUUUUCUGAAUAUUUAACCAUUUUUAUGUGUUUCUCAAAAACCUAAUAUUCAAAAGAUAUUUUAAUUGACUUUGAAUAAUAAGAAUUAGCGAGUGAAACGAUAAAACAACUUAAUAUCAAUAGUUCAAUACUUUUACACAAUAAACUUCAUCUAUUUUCAAAUUUCAAUCUAUAAAAUAAAUUGUUUUUAGACNNNNNNNNNNNNNNNNNNNNNNNNNNNNNNNNNNNNNNNNNNNNNNNNNNNNNNNNNNNNNNNNNNNNNNNNNNNNNNNNNNNNNNNNNNNNNNNNNNNNNNNNNNNNNNNNNNNNNNNUAUAUAUAUAUAUAUAUAUGAAUUGCUAAAAAUAUAAAGCAUCAUUAUAGACAAACAUAAAUACAUACACAGAUAUCUAUAUUAAGAUAGAUGGUAGUUAUAAGAGUAUACUGUUGCACUUUCUCUCCUAUUUCAUCACAUAACCAUUUAUUUGUUAAAAAAGAAAGAGAAAUUGUAUUUAACCUGGCGAGUGGUGUACGAGUUGAGAAGCCUUGAGUACAUACUCAUCUCCUUCUGAUGGACAAAUUACAUCAUUCUCACCCAAGUCAUUCCACACAUAUCCAUUCUUGUACAUCCUAAAAAAACCACAUUUAUAUCAAUAAAUGAAUAAACAUUUUAUAAUUUAAACACAAAUUGAUAUUUUGAGUGAAAAAGGUAAAAAGCUUCGACCUUUUACAAGACCAAGAAUAGAGAGAAGGCAUUCCUCUACCUCUAAGAACACUGAGUCUCUCCAACACAUCUACAGUAUCAAACGUAUAAGUCAAACACUAAAAGGUAAAAAUUAGAAGGUUAAGACAUAUGAAGAAAAUGAAGAACCUUUGAGACGAAGCUGGUGAUGAACAAAAUGUGUGACUUCUAGGAUAUGAGGGUGCUCAAGUUGACCAUUCUUGGAAAGAUAGUAAACGACUUGGACCUUUUUGAAUGUUGGUUUGACCAUAGUGGUUGACUUUGGUGGAAGUUUGAUUCUUCUUCCCUCGGCCAUUUUUUGUUGAAAGCGAACUUUCUCUUUGGACCACUUUUUAUCCUGAUGCAGGAAAGAUUUGAGAGAGAGAGAGAGAGAGAGAGAGAGAGAGAGAGAGAGAGAGAGANNNNNNNNNNNNNNNNNNNNNNNNNNNNNNNNNNNNNNNNNNNNNNNNNNNNNNNNNNNNNNNNNNNNNNNNNNNNNNNNNNNNNNNNNNNNNNNNNNNNNNNNNNNNNNNNNNNNNNNNNNNNNNNNNNNNNNNNNNAGAGAGGAAGAGAGAGAGAGAGAGAGAGAGAGAGAGAGAGAAGUGACGUGAAAAGUGAGUGUGACCGGUGAUGUUUAAUCUGGAGUCGAUUUCUUUUAUUUAUAUACAAGUUAUAUCUUUUCUAUAAAAAGAUAAAUUCACCAGUUGAUAGCAGUCAUGAUAUUUGGAUUUUAAGAUAUAUUUAGUUACUAAAGUCCAAGAUCUAGUAUUUGUUUUUUACAUUUAUCAUAACAUCACUACAUAAAUUCUAAAUCUGCACUUGGCUAGAUGUAGUUGCGCUUAUAGUGGGGUAGAGGCGAUACCGUCAGUGAAAUAUUUUUGGUCAUCCAAAGGUACCGUAGAUGUGAAUAGGAGGCUAGGAGCGGAUAUAUAAUUCGUUCAAUGUGUCUCUCUCUUUGUACUCUCAAACUUACGAAGUUGUAUUUCAAUUCAUUCAUAAAGAUAUAUAUUGAAAUCGUUUUGUAUGAUAGUUUAGUAGUUUGUGAAUUUGUUUAAUAUUAUGUGAAUUAGUUUAUAUUUACUUCAAAAACAAUUCUAAGUGGGUUGUGAAGGAUGAAAAAGAUGGGUUUACAUAUAAUAUAGGAGGUGUGAAAUUUAUGUGAGAGAAUAUUAUGUAUUUGACAAAAAUUAUAUCUCAAAGUUGUCACCAUAUUCAUUAAUUUGAAAAAAAUGAUGUUUGUAAGGUGUCUUCAUAAGGUGAACUACCUUUAAGAAGAAAACCAAGAUCCUUCAAACUCACCUCUCGUGCUCUACUGGUUCAUAACCGUCCGUGUAAUUAAAAAAAUUGAUUUUAUUUCCUUUUAUAUUAUAUACUAGACCAAUGUCCGUGCGUAGUGUACAAACAUCUAUAUAGUUAAAAUUUUUAUAAAUAUAUGUUUUUUAAAUAUAAUAAUAGCGUUGUUAAAUUUGAUAUAAUAAUUCGUAUGAUAAACUAAUAUAAUAUAUUGAUUAUUUUGAUUAUAUGAAAAUAUAUAAAUCGAUUAUAAUUGCAUAAUCUCAAUCAUUUGAAUGAUUUCUACCCGCGAGUUACACAUGAAUAAAAUUAAAUAUAAUAUAUGGUUUAAUGUUAUUUAUAGUUGUUAUCGUUAAUUAUUUUUUUUAAAAUUUAUUUGUUUAACAUUUUAAUUUCUAUCAUUAUAAUUAUUUAAAACAUCAAACAUUGUUUUUUGAUUUUAAAGAAAACAAUAUAAUUAUUUAUAUAUAGUUAUUUUUAACUGUUGUUAUUAUAAUUUAUUUUAAGCUACUUAUUUGAAAACUUUUAACGAUUAUAAAAAUAUCUUAAUGAAAUAUUUUAGUUAAAUUGAGAUUACAAUUUAGUUUUUGCAUUUAGCACUAUAAUUUAUUACUUUUAAACUAUUCACAAAUAUUCUUUGGGUUUUUUAAGUGGAAUGAAACUUAUAUUUAAGUUGACACUGUAAUGUUAUAUUUAAAUUAAGAGUUUAAGUAUUUUGUCAAAACAGUUCAAAAGUUAUAGCUUUAAACUGAUAAUAGUUUACAUACAACAAUAUAUUAAAUUUAAUAAAUUAAGUAUAAAAUGUUAAAAGUUAGAGACAUAACUUUAUAAAUAGAAGUAAAUAUAUUAUUUUAAUAUUGAAAUUUAGUUUAUUUAUGAUUAUACUUUAGGUUUGAUAUUUAUUUAACCUUAUUAACCAACUUAUAAUCAUUAUUAGAAAGACUCUACAAUUUAUCACUUUUAAGUAUUUCCAAAAUAUUAUGUGGGUUGUUUAAGUUUAACUAAAAUUUAUAUUUAACUUGACCUUAUAAUGUUAUAUUUAAAUUAAUAAUUUAAGUAUUUUAUACAAAUAGUUCAAAAGUUGUAGAUUUAAAAUGAUAAUGCAUUACAUCCAACAAUAUAUUAAAACUAAUAAAUUAAAUAUAAUAUGUUAAAAGUUAAAAAACAUAAUUUUAUAAAGUAGAAGUACUUAUUAUAAUAAACAUAAGAACAUAAUUGCAGCAAUCCUAAAAAACAGAGGCAACGAGUCACAAGAUAGACUAGGAAACCUCUAUAGCUUCAAACUGAUAUGUUAACCUUAGUAUCUUUAGUUCUAGAUAGAGUUUUUUUCAUGGUAUUUCUAAAAGCUAUGGACAUAAAUGUUUCUUCAUGAAACUAACAUACAAAAAGAACAUUAUGCUUCUUCAUAACUAAUCAUCUGAAACGACCCAAAAAUUUUAUUUUUCAAUAUAACCAAAAACCAUAAUCUGAGUGUCAUAUCAUAAAACCAUACGUGAUGUAUCCCAAACAUAAUGAAAACACUGUGCGGAAAACUGUAUCAUAUUUAUGUCAUAUCAAAAUCAAAAACUAAAUCAACUCCCAGGAUAAAAGCUGAAGCUGUGGUGUGUGCGAUGCCAUCAUCCCGAGCUCUUCCCUCUGCUUGUAGAAGUGCCUGAAACCAAAACUGAAACUGUAAGCACGAAGCUUAGUGAGCUCCCCCAAACUACCAGAUACCAUACAAUACAUAUAUAAAGCACAUACUGGGCCUUGCCCACUGCAUCAGACCGAAGUCUGGAACUAGCUGCAUCGGACCAAAGUCCGGAACUGACUGGGACCUUGCCCCCGGCAUCGGACCAGAGUCCGGAACUAACUGCAUCGGACCGAAGUCCGGAACUGACUGCAUCGGACCGAAGUCCAGAACUAACUGCAUCGGACCGAAGUCCGCAACUGACUGCAUCAGACCGAAGUCCAGAACUGACUGAUCAUGGCAUAGCAUAGAACAUAACAAUUAUUAUAAUCACAUAUACUGCAUACUGCAUCGGAACAUGAUGAGAUUAAAACUUAAUCUUGAAGAUCGAUUAGAUCUNNNNNNNNNNNNNNNNNNNNNNNNNNNNNNNNNNNNNNNNNNNNNNNNNNNNNNNNNNNNNNNNNNNNNNNNNNNNNNNNNNNNNNNNNNNNNNNNNNNNCUAGUGCGGAAAGUGUUGGCCACAUCCGCCAACCAUCUAGUACUCUUAAUGGGGUCCCGCGCCCCAUGAUAGUCCGGAGCUCCACAUGCCCUGAACUCCCUGAAUGUAAGGGUGCGCGACCCCAUCAUGGCCGCCACCUCGGCACNNNNNNNNNNNNNNNNNNNNNNNNNNNNNNNNNNNNNNNNNNNNNNNNNNNNNNNNNNNNNNNNNNNNNNNNNNNNNNNNNNNNNNNNNNNNNNNNNNNNNNNNNNNNNNNNNNNNNNNNNNNNNNNNNNNNNNNNNNNNNNNNNNNNNNNNNNNNNNNNNNNNNNNNNNNNNNNNNNNNNNNNNNNNNNNNNNNNNNNNNNNNNNNNNNNNNNNNNNNNNNNNNNNNNNNNNNNNNNNNNNNNNNNNNNNNNNNNNNNNNNNNNNNNNNNNNNNNNNNNNNNNNNNNNNNNNNNNNNNNNNNNNNNNNNNNNNNNNNNNNNNNNNNNNNNNNNNNNNNNNNNNNNNNNNNNNNNNNNNNNNNNNNNNNNNNNNNNNNNNNNNNNNNNNNNNNNNNNNNNNNNNNNNNNNNNNNNNNNNNNNNNNNNNNNNNNNNNNNNNNNNNNNNNNNNNNNNNNNNNNNNNNNNNNNNNNNNNNNNNNNNNNNNNNNNNNNNNNNNNNNNNNNNNNNNNNNNNNNNNNNNNNNNNNNNNNNNNNNNNNNNNNNNNNNNNNNNNNNNNNNNNNNNNNNNNNNNNNNNNNNNNNNNNNNNNNNNNNNNNNNNNNNNNNNNNNNNNNNNNNNNNNNNNNNNNNNNNNNNNNNNNNNNNNNNNNNNNNNNNNNNNNNNNNNNNNNNNNNNNNNNNNNNNNNNNNNNNNNNNNNNNNNNNNNNNNNNNNNNNNNNNNNNNNNNNNNNNNNNNNNNNNNNNNNNNNNNNNNNNNNNNNNNNNNNNNNNNNUGCUAAGCUCAUACUAUCAGGCAUAACCUAAACAGGCUAUCCUACUGCUGUCUACUCAAUACUAGCAUGCAAUACUCAUAAAGCUGUAACACAUAAAGCAGGCACAUAAGGCAUCCUCCUAGAUCCUUAGUCCUAUACUAGCAUGCUGUUCUACUGAAACUGAAACUGAACAAAUAACUUGUAUGGGUAAUUUGGGAGUACUUACUUGAGCUCGGCUGAUCGCAUGCACCACACCCUUAUCUCGUUUAAAAAUUUCUUUCUUUCUAAGUGCUUUCAAAAUUCUUUUAGAAAACAUUUUCCUUUUAAAAAUCUUUUUAUUUCCCCUUAGUUUGAGUUCAGAUACACCCGGAAGUGUAUCCGAAUCCCUCAAACCAGGGUUUUGAUACCAACUUGAAACGACCCAAAAAUACGACCCAAAAAUUUCAUUUUUCAAUAUAACCAAAAACCAUAAUCUGUGUGCCAUAUCAUAAAACCAUACGUGAUGUAUCCCAAACAUAAUGAAAACACUGUGCGGAAAACUGUAUCAUAUCUAUGUCAUAUCAAAAUUAAAAAAUAAAUCAACUCCCAGGAUAAAAGCUGAAGCUGUGGUGUGUGCGAUGCCAUCAUCCCGAGCUCUUCCCUCUGCUUGCGGAAGUACCUGAAACCAAAACUGAAACUGUAAGCACGAAGCUUAGUGAGCUCCCCCAAACUACCACAUACCAUACAAUACAUAUAAAGCACAUACUGGGCCUUGCCCACUGCAUCAGACCGAAGUCUGGAACUAGCUGCAUCGGACCGAAGUCCGGAACUGACUGGGACCUUGUCCCCUGCAUCGGACCAAAGUCCGGAACUAACUGCAUCGGACCGAAGUCCGGAACUGACUGCAUCGGACCGAAGUCCGGAACUAACUGCAUCGGACCGAAGUCCGGAACUGACUGCAUCGGACCGAAGUCCGGAACUGACUGAUCAUGGCAUAGCAUAAAACAUAACAACUAUUAUAAUCACAUAUACUGCAUACUGCAUCGGAACGGAGUCCGGAACACAUAACACAAAUAUGCUUGAAUCACAAAGACAUCAAGCACUCUAGCUACUGCAUCAGACCAAAGUCCGGAACUACUGAUAAUUAAACGGGCCGGCAUUGUGGCCGUAGACCCGUUCCUACUGAAAGGAAACUCACCUCGUGAACUGGCUGCUGAGUGAAUAGCUCUGAGGGCUAACUGCUGCUGCUCCGGUAUCUCCCCGGCUACAAGUCCAUAAACACACUCAAUCAAAUACUAAACACUGCACUAGGUAAAAUGACUCUUUUACCCUUGGUCAAAGUCAACUCUCGGUCAAGGUCAACUCUCGGUCAAAGUCAACUCUCAGUUGACCUGACUCGCCGAGUUGGGCCGCCAACUCGCCGAGUCCCUAUUCUCACUCCUCGACCCUACUCGCUGCUACUCGUCGAGUAUGGCAUCGACUCGACGAGUACCCUCUCGAUCCAAGAACUCAGACAAUCUUCAUCCGACUCGCCGAGUCAUAUGAACAACUCGACGAGUUGUUCUUGAGCUUAAGAAGAUUGCCUUGGACUCGCCGAGUUGUAUGAACAACUCGCCGAGUCCCUCCAUUACUGAGUCUACCCUCAAACUCGCUGAGUCCACUCCACUACUCACUGGUCCCACUCGACACCGCUCAAAAGGAAGAAAUCGGGGACUCGCGACUCGACUCGCCGAGUCGUUCUUCCGACUCGCCGAGUCACAGCCAUGCAACUAUUCUACACUCGAUUCUGCUCGAAUCCAUUACAUACAAAUGAUAGAUCUGAGUCCAAUAAGCUGAUUUACCACGUAAAGUUUCCAACUUUACGUGUACAAACACAUGAAAAAGGGAAUAAAGGCUAAAAAGGCACUUAAAAGGGUAGAUCUAGGGUUAUGAUGCAAAAUAGCUCCAUAAAGGCAAUAGAUCUGGGCUCUACAACUCCCAAAUGAACAGAUCUAAGGAUAUCUCGACAUAAUAGGGCUUCCAUAUCAACAUAAGGCUUGAGAAUAGCGUCAACUAGAUCUAGAGGGGUUUUUAAAGCAUAAAAGAGAAGGAAAUCCGAAGAUUACCUCAAAGAACUCUGGUUUUCCCUUGAAUCUUUUCUCUACAACUCUUCUCCUUGCUCCUUUCUUCUUCUCCUUCUUCAAGCCUUCACAAAUGCACACAAGAUCACUUAAAAUCACUCAAGAACGAAUUAGGGUUUUCUCACAGCUCUCUAAGGGUGAAGGAGGCGAGAAUGGAGGCUAUAAGGUGGCUUAAAUAGUGGGCAACCCGGGGAUUUAGGGUUUCUCCCAGACAGACAGACUCGCCGAGUCGCCAGCUAACACGUGCUCGAAAUCCCGUCCCUACUCGGCGAGUCAGGCUAUGAACUCGCCGAGUCCCUCUUGCAAACUUCAAAAUAAAUUCUAUGGAAUCAUCAUACCGGAGACGGGUCGUUACAUCAUCACUAAACAUAUCAACUCAAAUAUGUAAGAGAAAACAACAUGACAUACAAUUAUUUCUUUUACUUAAAUUGUUUUAGACAAAUAAAUAAGAAAGUUCACCUCCCAACAAGUAUCUAACAUUGUAUGAUUUGAAUCUAAAAAGGAAAAAUGAAUAAGAAAGAAAAGAUGGAAACUAGGAGAGAAAAUACUGAGAAUAUGAGAUAACAUGAAACGUCCAGGCUGUAUGAUUCUUAAAGAUAUGAAAAUUUAAGAAACAAUGAUAUAAAUUAACAAAAAUAAAUCGGUUCAAUAGGAAGAAAACAUACCAAAUCAACAAAAAUUGACCUUCAUUUAUAGAAAAAAAUCCAUCAAUAAUGAGAUCUGCAAAAUAAGAACAUACUUUUAAUGUUAUUCCAUUUUGAUUAUUAAAUUUUCAAAUACUAGAGAAAAUCGAAUUAUGCCAUUGAAGUACCAAUAAUCGACAUAGUAAAUUAAGGUUUUGUCGAUUCCUAAUGCAAAAAUCAGAUGACUACUCCAUGACUGACGAAGUAAUCGAUGUUGGUGAUGAAAUUAUCUUGAAAUCGUUGAUUUAUAUAGGAAUCAGAACCCUGACUUGUAGCAGUCGAGAACUAAAAAUUAGGGUUCGUGGGGACAAGAAUCAUUGGAUGCUUGGCGCUUAAUGGAUUCAACCUCCAGGAGGUUAGAAGUUUGACAUCAAUCUUGAGGGAGGUUGAAGAACGUGGAAAGCUUAAACAGUAGGGAAACUGUAGGGAACGUGUGAGGGGAGACAUGGAGAAGAAUACCAUCUUUAGUGGAACAGUGCAUCAAGCAAAGAAACCAUAAAAUACUUGUAAAUAGUGAAUUAGAACGGUUGGGAUGUAAAUUUGAAGCGAUCCAACGGCUGUGAGUGGGAAAACAGUUAUCGACUCCCUGUGGUUAGAAAUAAUAAUAAUUCAAGGGUUUUCUUAUGUAGAUAUAUUACGCGGAUGUUCUUAUUGUGCAUGUUAAAAUUAUGUACUUAGUUAUAUUAACUAUGAGAUAAUACUUCUUGUGUUAUAUUUCUUGUAUAUGUAUGUUCAAGAAUCAUUAUUGAAUGAUGUUUCUAAUAACAUAUGAUCAUAUAGGGUCACACCUUUAUCAAGUUGACAUAUUUUGAAUAUUUAUUAUUAAUAUAAUUAUUAAUAAUUACACAACUCUUGUACUUAAUUAGUGAAUAAUUAUUUUUUGUGAAAAUAAUAAUUAAAGAGAGCGUAACUAAUUAUUAUAUAAUAUAGUACGAUUUAAUAAGUCAUGAACAAAGUUUUUGACACUUUGACUAACCUUAGAUUUGCUUGGUAUUCACCAUUAGUUACCUUUAUGUAACUAGAGAAACUAGAAAAAUCAUUUUGUCUCAUCUAUACACCAUGGCCGAAAAUAUGGGAGGCAUGGGAGGUUUCUUAUCAACCUAUCUCCCAUGUUCUCCAUGCUUACUUUACUAGGUAAUAAUUUAUAGUAUUUUAUCGAGUAACUUUUAACCAUGUAUGGUAAUAUAUAUAAAGGAGUGUAGAAGCUUGCAAAGUGGCUAGUUUUUUUCCAUGCAUUUCUUCUAUAUUUCUCUCUUCAUGGCCGGGCUAUCUAGUUCUCCCUCCUUCUUUCUCAUGCAAUCUUCUUGCUUGCUUUUUGGAGCUUCCUUUUGUGUCUUUCAUUAGUGGUUACUUAUGUAAGCACUUAAAGUCCUAAAGAAUAAAGUAUUACAAGAAGGAACUAGCAUUUCUAGUGCCUUAUUCUUGAUGGUGGAAACUUGUAGAGAAGAUCAUCCUCUUUGAUCUUUCUAUCUUUAUCAACUCCCCAAAACCAAGUAGGUUCAAAUUCUUCAAAGAUUGUCAUUCUAAAACACCUUAUGGUUGGUUUUCAUAUUAUCCUAACCUCUUUAAAAGUAUCCUUGGUGAUUUUGUUUUGAAAACACCUUAUAUUUUGUAUCAAAACACCUUAUGGUUGUUAUUUUUAAAGCUUCUGUUACGGUGUUUUAUUUAUGAAAAACUCUCUUAUAUUUUGUAUCAAAACCCAUCAAUAUUGAUAUAUAAAAUUAUAAGUUUUUUUUAACAAUAUGAUAAUAUAAUUUUAUAUUAGAAUCAAAUUUUGAAAUGGCUGCUACAUGCGGUUUACGCAUGAAUAAGAUUAAAUAUGAUUCUUAAUUUAGUGUUAGUGUUAAGUAUUAUCAUAAUGUAACACCUUUAUUCUUUUUUUAGAAAAAAUUAAAACUUUUGUAUAGGUCUCUUUUAUAAAUUUCUUUACAUAAAACAUAAUCUUUUAGAUUAAUAGCAAUAGUCUCCAAAAUAAAAAUUUUAAAGCAUAUUAAAGAUAUUCAGCAUAUUAAAUAUAAUUCGGACGUUGUUGCAAUCAGGUCGCGUUCUUCCCUUUGUUCACCCCGGAGAAUCAUAAUCAUUAAUAAACAAUGAGUACGCUUAACUCUUAAUGAGUAAAAAACAAUACUUACUAAUUAUAUUAAGUAUAUAUUGCAUAACAGAUAAAUACUUAUCAUAUAAUCCUAACACAUAUUAUUAGUACCAACCAUAAACUGUCACUUUCUGUAAUAGGGUCACUCAUGACAAAAUUGUGAUCACUUUGCAUUAUAGGGUUACUCAUGAUCAUCCUUUAACCUUGAUCACUUCCUCUUAUAGGGUCACUCAUGAUCAUCACAUAUACAUAUAAAUUUAACUUAAUAAACGAAUUAAUGCAAUUCACUUGAUCAAUCUUGAAUCAACUUAGUAGUUUGGUUUGCAGAUAUGCACAAACAACACAUAUCAAACUAUAAUACUGUAUGGGUUACUGAGUAUUUAAUCAUAGAAACUAAUAUCUAAAUUCUUUAUUAAUCACACUAAUAAUGGAUUGACUAUCAAAAAGGAAUUGGCCAGUCAAGACAUUUGGGAGGCAAGACCAUUUCGACAUAUAACUAUAACAUCUAGUUUCGAAUGUUCCUGAUUUUAGGAUAAAGAGCCAUAAUUUUAUUAGGUAAAGGUCUUAGGCUUCAAGGGAAUAGAUUUUAGAUCUUAUUGUAUGUUGAUAAUGUUGGUUAAGUGAUUUAAUCCCUUGAAUUUUGCGUUAGAUCCAAAGGGGUAAAAUGGGGAAAGUAAUAUUAUGUACUUUUGCACUUAUGAAUAAAUUAAUUUACAUAUACUUUAAGCUAAAAGUCAGUGGAUAGAAUGGUGGGGCUUUUCAGUUCAUCCGUAUACAUAUAAAAAUCACUGAAAACAUAGUUAUAAAAAAGAAAUUAUGAUCGUUUGAAGCUGAAGUAGAAAACCAGAGAAUCAGGAAUUUAUUGGAAAGCAUGGUGCAUCCUUUGAAAUUGCGGGACGUCACCCGUCCAGUGGUCUGUGCAUUUUUUUAGGGUUUUUGGGGGUAUUUAAAGGCUAUUAACCCCAAGUAUUCAUUGUUUUCAACCUCUACCUCCUCUAGAACACAUGUAAUGAAACCAUAACCUCCAUUGAAGUGUUUAGAACUAAUCCUCUCUCCUAAAUCCAUUUGGUACUAUCUUAAUGUAUAUUUAGUGCUUUCUUUUGAUGGUAUUGAGCUCUAAAAGGAAGAAUAACAAGAAAUAUUGGUCUUUGAAGUCAUGUAUUUGAAGUAUUCAACAUCUAUUCACCUCUAGACCUUUGUAAGUCAUAAAGUUCCAAUCUUUAUUGUGUUUUAUAUUCAUAUCUAUGAAUAUUUGGCGUUUUAGUCCAUUAUAUUGAGCUUUGGUCCCUUGGUGGCUUGUUCCAUAGAGUUUUUGAUUGAUGUUUAGGAUGAUCUAUGGUCAUUUGAUGGAGUAGAGAGUGCAAGUCAUAGCUCUCUUUACUCUAAGCAUGAAGAAAGAUGGAUUUUUGGCCAUUUCUCAACUUAGUAUUUUAGAUAUUGGAAGUUUGUAGCCUUAUAAUGGAUAAAGUUGGAAACUUUAUCCAUUUAGACAUCAUGUUGAUUCAAAUCUAAAAGUGGAAGACUUGGGCUUAUUAGAUUAAAACAAGAAAGAUGCAUUUUUGGACUCUUGAGACUUAAAUUAUAGAUAUUGGUUGUUUAAACUAUGGGAAUAGAUAAAGUUGGAAAUGUUAUAUAUUAAGUCACUUGGAAGAAUUAGAUCUAAGAUUUGUGGCUUUGGACUUAGAGGAUUAUGUCCUUAAAGGCAAAUGAUAUUAAGUCGAGAAAUCACGACGUGGAGGGUCAUUGGUCAUAGUGUGGUAGAGGAUAUGUCUUGCAUCUGUUUGUUCGAAUCUUGUCCAUGGUGUAUGUAAUGGCCGUGUUUCUAGGCUAAACAUUAAUAUUGACAUGAUAGUCUAGGUUAAGCUUUGUGACUCAUUUUGGAGAAAUGAAAAGGAAUUAUGUGAAUAUUAUGUGUUUUAUGCUUAAUUAUUAGGGUUUAAAUAAUUAAGAAUAAAAAACUAAAUAUUAUAUAAAGCUGAUAUCCAUUAAGAAACUUGUAGUGGGCGUGACAAGGAUUACAGAUACAUAAAGAACGCCAAAAUCCGAGUUAUAACGAAGAAGUUAUGACCUGUCGAAGUUUCGCGAUAAACCGGCACGGUGCCGAAUGUCGAAAAAAAGUGAGUUUUCGAUAAAAUACUUUUUUGGCCUGAGUGAUCUAAAUGAAACUCGUAGUGUUCAUUAAACCAAGAGUAGGUAUAAAAAGAACACCCAAAUCUGACUUCGUAUGAGGAAGUUAUGAUUUUUCGAAGUUUCAGCUUAGUAGUAGAUAGCUAAAAACUCAAAUUUUAGAUCAAGUGAUUUUUAGCCGACACAAUCUAAACGAGAAUCGAAGGUCUCAUCAUUAGUAGCACAACGGUAAAAAGUCUGACGAAAACAGACGUCGGAUGAAGAAGUUAUGAAUUUUUAACGGAUUUCCUGUCCCGGUCUGUUAAAAAUAAUAAUAUAAAAAUCAAAUUCAAAAUUAGCCGACGAAGUCUAAAUGAAAGUUGUAGAGCGUAAUUUUACCUACGCGUGCAUAUAAAGAACAUCAAAAACGAAGCUCGUAUGCGAAAGUUAUGAAUUUUAGAAGAUUUUGGCACAAAAUUCGAGAAAGUUCGCACAGAUAAGCUUCACCUGGAAAUGCCACGUCUCCCUCGCUGCAUGCUUGCCAUGUGUCUGAAUUGCUGAGUCACCGGUGGCCAGCUGGCGAGGCGUGUCGCACCCUCCUCGCACCAAUGGUUCGGUCCAAUAAGAGGUUGCCCCGUGAUUGGUGCAAUAUGAGAAAAGCCCUUACCCAAACGUUGACCCUCGUCAUUCAGCAGAGUAGGGAUGACAACCAUGGACUGUUCUAAACGGUCUGUGGAACACUAGCAGGCUCGCAACCUGUAGGUGUUAAUGGACUUGAGUGUUCAUUCGCUGUACUCUAUUCCCCUCAUGAGUGCCUUUAGGGCAUGUAUGACUGGGGAAACCACUUAGUAUGUUCAUCAGCUGUAUGUAAAACCCAUUGACAUGUAUUGUGGGGGGGGGGACUCCCAUGGGAAAUACCGUCGAUGAAUAUGAGCUAUGGACUAGCACAUGGCGACGAUGUGACUUCGUGCCUAUUUGACAUAAAUUGCUGAAGGAAAGCAAUGUUGUCACCUUGUUGGUUGUUUUAUGUUAGGAUGUCUUUUUUGACAUAACUUGCUGAGGAACCCCCAAAGCAAUGGUGUCACCCCUAGUGAUAAUCCUUAGGCUAGGUCCCUUGUGAUAGUUGUUUUAGGGACAUAAAGUGAGGAUAAUGGGAAUGGGUAAUUAGGGUUAUUUUGGUUGAUGAAAUUAAUAAAUUUAUUGUUGAUUGAGAACUUUAUAAGUUUAUUAUUUAUUGUGGGUUGAAAACCCUAUAUGCUCACUAGGCUCCCAAGCCUGACCAACUCAGUUUAUUUGUAUCAUAGGUAUCGAUACGAAGUUUCUUUACACAGAGAGAUUAAAUGAGAAGUAGGUCACUAGUGUAAAUGAAUGUAAGUUUUGUUUAUGCUUAUGUUUUGUAUUGACAAUGACAUCCCAAUGGUUUAAGUGAAUAAAAUACAUUUCUUCGAAAAUGAUUUGAUAACAUAUUUAUUAUGUUUUUCUAGGAACAAAUCCGCAACACUUUUAAUCAAAUGAUUACUCUGAAAUCAUUUCAAAAGCCUAAAUUAAACCGGUCUUUUCUUGCCAUGAAUUUGGGGAUGUCACAGUUGGUAUCAGAGCAUUAGUUUAAUCGAACUAAGAAACUGUAAGAUUUCUAGACUUAAACUUAGAAUGCUAAGUGAUGAUUGUGAGAUGAGUGUCUGCUAUAUUUUAGAUACGAGCACAAGUUUUUUUAGGAAAGAUGCCUAAAAUGUUUUAUGUGUUAAAUAUUUUAACUUAGUAGAGAAAUGAGUCAUUUCAGUAACAGUCCAAGUAGAGCAUUAGUAAACUAUUAUAGGUAUAGUUUAGGAGAAUGCUAUUCAUUACUUCUAGUAAAAUGAAGCACGUAAGGAAUCAAUACCAAAACAGAACAAACAUUGAAGAGAAUCAAACAAUACCAGAACAGAACAAACAGUGAAGAGAAUCAAACAAUACCAGAACAGAACAUAACAAACAAGUUAGGUUGCUAUAGCAUGAGAACACACAAACAUGAUCUAAUUAUACUAAUGAAUCACUAACGCAUUAGUGAUAGUUAUAUUAGGUAUACAUGAUCAUAUAACUUUAAUGUGAAUUACACAGCUUGUAAGAAAUUACUGGGGUCGCAUUUGGUUCCCUCAAUCUGUUUACAUUGAGAGCCUUUAGUAGGGGUUCUAGCUUUCACAUUAUGACCAUAAUAAAACAAAUAUGUUUUUAGGUUAUUAGUACCUCCGCAUGUCAUUAUAAACGACAUAGUUAUAAACUAGGGAGAAUAUACUUCUACAUUUGACAAAGGACCAGUCGGGUUCAACUCAGAACAGAAGAUGCCUUGGUAGAAGGCUACGAUUAAAGGUUAGGAUCAUGGUGCUAGCUUUAUGAUUCCUUAAUGUAUACACUAUAGGAUACAUAUAUGCUAGUAGAUUCCGACAGCUAAUAGGAUGUGUGCUCUUCGCUGUAAUUCCUGUUCCCGUUGGAUGUGGGCUUGCACUGAGGUCACCCAAUCUAUUAUCUACCCGAAUCUAUAUAUAUCUAUGCUUAGUAUACAUUAAGUCAUCAUAAGGGUACCAGGUAUGGAUCAGGUCAUAGGACACAGAGUCAAUGCACAGUUAUUCUAGUACAAAACUUACUUAUCAAAGAUAGUAUUUUUGGUAGACAAAACUAGAGAUUUCCCAGAAAAGGGCUUAAUCCAUUUUAUUAAGCCAAUACAGUUUUAGAGACUUUAAGUGAGUUAACUCUAUAACACCUUAGUUUAUACAGCAUGUUUAUAUAUAAAACUAAUAUCCGAUAAAUAGCUAAAUGUGUGUUUUCCCCCAACAUCCUGUUCCCGUUGGAUGUGGGCUUAGGGCAGAUUCCCCCAAUUAACUAUCUACCCGAUAUCAGAUUAUAUAUAGCAGUAUAAACAAAGCUAUUAUAAAAGUAAUCACCGUAGUCAAUAUUUUACUAUAAGAAAUAUAGGUUUUCUUAAAAGAACUCUCCAUUAGAUAUAAAUGAGCCAUUAUAUAUAACUCCAUGAGUAACAAGUGAAUACACCAAUGUUAUAUAUGACAACGAUCUAACAACCAAUGGAAUGUGUGCUAUUCGCCUUACUUGUUGUUCCCCGUUAGGUUGUGAGUUUAGGACAGAUGCGCAUAAUUGAUUGUUUGUUUACUCUAAGUAUGUAUAACGUGUACCCACUUAGUACACAUAGAAAGGCUUGUAGUGUCAUUUUACUUAAUUUCCAUUAUAGUAGGAAAUAUAGGAUUUUCUAGAGGAACAGGCGAAGUUUUCAAAACAGAACUUACAACUUACAUCACUUGUGCAUAUACAUUUUCAACCACAUUUUUACAGCUUACUCACAUCACUAAAAUCUUAUGAACUCACCAGCUUAAUUGCUGAUCAACUCUUUCAAAUAACUUGUACUCUCAUGAGACUAUUAGACAGGUGCUCGUGCUGGGAAUUUAGAAGAUGGAGCAUUACAGCUUAAAGUCUUGUUCUGUUAUUUGUUUAUGACUUCUAUGUUUUGUGAACACACACAUUGUAAACACUUUCUUUCUUAAUGAAAUGGUUGUUCAUUACUUGCUUACCAUAUACAUAUCUCGUGAUACUUUACAUGACGUCCUCCACCCCUGAAUGUUUCCGCCGUUCCGGUUUUGGGGUGUGACAAAAUCUCUAUUUAAUUAAUCACCAUUCAGUUACAAUUUAUUAUUGCUACAUUGGUUCAAAAAAUCAACUAACUACUAAAAUACAAAAUCUAAUAUCAUCUCUAAUCCCCAUGAUCCUAUCAUGCUCGACGUGCUUGACGUUGCCUAAUCCCUUUGUAAGAGGAUCAACAUGAUUAUCCUCCAAUGAUACACGUUUUACCAUGAGUUCACCUUCAUUUACUUUAUGUCUAAUGUAGUGGUUUCCCUUAUCGAUCUGCCUGGAUCUACCAUGAUCCUUUGGUUCUUUAGUUCAAGUCAUCACACCCUCGUCGUUGCAGAAUAUCUCUAUUGGAUCUUGGAUUGAUGGAGCAACUCCAAGAUCUGCUAUAAAAUUCUUCAACUACAUUAUUUCCUUUACCUCCUUUCUUGAUGUGAUGUACUCUGAUUCACAAGUAGAGUAAGCCACUGACUGCUGCUUGGAUCUCUUCCAAGUCAUUGCUCCACUAUUCAAUAAAAAAACCUAGCUAGAUUGUGAAAAACUAUUAUCAUGUUCUAUUUAGAAGUUGGCAUCACUAUAGCCAAUCACCUUAAGCUCAUCUUUUCCACCAAAACAAAGACCAUAUCUUUCGUUUUCCACAAAUACUUAAGAAUUUUUUUCACAACAGUUCAAUACUUUAGUGUGCUAAACCAGAAUUUCCGUGAUAUAUGCUAACCAUGCUCAAGGCAUAAGCCACAUUAGGUCGAGUACAUUUCAUAACAUACAUGAUUGAUCCUAUAGAGAAGCAUAUGGGACUCCACUCAUUGUAUCUAUUUCCUUAUCGCUACUAGGAAAUUAAGUCUUGCUCAACUUAAAUGUAUGAUGCAUCGGUAAGUACCUUUUCUUGGAAUUCUCCAUACUAAAACAUUUUAAUAUUUUAUCCAAGUAUCUACUAUGGCUAAGUCCUAGUAAACGUUUCUGUUUGUUUUUGUGAAUCUUUAUUCCAUGAGUAUAACUAGCCUCUCCCAGAUCCUUCAUAGAGAAAUAUUUUCCAAACCAUGACUUAAUUUAUUGCAAAGUUGGAACAUCAUUUCCUUUUAUUCCAAGAAUAUAAGUAUCCUCUCCCAGACCGUUCAUAGAGAAAUAGUUUCCAAGCUAAGACUUAACUUAUUGCAAAGUUGGAACAUCAUUUCCUAUUAGGAGUAUGUCAUCCACAUACGAGACUAGGAAGGUCAAUACACUCCCAUUAGAUUUGAUAUAUACACGCAAGAAUCAUCUUCACUUCUAGAAAAUGUAAAUUCUUUGACCUUUUUGUAGAAGCAAAGAUUCCAGAUAUGAGAUGCUUGUUUCACUCUAUAGAUGAAAUUCUCAAGCUUGCACACCUUAUUAGGGAAUUUGGCAUGUUCAAAAUCUUAUGGUUGAUCCAUGUAAACAUCAUCAUCUAGUUACUUUUUAAGGAAACUAAUUUUAACAUGCAUUUUCCAUAAUUCAUAGUUACAAUGAGAAGUUAUGGCAAACAUUACCCUAAUUGACUUAAUCUUAGCAACUGGUGAAAAGGUCUCAUCAUAGUCUAUCCCUUGGGUUUGAGUAAAGCCGUUUGCAACCAGCCUUGCCUUGAAGGUCUAUACAUUACCACCCAUGUUAGUCUUCUUCUUGAAGAUUUAUUUGCAAGCUACGAUAUUCCAACCAUCAGCUUGAUCGACCAAGGUCAAAAUUUGGUUAUCAUACAUGGAUUAGAUCUCGCUUUCUAUUGCCUCUUUCAGUUUAGCAUCCUCAGGGACUGCCAUCAUUUCUUUUUAGCUAGCCAACUCAUCCAAAUUUACAAGUGUGUUAUCAUUGAUAAAUAUGUCCCCAUUUUCCGUUAUAUUGAAACCAUAAAACUCAGGUGGUACGGUAACUCUACUAGAUCGAUGAAGAGGUAACGAUCUGUCAAUGGGCUUAACAGGUUCAGCCUCACGUUUAGAGCUCCUGUCAUCAAAGGUUCCUUCAUUGGAUGAAUCUUGAGUUUCUUUAAGAUCAAUUGCAGUGCCAUUUUUCUUUUUGGAUAUGAUCUCUCUCUCUCUCUCUCUCUCUCUCUCUCUCGAAAGACUCUCCUUCGAGUUACGAAGACCACAUUCUCACUAGGUCUGUAGAACAAGUAUCCAAAUGAAUUUUAUGGAUAGCGAAUGCAAAUACAUCUCUCAACUUUGGGUUGCAAUUUAUCUUAGGUCUUGCGUCUAACAAAAACCUCACAUCCCCAAAACUUGAUAUGUACGAGCGAGGGAGGUUUCCAUGUCCACUUCUUAUGAGGUGUUUUAGCAACCUUCGUGGUAGGAACAAUAUUUAGAAUAUGGGAUCUUGUUUCUAUAUCAUAUCCCCAGAAUGAUAUAAUAAGGGAAGAUCAACUCAUCAUGGAACGGACCAUGUCUAAUAAGGUUCAAUUACGCCUCUCACUAUUUUUCAAAUGAUAGGUCAAAAUGAACUGAUCAUAAUUACUAGGUUAGGACUUAUGCACCAUGUCCAUGACAAGCUCCUUGUCGAAGUUCACAUUGAUCUUUUCUAAUCUUUCCAUGUGUCUCUGCAUUUUAUGCACAUAACGACACAUAGAUUCCCCAUCUUUCAACUCACACACCAUAAGGGCCUCAACAAACUCAUAACACUCGUGUCUUGCUUUCUUGAGAAACAUCUUGGAAAGAUCCAAGUUCAUGUCAUAGAGCCAAUAGUCCUCACAUGUCUUUUGCAUCAUAGGUGUCGUGAUUGAAAUCAUAAUACAAACAACCUUUUUAGCAUCAUUAAUAUGCUGGUUUUAAUUAUACAAUUCUUAAGGAUUAGCAGAUUCUUUGUUAAUUUAUGGGAUUGGAACCUUGAGAGCAUAUUCUUUAUUCAUGUAUCUCAACGCAUCUUCAAAUUAGAUAACCAAUCCAUGUAGUUGGGACUAGUAAGCUUGUAUUUUGAGAGGAUAGACAAGAGAGUGAAGUUGUGAGUGGUUGGAGUAAGAGGAGAAAGGUCACCAUUUCCAGACAUCUAAAACAAGAGAUAAGAUUUUAGUUAGUUGAUUCAAUCUUUAAUAUUUUAACCUACAUUGAUAUUCAAGGCUCGGAUCCUUAAAUACAUUUCAGAAUUAUGAAGAGGGAUGUCGUAAUAUAAUUAUGAAUUUAUUUUAGGUGGGUAAAGCAUUUUCCCAAUUUCAAUCUAAUAUGAAAUACCUAAAUCAUUUGAGAUUCAUUGAAAUAUUCAACGGCAUGUUUAAUCUCUGAUUAUGUUCUUCAAUUUUUGCUUGGGAUGCCGAUGAUCACAAAUAAAAUGUGAAUAAGAAUGCCAACCCGCAUGACAUGCUUGAGGUCAUUUAUGAUCUCACAUUGAUGUGCCGGUUAACCGGACACACUCCAUCAACAACCAUAAAUUUGAGUGUGUGCCAUCACUUCAUCUUUGUAGUCUCACAUUAGUGUGUCAGUUAACGACGCACACUCCACUAAUGACUCACAAAGAAAUGAUGUGCAUUUUAAUGGAUUAACAUACAUUUUAAUAUUUUUCCUAAAGUACCUAGAGUGAGAUUUUGUAAAAGGUUUUAGUACUUUAAACAUUAUACUUUUAAUUGGAUUAUGUGCUAUCAAAUCCGUUCGGCUAACGACCCUCCACCAUACGAAGAAGCGAUUGGUGAAAAUGACACCCAUUCAACGGUCAUUUUAUAAAUCGUUUUCUUAUACAUCUCUUAUAGUAUUGCUUCGUGAAUGAGGCGUAUUAGAGAUUUGAUUGACUUUCAAUGGUACAUAUAAUAUUAUACUCUUAUACAUAUAAAGAAGGUGUAUUUUAAAACUUUUUAAAACACACAAGGUUCAAAUGAUAUUAAUAUAGUUAACUUUUAAUAAUUAAUAUUUGAACUAAAUAAGAUUUAAGAAUUAUCUUUUGAUUAAACUUUUAAUUAAUUAAUAUAAAUCUCAUUAAAGGAUAAUUAUGUUAACUUACCAUAGAUCAUUUAAAAACUUCCUUAUAUUCAAAUUAAGAUUUCUAAUUAUCUGGUUAUUAUAUUCAAAUUUUAGACAUUUAAAAUAAUAUUGAUAAACUAAUAAUUAAUAUAUAUUUUGAAUAAGGCAAGUAAAUACAAAAAUUCGAAUUUCAGGCAGUUCCCAUGUCGUGGUAGAGGACUACCCAAGCCGUACCAAUACAGAUUGUCGAUUUUUUUUUUCUAGUUUCAUCUUCUAUUAGUACUAAUGGAAAAGCAUGGCUCUAAUACUGCUAUUGAGAUUUUCAUGUUAAAAUCAAUUUGUACAUGCGAGAUUUCACUUAACUUUUAAAGGUACAUACAACCUAAUGGAUCUAUGUGUUUUCUCAAUUCAUAGCAACAUAUUUAUGAAACAAAAAUUAUAAACCCAAUGAAUCAAAUUCAUGAAUAGAUCCACAUAACUUUUAGAUUAAGUCGAAUUAAGCUAAUAAAAAAACACUUGAUAAUCUCCUUAUAAACUAGCUCCAAAAGUAUGGUUAUCUCUAAUGUGUCUCACCCAAAAUUCAGAAAAACUCUAGGUUUGAAGGAUAGAGGGGAGAGAUAAGAGAAAACUCAGUUUAUCUUUACGGUUAGGAGUGGCCGAAAAUACCAAGGGUACAUCCCUUUAUACGGCUGCCUAAUACUCCCAGAAAUCGUAGAUUUAAACUUAAAAUAAUAAUAUUUCAAAUCAAUAAUUAUCUACUUUCCUAUUAUCGGUUGGAGGCUUCUAAAAUAUCUCUCAAGAGCCGCUAAAACCGUUUAUAAGUAGGAGGAUUCUAGAUCAUCUAUUUUUUUUUUUAACUUUUGAACAAUUACAGUUCAACCUUUGCAUCUUUAAUUUAUUCUAAUUAAUUUUUAUUAUUUCUUAAUUAAUUAUUAUUAUUCCUAAUUAAUAUAUUAGUCAUAUAAUAUAUUCAUAAAUCAUUUAUCUCUCUGCUUUUAUCAAUCCAAGUUAUUUCAUGGUUAUGAGGACAACUCAAAAAGACUUUAUUUUUAUUCAUCAAUAUUAUAUCAAUUUAGUUAGUAUUUUAGACAUCUUAAUGCAACAACUAGAACCAUAUUUCUUAUAAACUUCUUUUCUUGGUUGUUAUUAGAGUAAUAAGAAACUCUUCACCAUCCUUCACCAUCAAUUAUAAGAACAAAAUCUUUAGUUUCAUCAUCAUUUUCUUCACCUUAUUUAUUAUCUAGAACAUACUUUCCCCGACCAACUGUUAACACUAGUGUGAUUAUACCCCCAUACAAAGCUCUUUCUCUUUAUUUUUCCUCGGUCAUUUCUUUUGCAUCAUUCUCAUGCGACUUUAACAAAUUAUACAACGUAGUUAGAGAAUAUGAGUAGAAAUUUUCAUGAGACUUUAUCAUUAGAAUUUUUUUUUCCAUUCUCUGUAAAGACAUUUAAUAAAAUUGAUACUGAUUUCAAGAUCUCCAUUACCAAUUUUGAAUUUAUCCAACAUUAAUAUAAUAAUUGUAACGACCAAAAGCCUGAUCAAUUGUUUUAUUUUCCUUUUUCUUAAAAUCACUUAAUUAUUAAAUUAUAUAUGUAAAAAUAGUUUUACUUAGCAUAUACAUUUGGAGCAAGUCCACCUCCUAAUUUAUUCAUGCUUCUUUUUCCAUUUUCAUUUUUCUUCUUAUUUGUAGCAAGAACAGCCUCACUGUCGAUUAUAAGAAAAAACAACAAACAAAACAUAGAAUAAAUGGACCUUCUUUAAUUACCCCCUAUAAAUCUUCAUCCAUGCGAUAAGCCCUUUCAUCAUGAUGAUCAUAAAGUAACAAUAGGGUUUUGUAAAAAAACCAAGAAGAUUAGCAUAGUCAAUCAUCGUAUAAGUGCUAUCGAAUAUAUUAAAUAAGGUAUAAAAACUUCAAACGGUUUUUAAGAAACAAAUUUUAAAAGUGGAAUGCAUAACUAAGAAUAAAUUUAGACUUGUAAUGAAAUAUGAAUGAAUUUCCACAAAGAUAUGAAAUAACACUAUUUUGACACCACCAAAAGAGUGUUAGAUUCAAGAACAAUUAAAGAUUUAAUGCAAAAUUAUGAAUACCAAGAAGUAAAUAGUGUGUAUGCAUAGGGAUGGCAAAAAGCCCCAUACCUAAUGGGGAACCCGAAACCCGCACCCGUUUUGACUGGGGAAUCCUCAGGUUAACCGGGGAUGGGGGCGGGGAUGAGGAAUACCCGAAAAAAAAAGUGGGGAUGAGGAUGGGGAUGGGGAUACCCAUAAUCCCCGACCCUGGACCCGCCCCCGACAUAUAUUAAUAUAUAAAAAUAAUACAGAACAUAUAUUUAUAAUAUAGUUUAUAAUACAUAAAAUUUGAUCUAAGUAACCUAACUCAUUAGUAAUUACUUGGUUGAAAUUAUACUUUUUGCUUUUUCUUUUAUAUUUUAUAAAAUCUUUAAGCUUAUGCUGGUAAAAUUGAAAUAUAAAGUUUUUUCUUACGUAAAAGCUUGCAUGUUAAAUGAGAAAAAUAAAUCCCCGUUUCCCAGUUGGGGAUCCCCAGUCCCUGUUGGGGGUGGGGAUGCGGAUAGGGAUUGGAAUGAGAAUUUGGAGAUGGAGAUGGGGAUUGGGGUCCCAUGUGUUUCUUGCCCCCAUUGCCAUCUCUAGUUAUGCUCUUUAAAUAGAUGAAAGAAUGGAUUACAAUGAGUAGUUCCAAUGACACUAAAGUUAUUAGACUCUAAAACCGAUAAUCUCUCUAAAUGACANAAAACAAUAAAAACAUAUGAUAUUAUGUCACCUCAACAUUAUAUUUUGGAAAAUAAUUCAUCCAAACCUUGAAAUACAUGAUGAUAAUCGAUGAUAGAUGAGAAUUGUUUCCUAUUAGCAAAGUAUGAUUUUUAACAUUUUUAUUAUUAAAACAUGAAUUUAAAAAUGAUUUAGGACGUGAAAAAAAAUUUAUUCAAACCGUCUUUAAAUCCAUAUUAACAUAACAUCAUCCAAUGUAAAACUUACUAUUUUUAAUUUAUUGCUAAUAAAUAUAUUUUUUUAUAGUACAUUUGUUUGAUUUUUAUAAGAUAAAAUCUGUUUUCGCGUUUUUGCAAAAUAUUUAUGUUUUCGCAUAAACCUACUUUUAUAUAUAUAUAUAUAUAUAUAUAUAUAUGAGAGGGAUACAUUGACAUCACUAAUGUUUUUUAGAUCAAUAGAACGUUUCUAGUGGUUAUACUAUUUUAUGAAUUAAAAUAAAUGUCAUCUUCAUCAUUCUAGUAAAUUAAAUUAAUCUCCAAAUAAAUGAUCACACUCACCAAUGGUAAAGUUUAUUUACACAAAUUUUCUUUUAUAAAUUUAAUAAUAUAUCCUUAUCUAUCUAAAAUAUUUUAAAAAAAAAACUCCCUUAUUUAGUUAGUUAUUUGUUAAACACAAAUCAUAUUUUUAUACGAACAUAUAAAUUAAACUAUAUUGAUUCUUUAUUUAUAUACGUAAAAUAUGAAAAAAAUGUUAUACAAAAAGAAAAUAAAAAACAUUGAAAAUAAUAUGUUAUAGUUAAAAGAUGUAAAAUCAAAUAUCAUUAAAAUAGAAGGGGUUAAGCGUACACUUUAUGAUAGUAUAUUGACCACUCAAUAUAUAUUGAGUGGUCAAAAUAAAAAAGAAAAAAAACUAUGUGGUCCAAUGAUAUUAAGUGAUCAAUUAAAAAAUAUAAUAUCCACAAAAACAAUGAUAAUUUUUUUUUUCAUUUUAAGAACCAAUAAUUUCAUUCAUCAAUUAUCUCUAAAACCAUCAUCAAAUAAAAUAUUAAGAGUAAAUUACAUGAAUGGUCUCUAUGGUUUGGGGUAAUUUUCACGUUUAGUCCCUAACUUAUUUUUUUAACUCGGAAGGUCCCUACUGUUUGUUUAUGUUACACACUUGGUCUCUACUGUUUGUUUUUGUUACAUGCUUGGUCCCUGUGUUACCUAAAAAUACUAUUAUUUAAAUAGGGAAAAGUGAUGGGGGUAGAUAAGGUAUGGUGAGGGAGAUAGUGUUAGGGUUGCGUUUAUUUAAAUAAAUUAAAAAAUCAAUGACAAAAUAAUCUUUUUAGGUAAGACAGGGACUAAGCGCAUAAUAAAAACAAACAGUAGGGACCUUCCGAGUUAAAAAAAUAAGUUAGGGAUCAAACGUGCAAUUUACCCUAAACCAUAGGGACCAUUCGUGUAAUUUACUCAAAUAUCAAAUAUCAAAGAACAGUUAUCCAAAAAGUGCGGAAAUCAUGAGGGGAGGAUGUUGUGACAUUACGUUGGGCCAUUCACUUUCGUAGCAGAAGUACCUAAAACCAUAAACAUAAACUGUAAGCAUAAGGUUUAGUGACUUCCCUAAAGUACCAUAUGUAAAACAUACAUCUGGGCCUAGCCCUGGGGUGUAUUCAAGCCUAAAACACAAAUAUGGGCCUAGCCUUAGGGCCCAUCCCUGGGGUUUAUUUCAACCCAAUCAAACAAUAAUGGGCCCACCCCUAGGGUUUAUUUCAACCUGAUCAUAUAAUUAUGGGCCUAGCCCUAGGGUUUAUUUCAACCCUAUCAAACAAUAAUGGGCCCAACCCUGGGGUUUAUUUCAACCGGAUCACACAAACAUAUAGGAGUCACAUAACAACUAGCAUUCUACAUAACAAAAUACUGGGUCGGCAUUGGUGCCUUCUGUUGGAUUAAUGUCUAGGUCCAUAACUAUAAUUGGUAAGACUUGACCUGACCCGACAUGGUCCAUUUGGGUUGCAUGUCAUCGGGACAAUUGGAUUGACAAGAUGAGGAAAAAGGAUACUAGUGAUUUAUAUUAAUAUAUUAUAAGUUCUAAUAUAUUAAUAUAUAAUCAUAUUAUUUAAUUAGUAUUGAUCAAGAAUUAAUUAUAAUUAAUUAAGUGAUCAAAAGGAACUAAUUAAAUAUAGACUCUUAGAUAUAUAUGUAUGAUGGGCCAAGUUCAUUUUGGUUGGGCUAAGCUUUCAUGGAUAGUCCAUGGAGUGUUUAACCCAUGGAUCAUAUGAAACGAAAGGUCAUGGGUAUUAGGGUUUAACCCUAAUCUCCACAAUAUAUAAAGAUGUCAUUGGUUGGUGAAAUUAGUACUAGUGUGUGUAUACAAAAAGGGCAAGGCCGAUUUCACUAGAGAGAACCAAAGUAUCGUUAUUCUCAAGGUUAUUCCAAGUUUUCAUGGUGUUGUGUGAACCAUUUGAGGUGUCACACUUGGGGCACUAGGCACUCAAGCUUCAUGAAGACAAGUUACAUCAAUAAGGUAUGUAUUCUAUCCAUUUUAUUACCCAAGUAUCAAAAGAUUUUGUAGGGUCCAUUAGGUGUUGCGUCUUGGGCUCAGUUCAUAGUCCAAUUUUGUAUCCGGAUUGGGCCUGUCCAUCCGUGAUUUAUUUAUUAGGGUUUAGUAUUUAUAGAUGCUUGCAUGCAUCUUUGUACGUAAGAUUUGGAGUCGAUCAUUCACAGCGAAUACUUUUGUAACCCUAAACAGCCUCUACAGCAGAAGUUCUUUAUCGAGCUCUGCUGAGGCGUGAAUCUAUUGAAUCAUUCAGCAUAUUUUGAUUCAUUCUUGUGUUUGAUAUUUCUGUUAGUAUUAUUGUGAUUAACCUGUUUAAAGAUAUAAACGAUCAAAGAGUUUUUCAACUCAUCAAUUGGUAUCAGAGCAGAAGACUGUGUAAUUCAUACACAUUUCUUCUGUGAAAGAAGUGAUUAGGGUUUAUUCCGCAUUCAUUGAUAUUUAUUGAGCCGUCACUCCAUAAUUGACAUACCUCUUUAAUUAUUCAUCUUGCCCAAAUAUUACGCAUCACAAAGUCUGAUCUUAUAACAGGUUAAACGAUCAAGCAUGGACGAUUCUCAAUCCAAUCCUAUUAACAUCUCUAACAACAUAGGAUCAACAACCAAGAUUCCAAUCGUCUACACUCAAGACUAUGAAGUGUGGACGCACCACUUUGAAGAUUACGUUAUUGGAUAUGAAGAUAAUGGAUAUCUGAUAUGGGAAGCUAUCAUAUCUGGCCCUUUCGCUCAUUCAAGCACCUCAAGAAUCAUUAAAACUCAAAAGGAGUACAAUGAUCUAUUGAAAGAUGUGAAAGACGUCGCUCAGGACGAAAAAGAGAAGUUUCAAUGCAACAUUAAGGCAUUGAGACUUAUUCGAUUCGCUCUUCAACCCGACACGUUUCGAUUAGUAAGCUCUUGUGGUAUAACAAAGGAAAUCUGGGAUCGGCUGCGAGACCUGUACUCCAUAGAUGAAGAUCUGGAGCGCUUAAUUCAGACUCUGCUUCUCUCUGAAUUUGGAGAGUUCAAGCAGAAGCCAGAGGAGGUUGUUACUCAAGCAUUUGAUCGGUUCAAUCAUCUUCUCAGCAAGAUGAUCAAACAUGACAUUGAAAGGAAGCUCAUCGAACAGAAGGUCACUUUCUUGAAUGGCCUAAGACCCGAAUGGAGAGCAGUCGUGUCGACGGUUAAAGCGCAUGAGCAGUUCAAAUUGUACUCUUUGGCAAAACUGGUGGGGAUUCUGAAAUCCCAGGAAAAGACUGUGUUACAAGAGAAAAGCGUGGUUUCAAACUUGGGGUCCUUGGCGCUUCUGUCCAAAGGUAAGAAUGCAACAGCAGAAGAAGAAGAUUUAAAUUUAAAGAGACUACGAUUUAACAGCUGAAGACUAUGCUAUGAUGGUGUCAAAUCCCAGAAGGUUCAUUAAGAAGAAGCUCCCUACGAACAAGAACUGAAAUUGGCAGGGAAGCUACAGCUCUAAAAAAGUGAAAGAGGAGCCGAAGGUUGAAGAAUCAAAGAAAGAAGCGAAGGGUGAAGCUGACUCUGGUGUCAGUUGUUUUUAUUGUGGUGGGAAAAAUCACUAUGCAAAAGAUUGCGUGUUGAAGAAGAUGGCAGAGAAAGACGAAAAGAAGGAUGAAGAAACAAGUCUCCUGAAAAGACUGGAGGAGAUUAAGAGGAAGAAAGCUGCUACUAAUCCCUCUAUGAAUGCUCUUGUUGUGCAGGGUUCGGUAGAUGAUGAUGAGUUCGGUGGCGUAUAAGUGUGGUCAACCGAUUCAGAAGAUGAUGAAGUGAGAAAGCCUUCUCAUGGAAAGGCUUAUGUGACGAAGAGUGGUGAUGCUGGUGGAAGAUGUCUGAUGGUGACAGAUGUAUCCUAAAUGAGAGGAUACAACACUGAUGGUGAAAACAAAGUGGCUAAGGAGCGAGAGGACGUGUGCUUUACAGUGAAGCCUCUUAGUGUGCAGAUCAGUGAACUUGAUGAACUGAUCAAGAAGGUACAAUCCAUUUUUGUUUCGUUUAAAAUUCAANUCAUAUGAAAAGGAAUUAAAUAACUUGAAUUCAAGAAUUUCAAAUCUAGAUACUUGUUUAACUCAAACACGUGCCACGAAUUCUAAUCUAACUGACCAAAUAAGUAGGGUAUCAUCCAAGAGUGAGGAGCGAAGGAUGUGGAUUGAGCAGAAGGAGUUGGAGCUGGUUAAAUCUAGGGAUGAAAAUAUCUAUUUGCAAAGAGACAAUCUUAAAUUGUUAAAACAGAGAAAUGUUUUGUUUUUUAAUUGCAAAAAGACUUUAUGCUAACAUUACUCAGCUGCAUUUAGACUGUGAAAUAGGCCAGAAGAUACAUCGCAUGAUUUUGCCCUUCCUUGAGUUAAAGGAGGAUGAAAUCGAUGCUGAAGCAUACAACUGUGAAAGUGUUGUAUCUUCAGAUGAUGUAAAUCCCACUUAUAUGUAUGGUCUGGACAAAAUUGAAUCUUUUAUAAAGUCCAAAGACCAUAAGGACAUGCUUAAAAAUCUUUUGGAUGAAAAUGAUAAGUUGAAACUCUGGGCCUAAUCUAUACAGAAAUUUGACUCAUUGAGUACCAAAUUAAGUUCAGAAAAUAAAAUUGAUGUUGAAAAUGCAUCUAAACUUAAUGUGGAUGAUGACAUGAGUGAAAUUUCUGUGGAGGAUGAGGUUGACUGUUCCGAGUUCAUUAGGAGCGAACCUGAAAACCACAAAAACUUGAUUUCUGAAAAUUCUGUGGAAUUCGCUCGUUUGUCCAAAAAUAAGUCCCCAAUCCUUAAAGAAAAGGCCGUUGUAUACCAAAAGGUUAGAACCACACCCAAUCAGGUUUAUAAGGUCAUAGGAGCAACCGAACAUCAGACAGCCGAACUCACUGCCAUAGUGAAUGAAGAUAAUGCAGAUGGCUGUGAUGAGUUUUUCUGGUAUGCACCGAUAGACAACGCAGAUGAAGCAGUUGAUUUGUCGGAGUGAACAUCAUGGAAGGCCAAAGGUAGAUAUGUGGCAGAACCGCUGAAUAAACCUACCAACUUUGACGGGCCAGUUCCAGCGGCACAAAAGAGGUUCCACUGGAAUAUGUCACCUCAACUAGCGAAACCUCUUCCGUGAAAAGUGAACCUGUUGCUAAGAAGCCGAAACAGAAGGCAAACAUUCACACACAACCGAAACAGGUGAAAAAUCAAAAGCGUCAGAGAAAUUUGAGAUACAAGAAAAAUCUCCCAGAGCGAAAGCAGUUUUGGCGCUCCCAAAAUCCUCACUAUACUCACUUUGACAGAAACUCCAAGCCAAAAGGAGAAGAAAACAAGAGUAAAAGGAGCUUCGAUCCAUCAGUUCAAAAGAACUAGAAGAAGACUUUCGGGCCACAGGAAGAACAAAACCGAAAGGAUAGGUUCGGUCCCGAAAGUAACAACAACCGAAAGGCUGGUUUCGGUCCACCAAACAACAACCGAAAGGCUGGUUUCGGUCCACCAAACAACAACAGGCAAAGACCAGAGUUCAGCCCAUCAAGCUUUUACAGCAGAAGACCCAGUUUCGGUCCAACAACCCACAACGACCGAAAAUCUAGCUUCGGUCCAUUAACAAACAGCAAUCGAAGGUCCAGGUUCGGUCCCUCAAAUGAUCACAACCGAAAGGGUCAUUUCAAACCUCAAGUCAGGAAAGAUUCUCAUGCUAACUUAUAUUCUUCUAAUUCUUCUCGCUCUCAUUCUUCUUCUAAGCCUAAUUCUCGUCCUACACCAAACUCACAACCGUCGAAGGAUUUGAAAGGAAAAAGGAAGCUUUCCUCAGCAAAUGAAGACCGAAAGCAAGCUAAAGUCCAAACGCCCGAACCUGAAUCCAAAAUACCUUCACCUAACUCCAAUAAAAUCAAAGUGUUUACCAUUAAGAGGAAAGAUGAAACAACCUUAAUAAAACGAACAUAUCUUGUUGAUGUUUCUCUUACUAUUCGUGUUUCUGUAAAAGGCUCACGUGGACCCAAGAAACUUUGGGUUCCUAAAUCUGCUUAAUUUUUGCAGGUUAUAAGUGACAAGCAGUUCGACGAAGAAUGGUACAUAGACAGUGGCUGCUCACGUCACAUGACAGGAAGGAAGGAAGAGCUAAGGGAGUUUCGGUCACUACAAAACGGUGAAAAUAUCAAGUUUGGUAACAAAUCUUAUGGAACGAUAAAAGGGUUAUGGGAUGAUAACCAAUGGAGACUUUACAAUCAGGAAGGUGUCGUAUGUAGAAGAGUUGCAGCAUAACCUCAUCAGUGUGUCUCAGCUGGUGGGAGGUAUUGGUCUCAAAGUCUCGUUCGAUGACGAAGGUUCAGAGAUAAUAGAGAAGAAAUCCAACAAAGUUAUUCUCAAGUCUGAACGAAAAGGUGAAAUGUUCCCUUUAAAUCUCAGACCAAUCAAAGGGAAUCCAGCCAUAUGUCUGUUGUCCAAAGCCCAUUCAGACGAAAGUUGGUUGUGGCACCGAAGGCUCUCACAUCUCAACUUCAAAGACAUCAACAAGCUAGUCACCGGUGGUCAUGUUCGGGGACUUCCACUGCUUAAGUUCGACCGAGAACACUUAUGUGCUGCAUGUCAAAUAGGGAAACAAAGUCGCCAAAGUCACCCAACUAUCAUCAACACCAAAGUUGUUGAACCACUUGAGUUGAUUCACAUCGACUUAUGUGGUCCAUCAUCAAUCGAGAGCAUUGGUGGUAACAAGUACAUUCUUGUUAUUGCUGAUGACUCCUCACGAUUUACUUGGGUAUUCUUUCUAAAGCACAAAUCUGAGGCGACUCCCAAACUGAAGAUCUUUAUCAAGCAAGUCGAAGCGCAAUUAAGAAAAGUCGUUUGAAAUAUCAGGAGCGACAAUGGAUUGGAAUUCAAGAACAAAGAAUUCGAAGACUUCUUAGCAGAAAAAGGCAGUAGUCAUAAUUUCUCAGCCCCCUAUACACCUUAACAGAAUGGUAUUGUCGAAAGGCGAAAUCGGUCUCUCUGUGAGGUGGAUCGAACCAUGAUGAGUUUUGCUUCCCUUCCUCUAUAUUUCUGGGCUGACGCCAUUGUUGUAGCUUGUUUUACUCAAAACAGAUCAUAUCUCAACAAGCGUUUCUCUCUCACCCCUUAUGAGAUAAUUAACAACAGGAAGCCGAAUGUCAAGUUCUUUCACGUGCUCGGUUCAAGGUGCUUCGUCUUCAACUCCAAAAAACAUCGCAACAAGUUUGAUGUCAAAGUUGAUGAAGGUAUCUUUCUGGGAUAUUCUCUUACUUUAAAGGCAUACAGGGUUUUGAAUAAGCGUUCUAAAAGAAUUGAAGAAACCUACUAUGUGACGUUCGAUGACAAUUACGUUAAGAAGUUGAAGUCCACCGAAAAAACAAUUGGAGAUAUUUUCUCUCAAACAGGUCAAGUCACAGCCUCAAUCGCGAAUCUUUUUGACCGGUUCAUGGAUCUAUUUGAUGAACCUGAGAAAGCUGCUCACUCUGAGGCCACGACAGCAGACAACAAGAUUGAUCACCUUAAGAAGAUUGUCAAAGAUGUAGCCAAACAAAUGGGAGCAGAAGAAUCAGUUCGAAAAGAACCUCCCCAGAGAGGUACUUCGGUCGAGGGGGAGAAUCUAUUUUCUUCAAAUCAACAGGACUCAUAUAUUCAGGGAGAGAAUCCAAUCUUUGACGAACCCAAAAGUCCUGUAGCACCCGAAAGCCCAGCUGCACCCGAAAGUCCUAUAGCACCCGAAAGCCCGGUUGCACCCGAAAGUCCUGUAGCACCCGAAAGCCAUGUUGCACCCGAAAGUCCAGUGACAACCGAAAGUCCGGAUCAGCCUGAAAGCCCAGUCGAAGAAAGAUUUUUGGGUUUACAUCCAAAUGAUUCAUCAUCUGUUGAGGGGGAGAAUUCUGAUAUGCUCUAUGACGAUGAUGUUCAAUCAGAGUUGGAAGAAAUGGUAAAUGCUGAAUUGGAUCCUUCCUACGAUCCAAAUUACCCUCCUCUCACCAAAUGGACCAGAGAUCAUCUUGUGUCUCAAAUAGUGGGUGAUGCAUCAGCAAAGGUUCUAACUCGAUCACAACUGAAGGCGAAGCAAACUGCUCUAUUCUCCAAAGUAGAAUUCUGCAUGUUUAAUUCUUUCAUUUCCAAAAUAGAGCAGAAGACCGUCAAUGUUGCCCUCGAUCAUUCUGAUUGGGUUCAGGCAAUGCAAGACAAACUAAAUGAGUUUGAAAGAAAUAAGGUCUGGAGACUCAUUCCAACACCAAAAGAUGCCUCGAUUGUCGGUCUCAAAUGGGUGUUCAGAAACAAAAUGGAUAAGGAGGGAAAUGUUAUCCGGAAUAAGGCUCGGCUAGUGGUGAAAGGAUAUUGCCAGGAAGAAGGAAUCGAUUAUGAAGAGACAUUCGGUCCGGUGGCAAGGCCGGAAUCCGUUUGUAUAUUUCUUGCCUAUUCUGCACACAAGAACUUUUAGGUCUACCAGAUGGAUGUAAAGUGCGCAUUUCUGAAUGGGGAACUUGAAGAAACCGUGUAUGUGGAGCAACCUCCUGGCUUUGUGAAUCAAAAGUAUCCAGAUCACUGCUACAUCUUGGAUAAGGCUAUUUAUGGUCUGAAACAAGCACCUAGGGCAUGGUAUGAAACCUUAACUAAGGUUUUAAAGAUGUUUAAAUUCAUUCAAGGUUCGGUUGACCCAACCUUCUUUCGUAAAAAGGAAGGUAACCACCUUAUGAUCGUUCAAAUUUAUGUUGAUGAUAUCAUCUUUGGCUCAACGAAUCCUAGCCUAAUAGCUGAAUUCAGAAAGUUGAUGGAGACUAAAUUUGAAAUGAGCUCAAUGGGUUCGAUUUACUUUUUCCUUGGUUUAAAUAUUAGACAGGGACCCAAAGGCAUCUUUAUCAAUCAAGAAGCAUAUACGAAGACUCUCCUUGCGAAGUUCGGCAUGAUGGGAGACUCAAAGGUCAAAGUCCCUAUGGCGUUCGGUACCAAGCUCACACCAUCUUUGGAUAAACCAGCAGUCGACAUAACGCUUUAUCGCCAAAUAAUUGGUUCCCUGAUGUACCUCACAGCUAGGAGGCCAGAUAUAAUGUUUUUAGUAUGCUAUUGUGCCAAGUUUCAAGCAAAUCCUCGUGAACCACACAUGCUAGCAGUAAAGAAUAUAUUCCAGUAUUUGAAGCAAACCACCUCUCUCGGUCUCUGGUAUACCUCAAACUCAGGUUUGUUCGUUCAAGCCUACUCAGAUGCAGACCUAGGAGGAUGUGGUUUAGACCGGAAAACCACUACAGGAGGCUGCCAAUUCGUCAACGGGAAGUUGGUGAGCUGGCAAUCUAAGAAACAAACAUGUGUUUCUCUGUCUACAGCCGAAGCAGAGUACAUUGCAGCAGCCUCCUGCACAUCUCAACUAAUUUGGAUCCAAAGCAAACUCCGGGACUAUGGACUCAAUAUGAAAAAGAUCCCACUAUAUUGCAACUCAGAAAGUGCAAUUCGGAUCUGUCAUAACCCAGUGCAACAUUCCAAGACAAAGCAUAUAGCACUGAGGUAUCACUUUAUUAAGGAUCAUGUGGAUGAUGGAAACGUAGAGAUUCACUUUGUUCGAACCAAUGCUCAACUGGCCGACAUCUUCACCAAAGCCCUUCCUGAAGCAAGUUUCAAUAAAAUUCUAAAGGCCUAGGCAUGAUGGAAUCGGAGUCAAUACCAAAAACACCUUCUCAAAACUAAAAGUUGGAAGCGAAAUGAAAAGAACGCUCGGUCUAUUUCGGGUUUGGUCCCAUUGCACUUGUUUUCGCUUAUCUCAAAAAGGUGAUAUCUUUGGUUGUAUACAUUUGUACAAUAGUUUUUUCCAAAAAUUCCAAUUUUUUUUUUAAGGAACCGAAAUGAACCGAGCGUUCGGUCCAUUUUGGGUUCGGUUCCAAAUUUUUUUUCUGUUUGCUUUGUUUUGUUUUUCUCUUUACAAAAUUAUCAAAAAUUCCAAAAAUAUUUUCUUUUUCGUUUUGUCUCUACUUUUGUUUAUAUUAACAGUUUAUGGAAUAUCGAUGGGGCAGGUAUCAUUCUCACACUUUUUACUAGCUAAGUGUCCCUAGAAGCAUGCUGCUGCAUUUUGUCCAAAGCCUCAACUGAUUCUGAAUAAAGCCUUAUUGACUUGGUAUAUAGAAACCUUGUGCUCCCAAUUAGGCUGCUAAAUUUAUUCUAAUUAUGAGGUACCUUACUCUUUUCUUAUAUGAGUUAAGAGUUUUCUUCUUGGUUACUAUUUUUAUAGCAGGGGUACUUUGGUUUCUUUACAACACCUCAAACAUUUUUCUCCAUCAUAUUCAAUUCAUACAUGUAACCCUUGAGACUCUCAGAAAUUACCACUGAGGUUUAUGGUUACACAAUCUCUGUGUUUGUGAUCUUAUCUUCGUGUUACUACGUGCUAAGUGAAACACACAAUUCAAUACCCACUAUGCAUUGAUGGUGAACAAUUAAAUUUGCUCUAGCUUUCACUUAUGAAUUAACGAAUCCACCCAAGUGGUUGUAUCUUGAAAUCUCUAUUUUCUCUUUUGUGUGAUUCUUCUGAAAUUGUUACAUACCAUAACGUUUCUUCGCAUAGAAUCCAGUUUUAAAUUCUCUCGAGAUUUCACACAAAGCAUUUCCAACAAGUCACUAAAAUAUUGUCCAAUCCUACUUGUUCAACAGACCACAUCGGUCUCACAAGUACUUCAUUCGGUUUCUAUCUUAUGUCAAGAUCAGGAAUUCUGAAUUGAAGCGAAAGCCACCCUUAUAAGCCUCAUUAAAAGAUGCCUUUCAACACUUCUUAGCAAGUGCUUGAUCGUAAUUCAACGGGAAACCACACAAACACUUUAAAGUCACUCUUGACUUUGAAGGAAGAGAUUCGUGCCCGGGAUCCACUGUUUCGUGUCAAUAGUGACAUCACAAUUUCCUACAUAUAUGUUGCUUUAUUUCUUCAUCUUUGACACUCUAUGCACGAAAAUCUUUUUGAUUUUCCAAAAGUCUCGUUUGGUUCACUACAAGCUAUUUUUAUAGCUUUGAUUUUUAAUGCUGUUGUGGUUUAUCUAUGAAGACAGCUCAUUUUAAAAGGAUAAGAUGAUGACUCAGCCGGGAGACUAACGGUUUAGAAAUUCAAAAAGGCAUUUGAUGGGAAGGCAUGCAACACGGAAGAGUUUUUCUCUCUCAUGCGUGAUCAUAGGGGUUGCUAACUGUCACACGUCAAUCAACUCAGGAACCGCUUUGAUUUUCAAGAAGAUUUGGAGGCGAAUUUUUCUCUCUCUUCUACAUGGUAUAAAGGGUAAACCCUAAAUUGUUUUACCUCUUUACUGCACCCAAAAUUCAGAGAGCAAGCAAAGAUUAUUUUCUCCCACUGUUCAUCUUCUUCUUCGAAGCGCUCAUCAAUGGCGGAUUCCUCCUCUGUUCAUGAAACCUCCCACAUUCUCCCAAUCCGACCCCAGCAAAGCUUGAUCAUUGAUCUCACCCCACAUUCCUACGAUGCCUUCAUGUACCCUAUUGUGGAGUGUCUUAAACACUCUCCACUGGUUCUCGCACUGACCAAGGUCGAAAUCGUUCCUAUGGAGUGUUUAUCCCAGAUUUUCUCUACUGCCCACUACGACAAGUCUGUCGAUCGCAUUUUCUUCGACAUUCUUGAUACCAAAACCUCCAUCUCCAAACAACGAUUUUGCUCGCUUCUAGGGUUUGAACCUAAUGAGUCUAGGGUUAACCCUGAGUCGAUUUCUGUGGGAUAGUUGUUCUCCAUGUUUUACAACAUGGGUUACACUGAGACUCUUACCACUGUUACAAAGUUCAAGAAAUCGUGUCUUCCUCCUCAGUGGAAUGGCUUCUUCACAGGUUCUGAUGGGGCUAGCCGUCUGUUCAUGACGAUUCUCUACGGAUUGUACCAUGGCGUUAAUCUUGACUAUGGCUCUAUUUUAUGGCAGUAGUUGAUCCAAAGCCUUGCCUCUACUUCUCGCCAUUCUGAAAUUUCUUAUGCCAGAUUCUGGACGCUUGUCACCAAGUUGGCAAUGGACAAGUAUCAUGUCCCUGUUGUAGCUAAUUCUCCACUCUCCUCGAUUGGCGUCUUCCAUACAAUGAAGAUCAUCGUGACUGAUCUUUCCAAGUUUCAGUUUGUUGGCUCAAUUCCUGAGUCAAUGUAUGCGUAUGUAUCAGGGGAGAGUUGUAUUAUCAAGACCUACAAGGAGUUUCUUCCUUCGGGUCCCAGAGAGCUCACUCCAGAGAUGAUUCAGUCUAUCCAUGACGCCGACAAGCCGGCUCCCAGGGGCAAGAAACCAGAAAUGGGGAAAGACAAGAAGGUGGUCAAAGGAGCGAAAGGCCCUUCUCCAAAGAAGCGAAAACCUACGAAGGCGGCCCAAUCUCCUACACCAAAGAAGAGGAAAACCCAGCCCUUGCGAAAACUCAUUCUUGCCUCUUCCUCCAGUGAAUCAGAGGAUGAGAGCUCAGACUCAGAGGAUUCGCUUCGAGGCGAUACUCCUCCCCGUUCGCCUUCACCUGAGGUACCAGUUUUAACCAAACCUAUCUCUCCUCCACCAAUCACUCUCUCUAUUUCCAUUCCCCCAUAACCUCCACUACUCAUAUUCCACCCAUUUCUAUUCCCAUACCUCCUCCUAUUUUCUCAGACGCUACAACAACAACAACCACUGGAGUUCGAACCAACGUAUCUGAUACGGGGGCUCGUACUUCAGCACCCAAACCUACACCUGCAACCGAACAUACUUCUACACCCGAACCUACUACCACAACCGAACCUCCACCUUCGCGUUCAUCUCCCAAUCACUCCGCAGAUAACGAGACUUUUCUUGGAGGGGAAGACAUGACUUUUUAUUCUGUCUACUACAGUCCCUACCAGGUUCAAAGCGAGGAUGAUGAUGAUGCUCCCGUCACUAAAAAGCAUCUCAAGGAACUUCAUGAGAAAAUCGAUAGUCUCAUCGCUUCCUCCUCCUCCUCUCGGUCCAAUAUCUCAGAGGCUGCCAUUCAGGGGCUAGUUGAUAGUUUCACCAAGGCACAUGGAGCCUCUAUCAACUCCGCCACUGCUGCUAUAGAAGCAUCUACAAAGGUCUUUGCUACUGCGAAUGAAAAAGUUGAAAAACUAUUUCACGAUGCUAACAGUCUUUUACAGUCUUUACAGGGGGGCGCUGAAUCCAAUGCAGCGAAGGUCGAUUCCAUUGUUGAGAAGCUGACUACUUCUUUCGCAUCAGAACAACAACUCUUUGCCGGUCUUCGUCAGACUCUUGUAGCUGACAAUAAAUCUUUUCAGACAACUGUCGAGGAGCGGUUGACCAAGCUCUAAGAAGACCUUGCUUUGGAGAACUCUGUGAUGGAUGUGCUUGCUCGCAAAACCACUGCCCUAAACGUCAAGAGUCUUCAGCUUUCUCAAUCAGAAAAGGAGGUUGCGUCUCUCCGAUCUGAGCGAGCGGUCAUUUCCACUUGUGUUUCGGAUGUCUAUGCCGCCCUCUCCAGCAUUAUUGAAGCACAUGAUCCAAUCCUGAACUAUUCAGUGAGGCGAACUCUAGCCGAGAAGCUUGGUCCCGCCCUUGCCCUGCUCAGCAAAGUUGAAGGGCUUCCUGAGUUCGUGGUCCAUCCAAAACAAGGGGGAGAAGGGGUUUCAAAAGGCGAAAAUCAAUCUCAACCGCCUCCUACCUCUACAUCAGCUUCAACUAAAGCAACCGAGCCUCCAUCAACUGGCCAGGCUUCAGGUUCGGGGGCUGAAGAUAAAGGGAAAAAGAUUCUUUGUGAUAGUGAUGGUGAUGAUGACAAAGAGACCAUUGCUGAUCUCUUGAAGAAACAGGCUAGGGAUAAGGAUUCAGACAUGAGCGCUCGGAUUGCUAGAGAGGUAGAAGCGAACGAAAGAAAAAUGAAGGAGGCUCAUGAUCUCCUUGAAUGUCGGAAAACUCUAUUCCCUCCGUGGACUCUUGAGAAGCUUAUCGAAGAAGCUAUCGAUACCCCCAGCAUCCUCUGGCUUGAACUGGUGAUUUCCUUGGACAGGGUCAAUUCUGUCGACUUUCAGUUUGACAUGCCCUUGACCCGAAAGGCCUUCAUAUUUCAUGCAUUCUCCCAUGUUGCUGAUGUCCCUCAUCCUCACCCGAAGGUCGAUAGGGAGCUCAUUGAAUUCUAUCUGAGGUCUGCUCAGCCUCAGUAUCCGACAUGGAGUGCGCAGAAGAUCAUUAACGUUCGGGUCCUCAAACCCUUUCGAGAGGGUAACUUCAUAAAUAUCAGGUUCAAAGUGUUGAGGGGGUCAGCUAAAACCGAACAUGCCAUUUCUCUUGCUGAUCUUCCUAACCUGAAUCCACAUGAUUGGAUCAUCCUACACAACAUCCUCCUCACUAAUGAAGCUGAAUAUGGGCCAAUCAUAGAUCAAUUCAAAAAGAUGUUGGUUUGCUACAUCAUGGAGGUUGCCAAGAUGGAUCAGGAGAUCGCAAGUGUUUUCAAGAAAUAUCCCACCAUCUCCCCAGUUGGCUUUGCAAGCGAUUUGAAUAAAAUGCAGAUGGGGAGGAUCGAUCCAAAGAGGAACUCAGUCAUGUUCACCAGAAAUGAAGGUCAAAAGUGCAUGUUCGCCUUGGCAGACAAGCAUCUAUCUACCGCCUCGUGCUUGGAACAUGUUCUGGGGAUCAUCAAUCGAUGCAAGCAGAAUUCUGAAGAUGAUAUGAAAUAUUUCGAUGAUAUGAUCCAGUGGUACAUUCGUUUCAGACAAACCAUCCUUGCCAUUAAUCCUCGUCUGUUCGACACCACGAAGAAAGUUCCUGCAGCUGGACCCAGCAAGCCAAAGUAGAGUCUCGCUCCAAUUGACGCAAAGGGGGAGCUUGUAGGGUCCAUUAGGUGUUGCGUCUUGGGCUUAGUUCAUAGUCCAAUUUUGUAUCCGGAUUGGGCCUGUCCAUCCGUGAUUUAUUUAUUAGGGUUUAGUAUUUAUAGAUGCUUGCAUGCAUCUUUGAACGUAAGAUUUGGAGUCGAUCAUUCACAGCGAAUACUUUUCUAACCCUAAACAGCCUCUACAGCGGAAGUUCUUUAUCGAGCUCUGCUGAGGCGUGAAUCUAUUGAAUCAUUCAGCAUAUUUUGAUUCAUUCCUAUGUUUGAUAUUUUUGUUAGUAUUAUUGUGAUUAACCUGUUUAAAGAUGUAAACGAUCAAAGAGUUUCUCAACUCAUCAGAUUGUAUGCUAAUUAGGGUAAUACCUUGGAAUAUUCAUAUUUGCAUGUAUAAUAGAGAAAAACAUAGAUCCAAGGUAUUUAGGGUUGCAUGUACACUUAGGAGUGUUAGAAUGCUCAAAACCCAAUAGUGGUAUCAGAGCCUAGGCUUGUUUUUUGUUAUAGUUGCAAAAUUGGCUGAAAAAUCAAAUUUUUGUGCUGUCUGCUCAGCAGACUCGCCAAGUUCAUGUAGGGACUCGACGAGUCCAAGGAAAAAUGCAUCCAACUCGCCGAGUUGGUUCGUGCACUCGACGAGUUGGACCCCCAGACAACAUAUCUUUGAGUUUUAAAGAUGGAAUUGGUUUAGAAUCAUUACCUUAAGCUGUUUUGGACUUAUAAAGCCUGUUUUUUUUAUAGUGGUAAUGAUAAUAGUAAACCAAUAUCAAGGUUAAAAUCAAAAUUUCAAGUUUUAUUUAUGUUAAUGUAAUUCUUGAAAUUGUUGAUAUGGAUUGUUCAUGCUUAUGAGUUUUGGUAGAUCAUAGGAAUUAUUUACAAAAGUGUUUGUUAGUUAAUUCUUGAUCUAAAUGUAUUUUAAUGGAGUCCAUAAUUUGUACUUAAGUUAUGGAUUACCAAAGGUUUUUUAUGUUUCCUUGAUUUCUGAGUUAGUUUAGAUUAAUGAAAAAAAUUGUGUUUUAGUUGUUUUGAAUCCUAAUUAAUCUAGAGGUAGUUCAUAAAAUGUGUUUUUGUAACUUGUCCUCAAGUUACAUGAAAAGUCACAUUUAUGAAUCUUAAAACUCAUAAAAAUGCAUUAGGUUACAAAAAAUGAAGAUUCUUUUUCUUUUAAAUAGUUUUUAUGGCUCCAUAACUUGUCCUCAAGUUAUGGAGUUUCAAGAGUCUCUUCAUGAAAAGCUUUUUUAAUGCUUUAAUUAAACUCAUAAGUUUUGAAAAUCCAAGUGUUUUGAAUAGUUUCAAAACUUGCCUUCAUGUUUUGGAAUUUGAAAAGUUUUCCCUUAUGCAUACUUAAAUUCCAUGUUAAGCCCUUAGAAUUUUAAAAGUUAAAAUUCAACCCUUAUACUUUAUAAUAUUAAAAGUUAGUAAUGUAUAUAUGUAUAAGAGUAAAGUCAGUCUUACCGCUAGUACGCCUCAUUCACGAAGCCGGUCUAUAAGGNNNNNNNNNNNNNNNNNNNNNNNNNNNNNNNNNNNNNNNNNNNNNNNNNNNNNNNNNNNNNNNNNNNNNNNNNNNNNNNNNNNNNNNNNNNNNNNNNNNNNNNNNNNNNNNNNNNNNNNNNNNNNNNNNNNNNNNNNNNNNNNNNNNNNNNNNNNNNNNNNNNNNNNNNNNNNNNNNNNNNNNNNNNNNNNNNNNNNNNNNNNNNNNNNNNNNNNNNNNNNNNNNNNNNNNNNNNNNNNNNNNNNNNNNNNNNNNNNNNNNNNNNNNNNNNNNNNNNNNNNNNNNNNNNNNNNNNNNNNNNNNNNNNNNNNNNNNNNNNNNNNNNNNNNNNNNNNNNNNNNNNNNNNNNNNNNNNNNNNNNNNNNNNNNNNNNNNNNNNNNNNNNNNNNNNNNNNNNNNNNNNNNNNNNNNNNNNNNNNNNNNNNNNNNNNNNNNNNNNNNNNNNNNNNNNNNNNNNNNNNNNNNNNNNNNNNNNNNNNNNNNNNNNNNNNNNNNNNNNNNNNNNNNNNNNNNNNNNNNNNNNNNNNNNNNNNNNNNNNNNNNNNNNNNNNNNNNNNNNNNNNNNNNNNNNNNNNNNNNNNNNNNNNNNNNNNNNNNNNNNNNNNNNNNNNNNNNNNNNNNNNNNNNNNNNNNNNNNNNNNNNNNNNNNNNNNNNNNNNNNNNNNNNNNNNNNNNNNNNNNNNNNNNNNNNNNNNNNNNNNNNNNNNNNNNNNNNNNNNNNNNNNNNNNNNNNNNNNNNNNNNNNNNNNNNNNNNNNNNNNNNNNNNNNNNNNNNNNNNNNNNNNNNNNNNNNNNNNNNNNNNNNNNNNNNNNNNNNNNNNNNNNNNNNNNNNNNNNNNNNNNNNNNNNNNNNNNNNNNNNNNNNNNNNNNNNNNNNNNNNNNNNNNNNNNNNNNNNNNNNNNNNNNNNNNNNNNNNNNNNNNNNNNNNNNNNNNNNNNNNNNNNNNNNNNNNNNNNNNNNNNNNNNNNNNNNNNNNNNNNNNNNNNNNNNNNNNNNNNNNNNNNNNNNNNNNNNNNNNNNNNNNNNNNNNNNNNNNNNNNNNNNNNNNNNNNNNNNNNNNNNNNNNNNNNNNNNNNNNNNNNNNNNNNNNNNNNNNNNNNNNNNNNNNNNNNNNNNNNNNNNNNNNNNNNNNNNNNNNNNNNNNNNNNNNNNNNNNNNNNNNNNNNNNNNNNNNNNNNNNNNNNNNNNNNNNNNNNNNNNNNNNNNNNNNNNNNNNNNNNNNNNNNNNNNNNNNNNNNNNNNNNNNNNNNNNNNNNNNNNNNNNNNNNNNNNNNNNNNNNNNNNNNNNNNNNNNNNNNNNNNNNNNNNNNNNNNNNNNNNNNNNNNNNNNNNNNNNNNNNNNNNNNNNNNNNNNNNNNNNNNNNNNNNNNNNNNNNNNNNNNNNNNNNNNNNNNNNNNNNNNNNNNNNNNNNNNNNNNNNNNNNNNNNNNNNNNNNNNNNNNNNNNNNNNNNNNNNNNNNNNNNNNNNNNNNNNNNNNNNNNNNNNNNNNNNNNNNNNNNNNNNNNNNNNNNNNNNNNNNNNNNNNNNNNNNNNNNNNNNNNNNNNNNNNNNNNNNNNNNNNNNNNNNNNNNNNNNNNNNNNNNNNNNNNNNNNNNNNNNNNNNNNNNNNNNNNNNNNNNNNNNNNNNNNNNNNNNNNNNNNNNNNNNNNNNNNNNNNNNNNNNNNNNNNNNNNNNNNNNNNNNNNNNNNNNNNNNNNNNNNNNNNNNNNNNNNNNNNNNNNNNNNNNNNNNNNNNNNNNNNNNNNNNNNNNNNNNNNNNNNNNNNNNNNNNNNNNNNNNNNNNNNNNNNNNNNNNNNNNNNNNNNNNNNNNNNNNNNNNNNNNNNNNNNNNNNNNNNNNNNNNNNNNNNNNNNNNNNNNNNNNNNNNNNNNNNNNNNNNNNNNNNNNNNNNNNNNNNNNNNNNNNNNNNNNNNNNNNNNNNNNNNNNNNNNNNNNNNNNNNNNNNNNNNNNNNNNNNNNNNNNNNNNNNNNNNNNNNNNNNNNNNNNNNNNNNNNNNNNNNNNNNNNNNNNNNNNNNNNNNNNNNNNNNNNNNNNNNNNNNNNNNNNNNNNNNNNNNNNNNNNNNNNNNNNNNNNNNNNNNNNNNNNNNNNNNNNNNNNNNNNNNNNNNNNNNNNNNNNNNNNNNNNNNNNNNNNNNNNNNNNNNNNAUAGUAUGGUUAUAAAACUCACAAGGGGUAUUAAAAAUGCAUUGAUUUACAAGGUUUUCAAACACAUUGGUUAUUUUACACUUACAUACAUUUUAGAAACAAACAUUGGUCUUGAGUGAAGGCUACUUUUAUACUAGUAGAAAAUAUAGGAUUUUCUAAACACAAACAAACAAAGACAAAACAUUUCAUUUCAUACAAACAUUGUCACUUGAAUACUUAUGAAACUCACCAGCUUAAAUGUUGAUCUACUCUUUCAAAAUUACUUGUAUGUCCCAGGGAAUCAGUAAUUUCAGGUAUCAUUAUGCUUUUGAUGAAGGGAUGCUGCGGCGCCAGUUUAAUCUCAUAUUUUGACAUCAUAUUGUAAUUGGUUUUGAACAUGUAACUUUUGACAAAUGUAAACUUUCAAUUAUAUAUAUGAUGGUUGUAUUGCUUUCUUUACUAUGUAUUCAUUUGUUACGUUACCACAUGAAGUCAUCCGCCCCCGAACGUUUCCGCCGUUCAGGUUUGGGGGUGUGACAUAAUCCAUGAAAUUACACUUUGCACUUUGUUUAAGUCGGUUAGUGGAGUGUGUGUGGUUAACUGGCACACUAACUUGUAUUUAACAAGGUAGGCAAAGGGUAACUUAAUAUUUCACUUCCUUUUCCUCCUCAAAUUAUUCUCCCUUACCCACAAGUUCAAGGUCACGCAAGCCCUAAUGGCAAGCAAGGUCUAUGUGUGCUCACAUCUUGGAGAUGAAGUCCCAUAUUGACAAGUCGGGAGAGUUGGAUGUCAAAGUCUUAAGAAAGAUGGAUGUUCAAUCAAUUUCUAAGUCGCAUAGUGAGUUACCUUUGGGACUACUAUGAAAUAGACUAUGACAUGACCCUUAAUGAUCUUGUCUAUUUGCUUGGUACUGCUGAAUCAACAAUGAUUUGGAGCUUUGGUAAAGCAAAUUUGAUUCGUAGAUCAACUUUCCAAACCUUCAAUGGACAUUGAAAAUGGUUGCAUUAGGAUACCCAGUAAAAGCUUCCUCUUCCCAAUUGAAAGGGAUUGGCCAUAGUCACGUCGGUUGACCAAAUGGUAAAGAGAAAGGCUAAGUAUGAGAUUGUCCCAUGUACCAUUCCCAAAGGCUCCAUAUGGUUCUAUUGCCAAAAGGAAAGGGCGUUGGUUGUGAAGCUGCCAAAUUUACCUUAAAGAUCAUAAGGCUGGUAGAGUCAAUAAGUUUGACUCUACUUCAGGUAAAGUCCACUAUCUAACUCGAUUAAGUUUCUAUUUUGAGAUUCUCAUUACAUGAUGUGACUGGGUCACAAGUUGAUGUUUUAAGAAUCAAAAGGAAAAGUGAAGGAAACUUAAAGAAAGUGUAUGCUAAAUCUGAUCGCGAAGAUGGAUUUCUAUCGCUUGAUUGAAGAUCGGAUUCUUGAGCUACUCUUAGGAGUUAUGAUAGAUUGCUAAGAAACAUGUAAUAGCAUACUUUUCAUUUAAAUUUGCAUUGUAAGGAAAAGUUUUUUCCGCACUUUUUAAAUAAAUAAAAAUUUGAUUUUAUUUUAGUUUAUAUCUCCUUGCAAUGACUUUUAUUGAAAAUUGAUCUUUAUAUGUUUCUAGCAAUAAUGGAAAUGUGAACUUGAUUCUUUCGUUUGUGGUAGUGUCUAAAUUUACCAAAUAAGGAAAGUUUCUCAUCACCCAAGUUUUUAGUUGGAUAGAAACUUGGAAUCAUACAAGUUGUACAAUAUGGUGAAUGAGAACUUUCAGCUUUGGAAAAUUAAGACUGGUUCCUUGUUCACAUUUAUAUGUGAGUCAAGUGAAGGACUAAGGGAUAGAGUAUACAUUCUUGUGCACAUAUCAAGUCCACCACAAAAUAUCUAUAAGACUAUUUGUCAUGAUUUACUAAAGUUUAGUAAAUAUGGUUACAAUUACAAGUUUAAGUGUAAUUCUGAUACAUUGAAAAAAUUUCGAUGUCUGGCAGAACAAAUGAGUAGAAUCAAAUUAGGCAGAAGGAUAGAAGUUUCUCAAAUCUAAAAAUAUGGGAGAGUAUUUUAGUAUCAUGUUAUAUGAUCAUCUUAAUGAUUAAGAGACCUUAUCACAAUUCAUCCUUUAAAUGCAUUCUGAUAGCUAAGAAGAGGAGCUAUGAAUUGUUGAAGUGGUUAGAUCAAGAAGAUGAUUCAUACUUCAUUCCAAAACAAUUCUUAGAGUCAUACUCCAAGAUUGCAACUUGAGUGACAUAUCUUAAAGGAAGGUUUCUUAACACUAGUCAAAUGUAAGAGUAAAAGUAUCCUACUCUAGUACAUUUGAAAUUGGUAAGUUAUGAUGUUUUGGAUAAAACAAAGACCAACAAAGACUAAUUGUGUGAAGUGUUUUUUCUUGAUAAAGAAUCCAAACUAUCUCUUGAAUAUUUGGCAAGAUAUUCUUAUCUGUCAAGAGGACAGUGGGAGUAUUAAAGAUCCUGAAAAGAAUUUCAAGAUCUAAUCAAGAAUAAAAACCUGUAAUUUAACACUAGCACACGACGUGAGUUUUAUAACCUAUCGUGUUCACAUAUUUCUAUUUUUGUGCCCAUUCUAGUUAUAGUUGGCUUUGCAUAUGAGUUCUUAGAGUUCUCAAUUGGGUGCAUAACAACUUGGAAGCAAUGGCAGGCCAUUGAGUUGCCAGGUGGCAAGAAAUUCAGAUUGAGUUCAGUCCAUAUGAGUUUGGAUUUGUCAUUACCCUUGUCUUGUGACUAUGGUUUUGACAAUUCACAUGGAUAAGAACACAUACACC
RNAcentral lists this long non-coding RNA (100234 nucleotides) under Lactuca sativa (garden lettuce). RNAcentral's name for it is "long non-coding RNA (LSAT_LNC005166)". Lineage: Eukaryota; Viridiplantae; Streptophyta; Magnoliopsida; Asterales; Asteraceae. The record is from RNAcentral.